Molecule: long non-coding RNA, 90357 nt
Filed under: Vitis vinifera (wine grape)
Lineage: Eukaryota; Viridiplantae; Streptophyta; Magnoliopsida; Vitales; Vitaceae
Description: long non-coding RNA (VVIN_LNC006595)
Source: RNAcentral
UUGGUUAUGGUCCUCGGAUAUGCGUCGGACAAAAUUUUGCAAUGAUGGAAGCAAAAAUGGCUUUGGCAAUGAUCUUACAACGUUUCUCAUUUGAACUUUCCCCAUCCUAUGCUCAUGCACCUAUUAGUCUUCUAACUACGCACCCCCAGUAUGGUGCACACCUGAUUUUACAUGGACUUUAGCAUCAGAGUUCUUGUUAUCAGUGAGAGUUAGCAAGACCUUUAAACCUAGAUAGUGUUGAAUUUAAAAUGCCCACACUUCCUUUCACUUGAGUGCUCUUUAAAGUCAUUAUAUUAAUAAAAUUCUCUUUUGUAUGUUUGUAAGAGAUCAUAUAUAAAAAUGAUCACUUUACAAGGAGAUGCAUUUUUCUCUAUUCUUGUCCCCCCAAAAUGAAAAGAAAAGAAGAACUGCUGACAAUCUAUAUUUGGAGAAUGGACAUACAUUGAAAUUAUUUCUGAUGGGUGACCAUGCAUGUUGUGAUAUCUACAAGGAAACUACCAUUCCAAUAAUAGGAGAAAUAUUCUCAUUUGUUCUUAUCGUUAUAGAGUGGUGUCUCAUUCACUAUAAUUGGGUAGUAGACUCUUACGGAAUUUUAUGGCUAGGUAUCUGUAAAGAAGUUCGUACUAAAUUGGGUAGCAAGAUAAUACAAUUUUGGAGUUACUACCUCUAAGAAGUUGUCUGCGUACACUUGAUUCCGAUCCAUGUAAUGACAAAUUAUAAACCUCAGGGGCCCGGUCCACCCCCUAUUUUUACUGGAUCUACAAUUUUGCCAUUCUCCAAGAGUUUUAGACAACUUCACAAUGUUCCACAACCUUAACGAACCUUUUGGAUGAGCUUUCAUAUUCUUGGAGCAGCUUGAUGUGCUUGCAGUAGCUUUACAUGAUUGCUAUAAUCCCAUAUUGGAAGCUUAAGAAAGAGGAACCUCUCCUAGUACCUAUAACGACCAAUUGUUAUUUCACUUGAUUUCUUCAAGUGUUGUAUUCUUAUUUGCUUCUAGUUUCACUUCUGCAGCAAGCCAAACUCACUGGGAUGCUCAGAGUUUUUAGGUGCUCAAACACUACAUGGAUUUUUAGGAGAGAUCUUGGUCUACCAAAAGUGGUGGACGUGUUAGAAAGCACUAGCAAAAUAAAAAUAAAAAUAAAAAAAGAAAGAAAGAAAAGCCAAGAAAUCAUUGAUAAUAAAAUAUUCACAGUUGAUCUUGACAUGUGGAUAAAUUAUUUCAUAAUCAAGAAGUAUUCACAAUUGCAAAACCGCCCACAAGCUUACAUGCAUGCCCUUUUAGCUUUGUGCUAUAUAUUUAGAAUUUUGAGAGAAGCAAAGAAAGAAAAAUGAAGAAUAUUUUUUAACAAUUGAAUUUAAAAUCAUGAUGCACUUUCAUCUAUUUAUAGGCACGACAAUAAAUUAUAACAUUUUAUAUAUUUUAACUUUACAAAGUCUACCAAUGACUUUACACCUAUUCUAACAUUACAAUUUAUUUGUGAAUUUAUAAUGUAACUUCACAAUUAAUUUGUAACUUUACAACUUUUGUUUCUAACUUCAUAAUUGAUUCUAAAUUUACAACUUUUGUAAAUUCACAAGUUAUUGGUGCCUAUCUUCCACCUUUUGUAACUUUAUAAUUCAUUGUACAUGCAUUAUAAUAUUUUAAUUUCUAAAGUAAAUAUCUAUGAUUAAUUAACUUAUUUGUAUGUUAUGAACUCUUCAUAUUUCAAAGUUAAUUGUCUCUUAUCAAUAAGUUAAGGUGAGGACAUAUGGUAUGGGACCUUUGUGGGAUCUUUAAUUAAUUACAUCCUUAGUAAGUUUGUUAUGUUUGUUCCAAAUAAAUUUAUUAAUUAUAAUUAUAUUUAAAACGUAUUAUAAUUUCACCCUAAGAAUAGGAGAUAUAUAAGUCAACUUCCCACUUAUAUAUAUACAUAUUAAUCCUUCCAUGAAUUAAUAUUCAUAACAAAUUUAUUAGGUUGAACCAAGAUGACUGUCAUUACCAAAUUACAAGUGCAUCACCUCUUACAAUUAGAUCUUUAAGAAAAACAAUUUAAAAAUUCCUAGUAAACAACAUAUUAUAUUAUAGAUAUGUACACUUGAUAAAAUACUUAUUCCAAAUUGAACAACUAGUAUUUCAAUAUAUUUUGUAAGUGACACAAUAUUUAAUAUUCUCUCAUAAUACAGUCUGUUAUUAGACAUCAACGAUUAACUAUAUCAAAGCUACAUUUAUAUAACUUGAUGACAUCCUUAAGCCAAAGGACUUUAUGCAACACUAAACAAAACAAGUUUUUGUUGGAAUAUCUAGAUUACUCCAUUCCAAGCAUUGUUUCAUGGAGUGCAUACUACUACAAUCCUAAGGAUACUAGAUUUAAUGCAAUGGAAGCAACAAAAACAAAAAUGUUAGAUCUAGGUGCUCUAGAAAACAAUACUUAUUAUUUGAAUAGUCCUAGAUCAACUCUAGUUGGUCAAUAGUAUGAUUUAGAUCCUGAAAACAUUGCAAUUUGUUGUCUAAUGGCUCUCUCCUAAACCUUACAUGUGAAAAUGGUGGAAUCCUUUCUAUAGAGAUGGAGGCUAAGGCUCUAUCUUGUUUGAAGGUUGAAUAAUUGAAGUUAUAAGCCUUAAACCCUUAAUAAGAUUUAUAUAGUCUUUGCCUAUGGGAUUAAGUGACUUUUGCCCAUCUUGAGCUUAGGUCGGUUAAUCUAACCUAAUGGUUCCUAAUUAAUUAAUUAGUCAUAUUGGGAUACAAUUAAUUAAUUAGUCAAAUCCAGAAAGAUUGUUCAUAAGCUCUUAUGCAACUUUGUGUAUUUAUCAAAAUACCCUUAUACACACAUAUGAACAAAAAACCCUAAUAUCCUUCAAAUAAUUAAUGUGCCACCAAGGAAUAUGAACUUGAGUAGGGACUAUUAGGACCUAUAUAUAGGAAAAUAAAGGCCUCUUCAUAAUCUAAUUAUGAACUUAACUCAACACCAUCAUGCUUCCUUGCACCUUCUUAUACACACAAGGUUCAUUAUUGUUUUGACCAAAAUCAAGGGUCUUAAUUUCAUGUUCUAAACACUUGUUCCAUGAGCAAGAGGUGUGAAUUAAUCCAAAAUAGGCUUAUGCAACUUGCAUACUAGAUGCUCUCUACCCUUUGCCAUGAAAACAUCUGGUUGUAUCAUAUGAAUGCUCUCAUCAAGGUAGUCGUUUAAGAAUGUUGUCUUAACAUCCAUAUGACAUAUCUCAUAAUUGAGAUAAACUAUAAUGGAUAUGAGUACUUUGAUUGAUUUGAGUAUAGCUACCACAGAAAAAGUUUCCCACCGUCAAAACUGGGUUUCAAACUCUAAACCUUUAGCUAGAAGCCUAGCCACAAAAGUCUCAAUUGUUAGGAUAAAGGCUCAAAAGCAUGAGAAGAUGUCAUAAAAAAGUUUCCAUUAAUAAAGUUAUUUACUAUGAUUUCCAGAAUCCAUUUCUAUCAUUGAUUACAUUAAUUGUUACCCGAGCAUUCAAAGCUUGUAUCACUUACAUUGUACAUGACUUGAGUGCAUUAGGAGUUGCAUAAAGGAUCCACAACAAGGAUUCUUUGCAGGAUGAUAAGUAGUUCACUACCGGUUCAUGGAUUAGGGCAAUCCAUCAGAGACUAUAUCACACUACCUGACAAUUCGAGGGAUGAUACAAAUAGAAUUCAAGUACAAAUUGUAUGGCUUAUUGACAAAAAGGAAACUGCAUGUGUCAAAUGAAUUAAAGAAGGAAGGGUUCCCUUACAAACUAUUUUGUCUUGGUCAUUAGGAUGGUUUUCCCAUGGUGGGGCACUAUUAUGUAUGAUUACACAUUGGAUAAGACCUACAAUGAAUCAUGACAUUAGAUAUCGAGUAGUCAUGAUUCAUCAAGUUACUAUGUUGCAUGGGCUCUCAAUCUUAGAUAAUAUUGAGCUAGUAUUGAGGUCUUUAGUGACUUUAACCUAUGGGUGAGACCCUAAGGUGGUCAUAUAUUCUCUACAAAUUUGGUUACUAGUAAUUAAGGUAGGUGGGCAAUAGGUAUUCUCAAGAUAGGCACCAUUGAUAUCUUAUGGGUUUGAUAUAGUAUGUCUUUAUGGAUGAUCUUAAGGACAAGUGAUUAAGAAAUCUAUGGUCGUGGUAAUUCCUUAAUUGAAAAUUGACAUAUGCUCUUAGAAAGCUAGAGUAUGUCAAUUGAUCACACAAUAAGAGAAUUUGAAACUCAAGAAUUAGAGAGGUAAUCAUGAGUGGUUGAUAGCAAUCACCUUGUUAGAUUACAAACACCGAUUCAUAGGGACUCUCCAUUUAAUGGAUAGUAGGUCAUGGACCUAAGUUUAUACCUUAUUUUAAUAUCAUAGGAUACUAAAGUGUAGUUGGCCCUUUGAAGUGGAAUAUUAAGCUAUUUUUAGAAUUAGAUUAUAAGGGAGUCAAUAUUUUUCUAUGGAUCCAUGUAGUUCCCACUCAAGCUCAUAUUCCUUGGUGGCACAUUUAUUAAGAGAUAUUAAGGUUCCUUAUUCAUAUAUGUGCAUUAGGACAUUUUGGUAAAAAUAUAAGAUUACAUAAGAGCUUAUGAAUGAUUUUUUGGAUUGGCUAAUAAAUUAAAUUAGAGCCCAAUAAAACUAAUUAAUUCAUUAGGGCCUAAUGGGUUGGAUUAACUGACCUAAGCUUAAGGUGGGUUCAAGUCACUUAAGCCCACAAGAAAGCCUAUAUAAUACCCAAUAGGGGUUCAAGGCUCCAAACACUUGGCAUUCAAUCAUCUAAAGAAGAACCCUAGCCUCUACCCCUUCUAUAGAGGAUUCCACCUCCUUUCAGGCAAGAACCUAGGAAAGGAAGCAAUCAAGUGGAAGACUUAUUGGUUUUUAAGAUCUGCUAUGCCUCUUUAUCGAUUGCUAAUGAUAUAGGAAUAUCCAAAUCAUAGAUUUUACAUCUAAACUUAAUGUUCUAUUUGCUUCAAUUUCUUAGAUCUAGAGAUUCCUAGGAUAAAUUUUUCAUGAACCUAUGAUUUAAGGAUUGUCUCAACAUCAACCUUUCUAUUUACUCCUUUUUUUUUUUUUUUUUUUUUCUAGAUUGUUAAGACAUUGAGUCUUGUUUAUAUGUUGACAAUUUUGUUCCUUUUAAUGUUUGGCUAUAAAAGUCUUUUUAGAUUGUGACUUACUCUCUAUUGAAGAUUAAGAGUUCUUUUUCAUCCAACCGAGAAGUCAUACGUAUGUCUAAAAAGGUUUGGCUUGUGUCAAUUUAGGCUCCAUUGAGAUUUUAGGAGUAUCAACUUUGCUUUGAACUUAAAAUGAUUUAAAUUUGACCAUUGAAAAAGGGUAGGACUGUUCAAGUGGCCUGGAGAGCUCAAAUGCUCAAGAACGCUCAAAUGCUCAAGAACGCUCAAGUGAGCCUUACUGCUCAAGCACCCAAGGCACUCAAGUGGUGGGUGAGUUGGCUCAAGCGGUUAUGAAAAUUUUGCCAAGUUUUUUCACGCAAAAUUGGUUUGGAACUCUUCCAAAACAGAAAUUCUUUAGGCUUUUGCCUAUAAAUACCUCUCUUUUAACCCCUUAAGGGUUAAAGAUCAUUAAAAGAUUGUGGAGAAAUCACAUAGAGAUAAUAUAUUCUUUAGAGAGGAUCUCUUAGAAAGAAAGCCUAAUGUGACACACCAUUCUUAAUCUCUCAUUCAAGGAUUUGAUCUUUGAAUCUUAGGUUGAAGACCUUCAUCUCUUUGACAAGGGUGAAGUGAUCCAUUAGAGCAAUUGAAGGCUAUUGCAUCACAGGCAUAGAUUAAGUUGUAGGUAUUGGAGAGUAAGUCUUUAGGGUAAAGCAGUUAGGUAAAUUGGUGUAACUCGAUUUCUUAUAGUAGAUUUAGAUUAGUAGGUCUUAGACCUCGUGAUUUUUUAUCUCCACAAUAAGUGUGAGGGUUUUCGACAUUAAAAUAUCUAUGCCUUAUUGUUUAUAUCUUUUUAUUAUUUGAUAUAUUAUUUUAAUUGCCUAAAGGAAAGAUUUGAUAAUCCCUAACAACUCACAGGUUAAAAUAUGGGCAUAACAUAUAAAUAUUUAUUUAAAUUUUAAAAUCACCCAUUCACCCUUCUUCCCUUUGGGUGUUCUCUAUUGGACUUUCGGUUUUUCAAUUGGUAUCAAAGUGAGAUAAAAAUUUGAUUCUUUAUCUUAUAGAUUAAAAAUCAAAAUUUUAUUGAUCAUAUAGGGUAAAAAUCAAAUUUUUAUUGAUCUUGUAAGUCCGAUAUGGAAUAAUCUAAACGUGGUGCCCCUUUGAAUAGUGCACCCUACUUUGGUGGGAAUAACUAUUCCCAUUUGGAAAUCUCAUAUGAUGUUUUUCCUUAAAAUGCAAGGAGAAAUGGUAUGAAAUUCAGUAGAAUCUGGAUGAAGAACCCCAUUGAUCCUUGAUUCUGAAGGAAGAUCAACAGAAGAACUUAAACCUAAACACGAAUGGGACAAAGUUGACAAUGAAGAUAGUGAAGCCAAUGCUAGGGUUUUAUUUAGCAUUUUUAAUGAAGUUUGUCCAAAUGAGUUUCACAUGAUGGUAAAUUGUAAACGUUCAAAAGAAGCAUGGGGUAUUCUUCAAGUCACUCAUGAAGGUGCGUCUGCUUUAAAGAUUUCUAAAUUACAAAUGCUUUCCAUUAAAUUUGAGAAUAUUAGGAUGCAUGAAAAUUAGAACUUUUCUUCCUUUUAUUUUGAAUUAAGUGGUAUUGUUAAUUGUUUCUUUAACAUUGGAGAACCUAUUCUUGAUUCUAAGGUAGUAAGAAAAAUAUUAAGAUCUAUCUCUAAGAGAUUUAGACCUAAAGUUGCUACUAUAGAGCAAAGUAAGGACAUCGAUUCUGUGAGAGUUGAUGAACUUGUUGGCUCCAUUCAGACAUAUGAGAUGACCCUACUUAGUUCUCAAAAGCCUAAAGACUCUACCUUUAAGGCUUAUGAGAAUGAGGAAAAAGAUAUUGAAAUGCCAUAUAACAUAGCUAGGGAUGAAUUCACUCAAAUAGAUAAAAGAAUUAAAAAGGUCAUGAAAUUCAAUAAAAGAUUUUUAAAAAAAAUCAAGAAUCUGGAAAAAGCAAAGAGACAUAACAAACAAUAUCCAAAGAAAAGGAUAAAGAUUCCUUCAAAGGUAAGAAAGUUGAAUGCUUUAACUACGGAGGACUGGCACACUUUGCUACUAAUUGUCCCAUCUCCAAAGAUAUUGAAAAGUCUAUGUAGGCAACAUAGAGAAUGCUUCUAUAGCUUCUAAAGAUGCAAGGUAUGAUCCCAAUGACUUUUUAGCUUUUAUUGCAUCUAUGGAAUCUGAGCAUGAUAGUGAUAAUGAUAGUGAUGAUGAAUUUACUGAUGAUCAAAGAGCAUGAAAAGCUAAUUAAGAAUUAUUUAAAUGAUCAUGAUAUUCUUCAAACUCAUAAAACCAAGAUUGACAUGUUUAAUGUAGAAAAGAGUAAUUUUCUUGAAAAAAAAAAAUAGAUUUCUUGAGUUUGAACAUCAUUAUCUCAUUGAAAAGAAUAAUGCUCAAUCAAGAGAUAAAGAGCAAUAAGCCUUCUUCAUUUGUGAAUAAAGUUUUUCACCCUAGAACUUGAGUGCUUAAUGAAAUUCUUGAUAAAUGCAAAACCUAUUGUGAUAAAUGAGGUUUGGGAUAUGUUAAUAAAGAUGAAACUCCCUCUAGUGGAGAAACUAUAUUUGUCAAAGGUAAAAAUAUAACCCCUAAUUAAGCAAAAUCUCCUAAAAAGACAUCACAAUGCACACACUUUAAGAAAACUAGACACUUUCAGUUUAGAUGUUACCUAGAAAGGUUUGAAUCUCAAAUGAGUAGGCUAAUGAAUGAUUUUAUAACUCCCUUAAAAAUAACUUCUUGAAUAAUAGGAAAUGGGAUAAGCCUAAUCAAAAGCCUAGAAGCUAACAAAGCUCCUCUAAGUCACCACUUAGGACUAAGCAACUUUGGAUGAGAAAGGAUAGGAAUAAGUAUCAAGUUGUCUUCAAUGCUCUUAAAGCUAGAUCAUUCAAUGAGUGGUACCUUGAUAGUGGCUGCUCUAGACACACGAUAGGUGAUAAAUCUGAAGAGUAAGUCUUUAGGGUAAAACAACCAGGUAAAUUUGUGUAACUUCAUUUCGUAUAGUAGAUUUAGAUUAGUGGGCCUUGACCUCAUGUUUUUCUUUCUCCACAAUUAGUGUGAGGGUUUUCCAUGUAACUUAGUGUAGUUUUCCUUUUUUGUAGUCACUUAGUGUUAAGAUUCAAUAUUGUAUAAAUAUAAUUAGAAUUUGUGUAAAGAUGUAAUGCAAUGAAAUAGAAGAAAAUAAAAAAUAAAAAUCUCAAAUUUUGGGUUUAAUUUUAUCAUAUUUAUUUUUAAAAGGUUUUUAAAUGAACAAACCUUUAAUAAAUGUAUAAAUAAAUUGAACUAUAUUCAUAUAUUGAUUUAAUUACUGCUACAAUACAAUCUUGAUGCAAUUAAAAAGUUAAGGUUUCUGUUUUUCAGCAAAUGGUAGGGUUUACAAUCUUAAUGCAAUUAAAAAGUCUAGGUUUUUGUUUUUCAGUAAAUGAUAGCGUUUGGAAAAGUUGAGAGAUAUGGGAUUUCUAUUUUGAAGAACAUGAGUGGCAUGUAUUCUUACUCUAAUUGAAAUAUUUUUCUGGUAGAGCUCUAGAAACAGGGGGAUGUAGAAAGGAGAAGUUGGGAGACAAUGCAUAAUGCAAUAUAUUUCUAGAAAAAGGGGUAUAGUUUUUUUCUUGUAGAACUUGAAGAAAAUAAAGAUGAAACUAUUGUUUUGUUUUUUGAAAACAAGAGAGAAAGUGGACUUGGAUUUGUUUUACUAGAUGAAGGAAGUUGAGAUACAAUAUUUUGGAUUUUUUUUUUUGUCCAAAUUAUCUUAUCAUUCAUCAAGUAAUGCUCUAUAUAUCUGUUUAUUACAAGUGGAAUAUAUAUAUAUAUAUGUUGUCUUAGAAUUUUGAUUUUGUCAUAGUUGUUGUAUAUUCUAUAGAAUGUUAUCAUUUAGAGUACCAUGGAAUUAGAAAUUGAUCAACAAACCUAGUUUGAUAACUAAAAUAAACCACCAUUGUUUUAUCAUAGAAAACUGAAAGCUGGAGGCCUUUAAAGUAGCUGGAACAAUAAUAUGAAAGAUGCAAAAGUAUGCAUGGGAGUUACAAGGUACUUAAUGAUUGGUCUUUUUAAUUGCCCUGUGUUGUGAACAAGUAAUCAAAGUAAAUAGUGAAUAUGAGGGUUAGAGUUGAAGGUUCAUUUUGCAUAAACUUGUAGCUUAUCUAGUCUUGAAUUUCAAUUUAUCUUAAUAAACACAAAUUCUAGAACUUUUGAGUACACUAAAUACAAGAGAUGAACACUGUUAGAAUAGGAUAAAAUGGUGUACUUAUUGUCAAUACUUUUUCAUAAUUUUAUUUUGUUUAAAUGUAACAUAAAGGCACCAGUUCUAUGUGUGAAUCUAUCAAUUGUAAUUAAAUAAGUGAGAAUAUAGAAAUCAUAUGUUUUUUCAAUUUAUUUUUGUAUAUCAAAUUUUCUAAAUCGUACUCCGAUGUGUUAUUUUUUUGGUAGUUUAAACCAUGAGCCUCUUGUCAGCUAUCCAUCAAAAUUAGUCUAUUAAGUUUUUUUGAAUGUUGUUGAGGAUUAUUAUUAUUAGAGGAAUUCAUAGAAAUUAAUUUGAAAAAAAAAAGCUUGAAUUUUGUAUUUGAUAAUUCCAAAAAAAGGAUAAAAAAAAAAAACAAAUAAUAACUUAUAAAUGCCACCAAUUGAAAACUACAGUGCAUGCCUAUGCUUUAGCGGGGGUAAAAAAACAAAUGCAACUGCAUAUCUAUGGUAGGGGUCAAAAGUAGGAUUCAACUAUAAGAAUCAUUUAUUGCAUCCUAGUUGUGGCCACAGCUAAUGCUUGAGCAUGUACUCACAGUGAUAUUAACAACUGAAACUAUAAAAUAUAGUUACACCACCUAUGGCCACACUCAGUGGCAGUCAGUUUGGUGUGGUAAUAUGUUGCAAUCGCACCAUUUAUAAUCUUUAGUGAGGGUCACUGACUGCUACUAUAACCCAUUUUUCCUAUAGUACCAGUGUGUCCUAAAUGUAAGCUAAUUAUGAUCUAAUGUAUGAAUUGAAUUUGCAGUCAUAUGAGUGAUUAACCGUGACCUAUUUAAGUGUUAAAUCAAAUGCCAAAGGAACCUUAAGCAAGUACCUAAUUAAAUCUAAAAUGUAAUUAACCUUUUAAUUACUAUAUAUGUAUGUAAAUUAUGAAAAGUGAACUUGGAAGAGCACAAAAUCAAAGUAUUUAUUCAAAGCCAAUUAUUCAUCAAAUGGCCUAUUUAGGUUUAAAAAAAAAAUCCCUAGCAUCAAAUUAAGCCUAAAAUCAAUACUAAACCAUGAAAUAAUAAAAAUCAAUCACCUAAACAAUGAAUCUAUCAACACUCAUGUGUGUCCUAAUUUAUCCACACCCAAACAUGUUUAAAUUCAAAUCAAAAGAUACAAAAAAAAAAAAAAAAAAAAGUAAAAAAAGAAAGAUGAAGAAAUUAAAAAAAUGAAAAUUAAAGAAAACUAAUCAGGAAACUCUCUUAAAUUCGAUGAUAUAGAAUGUUCUUCAAAUUGUUUGAUGUCUUCAAUAUGCAGCCGAACACAUAUGUUUCUCCAAGCUAAUGAUUUCUUUCCUUCUAAGCCACUAAUGCGAACUCUAUGAGUUGAUGAUAUGUUAAUGAAAAUGAAGAUAUAUAUGGUGUGUUCUGAGGGAAAUGCAGAAGAUGAAUGAAGGAGCUUGCUAGUAUUGUAUGUUGUUGAUGUCACAAGUGUAAUAGUAGCAAAAAGGAUGUGCACUGCUAUGGAGAAGUGGAAGCUAGUGAUGUGACAAAGUGUUGUGAUCCAUUUCCACUCCACCCCAAUGGGCGGCUUAGUUUCUACCUCAACCUUUCUUUAGACUUACAACAAUAGGGUUUUGGUUGAGGAUAUGCCCAAGGAUUUACCUUUGGCAUUGUGCUUAUUUCAUGAAAAACUUUUUUACUACCAAGAACAUCAACAACCUCAAAAUCAUGCAUGUCAAUUAAAGCAUGUUCAUUCCAUGAAUGCAGGUAACAUGAUGCAGUGUGAUUGGUCAACAUUUGUUUAUUUCAUAGAGCCCUCCCUUAUGUCCUCUAAACUAGAAGCUUCUUUCCUAAUGUCUUUCUCUUCAUGUGUCUCAUAAGGGUAAGUUUCAACUAGCCCUUCUUGGUUUUGCUCAUUAGGUUGAGAAAAGGAGUAGAAUUCCCCUUGCUUUAGAGCUUUCAAAAUAGAAAUAAACCGACAUACAAAAUCUUUGAGUUCUUAUAAUGUUUGUGUAAGCUCACACAUGGAGUGUGAUUCUCCAUGAAGGGAUUAAUAGUUUCCUUAAACUUAAAAUUAGGAGUCGGCUUAUAGGAACAUAAACUUGGUUGAGGUUCUUGGUAGUAGGGAUGAAACUAUUGUUGAAAAUAUUGAGAGUGCUCACUAUAGAGGUGUUCAUUCAAGGCCUCUUUUAAUCUAGGAAUGGUAGGACAAUGGUGGGUCAUGUGUGUCUGUUAUCAUAAAUUGUACAAAGGACUUCAUUAGAGUUAGACACACUCUUAAACUCUAUUUUUUCUCCUCCAUUACCUCCACCCUUUUGGCUAAUGUAGCUAACCUAACACUAUCGUGCUUUUCACUUACAAUAUACUUCUCCCUACCCAUGGCACUUGUUCCUUCUUUUCCUCUAGUUAAAUUUUUCUUAAGCUCAGAAGAGUCCCAAGCUUGAGAACUUCUUACUAGUUGCUAUAAGAAAUCAUAGACUUCCUUGGGCUCUUUACUCAUGAAUUCCUUUUUGCACAUGGUUUCAACAAAUUGGUGAGAUUGAGUGGUUAACCCAUUGUAAAAUAGGCUAACUACUCUCCAUGGCUCAUAACCAUGAUGGAACAAAAGUUGAUUAAAUCUUGAUAUCUUUCCUAACACUCAUAGCAUGACUUCUUCUCAUUUUGUUUAAAAAGACUGAUUUUCCUUCUAAGAGUCAUUGUACGUUGAAGAGAGAAAUAUCAAUUAAUUAUAUUUUCAAACCAGGUACCGAUAAACCUUGGCCUUAAACCAUAGAACCACAAUUUAGCCUUCUCCUUUAAAGAGAAUGGAAACAAUUUAAGUCUUACAACAUCCAUAUUGCAAUUAGACUCUUAAAAUGUUCCAAAUAGUGCCUCAAAAUCUUUACGAUGGAGAUAAGGAUUUUCUUCAUCUCCCCAAAAAAAUGAGGUAGUAGUUAGAUCAUGGAUGGCACAAUGUUAAAUGAUUGGGCAUUGUAAGGAGCUAUUAUGCAAGAGGUGACACUUGCCAUGGGCGGUUGGAGCUAAUCUCUACGAGUUCAAAUUUGAGCCAUGUUGGUAGGAUUAGGAUUAAGUAAUAUGGGUCUAACUAAAUGGUCUUGACUGUCCCUAGUCUAAUUUACCAUAUACAACUUUAGCAACAAUCCUAAUAACCAAUUCCAAACAAAUGAAUUAAUAAAAAAUAAUAAAAUAAAAUAAAAAACAAGAAUAAUGCAAGUAGAUGAAAUAAAAGAAACGAGAGUGGAAAGAAUUCAUCGAGUUGUGAUGACAAUCACAACCAAAUAAACUCCCACAAAAUUUGUUGCAAACUUUAAGAACUUUCCUCAAUAUUGAUGCUAAAAACUUGACAGCACCAAAUGUGUGUGAAUAAUUUAUUGGUUCCCCAAGCAUAGGGGUGUGGUUGUAGCUUUAGAAAAAACUCGGGAAGUUGGGUAUCUAACCUCAAAGAAGGGAUCUUACAAUGUAGGUGAGGUGGAAAGAAUAAAAAAAUGAAUAAAAUUGAUGGUGAAAAAUAAUACUUUCUUGAAUUCUUGCUUGGGCAAAGAAGUGGUUGGAAAGUUGUGAAAAGUUGUAACUAAUAAUCAAGGAAGGGGGAAUCCCUAAGGUCCUUUCCCUACCUUAGAAUGAUCCUUGUCAUUCAUAUAUCAUUUGAAAGUGUUCACUCAUCAAUUAAAUCCCAAUGUAUAACCCUAAGUUUUCCUAAAAAAUCCAAAAUAUAAGUGAUUUGAAAAUUGUUGUCUUGGGCUUACAUAGGGUUGUUCCAAGUGAAAAUGGUUUUUCCCAUUAAAUGCUUGGCAUACCCUAUGGGAAGCCUAGGCUUCAAUAUCUAAUUAGGCAUAAACAUUUAGUGGUUUCAUGAACCCAAUAUAUCAACCAUUUUUCCAAUUAGGGUAUUUAAGGUUGUCCCAAGUCAAAAUGGCUUUUCCAUUAAGCACUUGGGAUACCUUAUUGAGACCUAUAAUUCCCAAUUAUUAAAUGUUGAAAUGAGGUGAUUUAUAUUGAACAAAUGAGAUUCUAUUGAUGAAUUAAAAACAAUUGUUAAUGAAAGGAUGCAUUCCAAUGGAAGAAUGGGAAGCCUAGGGCACCCUUUCCCCAACCUAAAGAAAAAUGCAAUAGAUAUUGAAUUGAAAUUAACUUGAAAGAAUAAAAGGGAAAGCAAUAAGUUAAACAUCAAACCUUAAAUCAAAUAUAAAAUUUCAAUGAUCAAUGAUAAUAAAAGGAUUCAAUUAUGCAUUAGAUAAAACCAAUUCAAAAUAAAGGAAAUAAAUGAAAGCAAGAACAAGAAACUAAAGAAAACUUAACAACAAAAAAGUGUAUCCAAGAUCUCCAAUUCCCAAGGUUGACUCCAAGAAGUAGCAAAAUAUGUAAGAACUCCCCCUUAAGGGAGAAGAUCUGAACCCUCCCAAUGAUUGCUCAUUGCCUCUUUAUAUCAUUCCUUAAAUCAUCCCUAUGUUCCUUCAAAUGAGAGCUUUUCCCAUGCAAGUCAAGGGCUCAAGAAUGGGUUGGAAUCAGCCCCCCUCUUUGGCCCAGCCCAUUCCUCAUUUUUAAGAAAAUUAAAACGCUUUUCUUGUGUUACAAUUAUAUGAGUUUUAAGGCCCAAAGGGCGAUUAUAGGUGGCGAAGCCGAUGUAAGGCCCUUGGUGGUGCCUUCAUGUGUUGAAACAUCACUUGUAUUUCUCAAAUUUAUUCCUCCAAACUUUUAGGCAUGUUUUGCAUCACGAGGAAUUGAUAUGGGAACAUCCAGAUCUAGGUAUGAGUAUUAUAUCUCUAGACCUAUCAUUAAUAAUAAUUUUUUAUUAUCAUUUUAUUCUAUUGUGAUAGAUUUAGAGAUGCAUAGGGAUAUAUGCAUGCACCCUACAAGAUCCAAGGCAUAGGAAUUGAGAGAUCCAGGGUUCCUAACAAAUACCAUAUACAUAUAAACAUGCAUUUUUUUCCUUUUUCUUUUCUUUUUUCUGCAUACUAUGAUCAACAAGGAACAAUCUCCAAUAAAGAUACAUAUAAUAAAGCUCUCCCCACAUAUUGUUAAAAUGUGAAUGCUCAUUAACAAGAUAACCCUCUCAAGCUAAUAUCUUUGGAUCGUUGCCCAUUGGGAGAAAUAGAGGAAGGAUAUGAUUGUCCUCCACAUAGUGAUAUAUGGAAAACCAUCUCUUAGGGUGAAACAAAGAGAAUGACAAUAAAAAAUGACAUGAGAAAAAGAAAGAAGGGAUGAACAUCACAAGUGAUGAUACAGGAUAUAGGAAAAAGUUGAUAAAGACAAACUAGAGAAAGCACAAUGAAAGGUGAGGAAUAAGACCCAAAUAUGUUUGUUAGGUCCAAAGCUGAUGAGAUCCCUAGUCAAAGCACGCAAGCACUAUAAGGUCCCUAACUCAAUGUAAAUAGUGAGUGAGGUGAUGAAAAGAAAAGGUUAUGAUGCUCGCAUGAGGCUCAAAGGGCUAUCAAUAGAUAACUCUAUAUUUAAAGGUGAUUGGGUAUAAAGGUUCAUGGAAUGAUGACCACCCAUCCUUUGACCAUAACAACAAACAUUUUUCUCACAAACUCUCACAUGGUUGGCACUACAACUUGGUGUUCAUCUAAUAUAGCUAUGCCACCCUCUGGAAUGAUGUGAAAUCUUACACCAGAUACUCCAUGUAACCUCUAUGUCUAUCUCAAUCUUAGAAUAGUCAAUAAUCUCAUCAAGCAACCAACCCACUCUCUCAUCAUAAGCCACAUGUCAUCAUCUCAUGAAACCAACCUCUAUAGACAUGCCAACUCACUGAAGUCAUGUGUAAGGGCCUAAUUUGGAUACUUUGCGACAACCUCAAAUAUUCUCUUCUCGACCACUAAGUAGUCAAUAAAUACGUAGAGUAAUCAACUAACUCCCUCAUCACAAACUAUCUCUCAUACUACAAAAGUCACCUUUGGUCCAAUCCUCUCAAACUUUACUUGGUUGAAUUGAAUAAGGGAUGUACAAGGAUAGAAUAUGCGAAAAAGUAAAGGUCAUGCAAUGGUGUUAAGGAGAAAUAUUUUGGACAAGGUAUUGCUUUAAUCGAAAGGCAAAAUAGGUCACAGUCUUGAACUCCCUAGGUUAAUCCUCUGUACCUAGGUCAAUUGACUCAAUAUCCUCCAUGAUGGGUUAAGUCUUAGUGGUCAUGAUAUGCAAAUGAUGAGAUGUCUCAUAUCAAAAGUCUAACAUAUAUCAAUGUGGGGAGGUGCAAAAUAAAAAACAUACUCAUAAGAAAAAAAAUUACAUAUACCUAUAAGAGAAAAAGAAAAACAUAUACUCAUAGAAAAAAGAAUAUAUCAUUGAAUGAAUUGAUGACUACAUCAUAUGUGAAAUAAAAAUGACUCCAAACAAUUGGACUCUCAACAUAGACUGUAAACUACAACUCUACUAAAACCAAACUCGACAAAAUGAAGAUGGCUCUAUCAACAACCAUAACCAAACCAAAAAAUGCUCUAAACUAAAAUGUUGUAAAGAGAUGUAACCACAUCAACUAAAGUAAAUUCUCAACCCAGAAGAACUUAAAGUGUUAGGUGAUCAUCAAUACCGCUAACAUCCAUAACGAUCUACUGAAUACUAAGAGGAUGAGGAACUACAUCACUAGGUAUAGGCAUAGGUGAUCAUCAAUACCGCUAACAUCCAUAACGAUCUAUUGAAUACUAAGAGGAUGAGGAACUACAUCACUAGAAUGUAUAGGCAGGGUGUUAGUGGUCACACUCAGGCCAAGAUAAGUUGACCAUCCAACACUAAUCAAAUCAUGUAUCACAUAGAAGAGGGUUGUGCAAUGCUCAAUAUCUUGAGUUUAAUGAUAUAAACAAUGCUUAUGUAGAUAGAAGUGGAGGAGAACAGGAUGUGGUAGGGGACAUGGUACAAAAUGGGUUAUUAAUCUAACAUCUUUGAACUUCUUAAAGCUCUAGUCAAAGUUAUACCAAUGGUGAAAACUAUCUCGCAUGCCUUUAAACAUAUGGUUUGGGUGGUUGAAGAGCACUGGCUCUCGAAUAUGGUAGUCGUGGUUGAAUAGUAGUCUAAGCAAUGAAAGGUUGUUGCAUAUAAAUUGACUAGUAUUGGCACUAUGGAGAAGGAAACCAGGCUCUAACUAUGGAUGGCCUAUGAUAUGAAUGAUGAGUAUUCCUCUAAUGUUGAUAAUUGAUGGUGCUAACCUCUCCAAACCUAUUGGGUGAUCUAAUAGGCUUCCUCCUCUUAUUUUUUAGGGAAGGAGUAGGGUCUGUCCACAAACCUCCGUCAAUGCCUUUCUCAACAUUGAUGUUAGCCUGAACUAAGCUCCUAAAAUCCUGGAAAGGAAUACCCAUGAGGUGUCUAGUAAACCUAGGUUGGAGGUUUCGAAGAACUAUGUCAAUAUGAUCUUGCUUAUUAGCUUGAUCUACCAUAUUGGCCACUUUUGCCCUCCAACGACUAAAAAAUGAAGAAAUGGUAUCAUCUAGCUUUUGCUUAGUAGUCUCUAACUCUCUAAUGGAAACAUCAAUAUCGACAUUGAAAGCAAACUAUGUUAGAAACUCAUUAUAAACCCUCCAUUUUGUUCCUUUAGUACAUGCCGCCCCAUUAGGUGUUCUUUCAGUACUCCAUAGCAAUUUCCCAUUGGCCCACUGCUACUCAUAUAGCUUACUUUUUUGAGCCACCUCAAUGACUAUAGUUAAAGGAUUUAUCUGACCCCUCAUUUUGACCCUUGGCAACCUUGAGUUAGAUCUAUGAUUUUCUUUUUUUCUUUUUAGGAUAGAUCAUUUAAGUACACUUUUAAAACACUUAAACAUGCCCUAACACACUUACACAUGCCUUAGCACACAUAGACACACCCUAGGUCAAUUAGGCACCUUUUCUAAUCACCUUAGGUCACUUAAGAACUUCUUUGAUCACCCUAGGUUACUUAAGCACCUUUUCUAAUCACCUUAGGUCACUUAAGAACUUCUUUGAUCACCCUAGGUCACUUAAGCGCCUUUCCUUAUUACCCUAGGUCACUUAGACACUUUUCUAAUCACCCUAGGUCACUUAAGUACUUUUCUGAUCACCCUAGGUCACUUAGACACUUUCCUAAUGACCCUAGGUCACUUAGCACUUUCUUGAUCACCCUAGGUCACUUAGACAUUUUUUUUAGGAUAGAUCACUUGGACAUUUCUUUCGUUUUGUUUCACUUUAGGUUAAGUUUUCGUUUUGGUUGCUUGGUUUUAGGUGAGUAUUUGGCUUGAUUUUGAUUUUUUGAUUGCAUGAGAUAUAGUUUUUUUAGUUGUGCUAGUUCGAUAUUCCAUUUUUCAUUAUUAUCAGUUGCAUUGAUAUUCAUUUUCAAAUUUCGAUUGCAUAUGUGAUAUUUAUUUUUUUUGUUUUAGAAAAUGGCUUAAGAUUGAGAAUUCUUUUUAUUUUUUAUUUUAAUUGGGUGAAUUAAUAUUUUGAUUUUCUUAUACAUAUAUUUUUUUGAUUCUUUAGUUUGUUUUUCUAUUCCAUGAUUUCUAAUUUUAAUUUAUUUCAUUUUUAUUUUGCAUGAACGUGACUUGCUAUUUUUUCUAAAUUGUAUGAUUUUAUAUUUUAUCUUUUAUUUUCAAAUAUGCAUCUUUCCUUUACUUUUUGUUUUACUUUUGCAUGAAUUCGGAGAUAAUGGGGAAUUUGUUUGACAAAGAAACAUGGGUUGCCAUCCACUUACCUUAAGGACCACACAAAGGAUAUCACUUAUUAUGGGAAGGAAGAGAUCUCCACGCAUGCACUUGGAAAGAAUGGUACAUAGCCAAGCAUCAAAAGGAAACUAGGGAUUCUGCCAGUUGACCGGAGAGUCCUCAUUGAAACACAACACCAUGGGAAAAAGAGGAAGAGAUUCAACUCGCGCGCACUAUCGAGAGAAUUUUCCAUAGGAGACCACGAUCAGUAACAUACAUCCAUUCGGGGGAUUCCCGAGGGCAGGAUAGCGUGCAUUCUCCAUAGCCAGCCACACCAUAGUGGAGAUAUCACAUAUGCACUAAAAGAAAAAAACUUGUUUCUCUCAAUAGAAGAACAAAUAACGCACCAUAGGAUUUUUAAUGGAAAAAUAGGAAGGGAUACACAGAUUUUUGGAGUGGAUUGCAUUGGGGAGGAGGACGUAAUCUUCAGUUUGGGGGAUAUCCACCGACACCAUGGGAAUGCAUAUAGAAAGCAACAAAGCACACACCAUGCGGAAUGGUUCCCAACAUGGCUGCAUAUUGUAGCACACUUGGAGAUCUUUUGGGAACACGCAUCAUUGGAGGAAGUCAGACCACACACAGCAGAUUGUCAUUCUCCAAGACUUACACGCACAUGCCAUGCCGCCUUGAAGGAUUUCCAUUGUGGGUGCCAUUCACGGCUGCACCUAUUUUAAAUAGAAACACCACACUGCAACAUGUAUUUUGGAGGCUACCUGGACGCACUUUCCAUGGGCUGCAACUUGCAAAAUUUGUUCACAACCACACUUAGGUACUCUCCAUCAGUUUCAGAGUGGUGUACAACAAUCAGAUAAGAGGGAAAUACAGAGUCCCGGGGAAUUGCAUUCCCACCUACACACAUUGUUUCGAAGAGGUAAGUUAGAUUCUUGUUUAUUAGUUUUGCUUUUUUUUUUUUAAUUAGGUUAAAGUUUUUUUUUAUUCAUUAGUCUUGAUCCUUACUAUUAGUCCGAAAAAGUUAUAUAUUAAUUUUGAUUCAUCUUCUCUAUUGGAAGCCUUUAUAUUUUUUUUUAGUUCGUUAGAUUAAAUGAUUCCAUGUGACAAAGUGUUUAUUUUUAAAUUUGUUUUUAUUUUAGUUUAGUUUAGAUGCACUAAUAUAUCUUUUGUUUGUUAGUCUAAUUCAUUCCAUAGGACAGAUUUCUUAUUUUCUAGUUUGUUUAGCUUUAAUUUGAUUCAUUUUAGUUGGAUUUAGAUGCUUCUAUAAUUUUAAUGGAUUCUAUGUGAUAAAUUCUUAUUUAAUUUUUUUUUUUCUGAUUUAGUUUGAUUCCUUUUAGUUAAUUCAAAAGUUAUUAUAAUUUUAUUUAUCUAGUUUGAUUGAUAUUUUAGUCUUAAAAUUACUAAAUUUAAAUUCAUGAUUCAUCUUAUAUUUAAUCUAAGUGUUUUACAGAAAUUCAACUACUUGGUUUAAUUGAUUCCCCAUUAUUUCCUUUAUGCUUUAAAAUUGAUAAUUUUAGUGCUUGAUUGAUUCUAUUUAAUUUAUGUUUUCUGAUAUCUUAAUUAAACAAUUGAUGUGUUCAAGAUUGAUAAUUUUUUAGCUUUUGAUCCAUCUUGUUUUAGUCUAUAUACUUAUAAAAUUCUAAUGGUGAAUUAUUGAUUGUUAUCAUGUUAUUCUAUUUUGUCAAAAAAAUGCUUUGCUUAUUGUUGUUAGGAUUGAGCCUUGGAAAGCAUGAUAUGAUGUAACAGAUUGAGAUUCAUUUAUAAAUUUAUUUAUUUAUUUUUCUUGGUUUCCCUUAAAUAUCUCAUUUGUAUUAAUUGGUUAUUUGAGCAUACACACCCCAUAUCACUUACAUUGCAUAUGACUUAGGUGCAUUAAGAAUUGCACAAAUGAUCCAAGUCAUGGGUUUCUUACAGGGUAAUAAGUUAUCCAUUGUUGGUUCAUGGAUUUGGGCUAUCCAUCUGAGAUUAUAGUACACUACCUCCUAAUUGGAGGGAUGACUUGUCUUGGCUGUCGGGAUGGUUUUCCCAUGGUGAGUGUAUCAGUACAUUUGAUGUGCAUUGAACAAGACCUACAAUGAAUCAUAAUACAAGGCUAUUAGUUGUCACAAUUCACCAAGCUGCUAUACUGCAUGGACUCUCAACCUUGAGAGGAUAUUAAGCUUGUGCCAAAGUUAACAUGAGGCUUUGACCAAUGGAUGAGACCCUAAAGUGGUCAUAUAUCCUUAUGGAUUGGGUCAUUGUUGAUGGAGGUUGGUGGCAAUAGGUAUUCUCAAUAAAGACACCAUGAUAUCUCAUGGAUUGAGACGGUGUGUCCCUUUGGGUGAUCCAAAAGACAUGUGAUCUAAAAGACUAUGGCUAUAGCAUUUCCUUUAGUGAAAAUUUGGCAUAUACUCCUUAGAGUUAGAGUAUGUCAAUCGAUCACAUAAUAAGUGGAAUCUGUAACUCAAGGAUUGAAGAGGUAAUCUUGAUAGGUGAGAGCACCGCCUUGUUAGAUUACAUACACCAGUUAUGGGGAGUAUGCAUUCAAUGGAUAGUAAGUCAUGGACCCCGAGCUUCGUCUCAUUGUUAUUUACAUGGGAUACUAGAGUACAAUUGAUUCUAUUUAGUGGAAUGUUGAAUCAACUUCAAACUUAGAUUCUAAGAGAGCCUGUACUCCUAUGGGUCUUAAUGGUUCCCACCUUGAGCUCAUAUACCAUGAUGACGUGUUUUAUAAGGGAUGAAUUAGCUUUUGGUUAAUUUUUGUGCAUAAGGGCAUUUUGGUAAUUAUGCAAGGUUGCACAAGGGAUAGUGAACAAGUUCUCUAGAUUAAGCUAAUUGAUUAAUGAGAAGGUCCUAUUGAUUAAUUAAUCAAUUAAGACCCAUUUUGGGCUAUAUUAAGUGACCCAAGCCUUGGUAGGCUUACUUAAGCCAAUAAGGGAACGCUAUAAAUCCCCCAUAAGGGUUAGGGUUUCCAUAAACUUGAGAGAGACUUUGUCUUCCACCUCCAGAAAAAUAGAGAGAUAGUGAGAGACAAGAGAUCCUCAUUUCCAAAGCCCACAUUUUGGAGUGUCAAAAUCGUGGUUUAAGUCAUCAGGUGAAAGAUCUUGGAUGUACAAGACUUUUAGAUUCAUUAUUCUUCAUCUUCACUGAGUGGAAUUGAUUUGGGAACAUCCAAAUCAAAGGUAAAGUUCUCUAAUGACUUUCCUCUUGAUCCUAGAAUUGUAAAAAUAUGAUUUUUGCUUCUAUGGCAUAGGAUCUGGAGGUUUAGAGUAGUUUUGCAUGCACCUAUAUGAUCCAAGGUAAGGGAAUGGAGAAAUUCAAGGUUCCCAACAAUUGCUCUGGUGAAACCCCUACAUAAAAAUCAUUUUUCAAAAACCUUUUAUUGUUAACUUGUUUAAUUUACUAUGUCUUUGAAAAGAAAAUUGGAUUUGAUCUAUUUUGAUGUUUUUAAUUCUUUUUUCCAAUGAUUGUAUGAUAUUGUAGACAUCUUGAACAUGAAUUUAGAACUUUGUUUGAGUUUUAAAAAAAAAAAAAAAAACAAUUUUGAAAUGGAAGAUAUAAACAAGACUUUUAAGGGUUUCGUUUUCACCUAAUUCUAAACACUCGAAAUGUUUUGUAAAAAAAAAAAUUAUUACAUGACUUUGUAAAUUCGAUUUAAUAUUUUUUUUCCUCAAUUUUAGACUUCUUGAAAUUGAUUUUAGACACAUAAAAUAUUGAAAAUAAUUUUCCUAAUUGAAAGAUAUAAUUUUCCUUUUCUGCACUAACUAUACUACCCAAAUUUUGAAUAGAGGGGUUGUUUGAUUGUUUUUAAAAUUGAUCUAUGUGCCUUUUGACCUUGUCUUUAUUUUUCUUAUAAAGUAGACAUUCUAAAUUUUUUUUCAUUAUUUUUAGACUUCUUGAAAUUGAUUUUGGACACAUAAAAUAUUUAAAAUACUUUUCCAAAGAUAUAAUUUUUCCUUUAUGCAUUCAUUGUACUACCCAAAUUUUGAAUAAAGGGGUUGUUUGAUUGUUUUUAAAAUUGAUCCAUGUGCCUUCUGACCUUACCUUUAUUUUUCUUGUAAAGUAGACAUUCUAAAAAUGUUUCAUGAUUUUUUAACACUUCUAUGUUAGUUUUAAAAAAUCAAUUUAUGCAUGUUAUUGAAUUUUGCCUUAGUUUGAACCUUUUAGGAUGUUUUUGUAAACUAGAAUUAAUUGGAGCUUUAUUAAAUUUUUUGGCCUUUUGGGUGAUAAUCUAGACAUAUAGAAGAGGUCCCUUGAAAAUAUUUGUAAUUAAAUCCACAUUCUAGAUAUAUUUUUUAGGAUUUAUUUUGCAAACCUUUUUGUUCUAACUACAUGCUGAAAUUUUAUACAAUGUUUAACUUAUAUUUUAAUCUGGCAUUAACUUUGACUUUUGUUCUAUAAUAUAGACAUAAUGAGGAUGUUGUGAGAUUUUUUUAAUGAUGAAAUAGUGUUUCUAGAUAUUUAGAUAGGAUUUUUCUUAUGGAUGUUAUCAUUUUAAUCCUUUGUUGUGUGGUUUUUCUUAAUCACUAAUUUUGGUAUUUUUGUUUUCACGUACACAGUUUAGCCUUAAUGAUAAGUUGUAUGCAUAACCUAUGCCAUUUAUAUUAGGGUCUUGAAUCCUAUUUAUUUGUUAUUGCAAUUGUUCUAACCCCUUCUAGCUAUGUGCAAGCACAUUGUAGGUUAUGCGUGUUAUCUAGGUCUGUCCCUUACAACCUUUAUCUCUUUAACUCUUUAAAUAUGCAAACUUUGUUUGUGAAUACUCUCGUGCUUAAUAUUAUCUUGAUUGUUCUAAUUUGUUGCUUGAUUCCUUGAACAAGAUGAAAUGCAUGUUGAGUGUUGUAUCAUUUGUUAAACUAACCUCUAAUGUUUCAUGAAAACACUUUAGGAUGCAGCUUAGGUAUGCUAAUCUUCUUUUCUUAUAUAACUAUGUUUUUGGUAUGAUUGUUUUGUUAUGAAUACCAUGUUUCUUAGCCUUAAAAAAAUCAUCUUUUCUUUUUCUUAGCAACCCUGAUCUAGUAAUUAAUUGUCAUGCUUCCUGGAACCUAGUCAAUAGAGACUUUUUUUUAAGACUUAAAGGGAUACUACCUUUUUAAGGUACCUUCUUGAUAGGUAACAUAAUCCCUAGACCUAGACUUGAUUUUUUCAAAUAUAUGCUUUCCAAAAGUUUAAGGAGUCAUUUUUCUUAGGGUUUUAGUUUAUCAUUUUAUUUCCCCUUUUAAAAAAAUUACAAAAAUAAGUGGUGACUCUAGUUUUUUUAUAAAAUAUAGUUUUUCACCUUUAAAAGUGAGUCUUGCCAACAAGUGGGGAUGCAUGUGAAAAGUGCAAGUCCACACUCAUAAGUUACAUCCUCCAAAGUACAAAGUCUUGAAGGCUCAAUAGAUGCAAACCACCUAUGUGUUGCUCCACUAAAUGACACGGGGAAUAAGGUAACUAAUUAUGCAUCAUCUAAUCCAUGUUCUCUCAUAAUUUUACUAUAGAGCCACAUGAAUCUUCAGGCAACCUACUCCAUUGUAACGCUCAAUAUCUAACAUACAAAAUUUGGCUGGUAGGCAAGUAAGCAGCUAGUAAACCAUCAUUGUCAUUCUAGGUCAUACCCUCUUCCUAUAGCAUCAUUUGUCACAUCUUGGUCUCAAGUGUCUCCAUUCUAGCUUCCUACUCCACCAAUAUUACAUCAUUCAUAACAUGAACAAUAGGAGGUGGUGCCAAAGUAGCAGGUGGUGGAAUAGUCUCAUAAUGGUUUGACAAGUGAAGUGGAGCACCAUGUGAAACCUAAGGUGGGGGAAUCUGUGGUGUUUGUGUAUAAGAAGAGUCAUCUCAACUAUAAUGCAAAUUAUACAACAAAACACAUGAAAGACACAAGAGAAGACACUAAAGAAAAUAAUACAACAAAAGGCAAACAAGAAGUACAUGGUCCUGAGAUGGCAAUGUAAAAGUUGGAUGUAUGAUAAAAAAUUUAUAGUCAUAGAGGAGUCCAUUAUGAGAUGGCUACAAAUGUGACAAGAGAAUUUUUAUCAAUAAUCCAAAAUGAAUGAGAUGUGAAAAAAGAAAUAUUAUCAUGAGAUUAAUACUCCAUCUCAAAUAAUAUGUCCUUGAAUCAACUUUUAACCCGAGCUCCAUAAAGGAAAAUGAUAAGGUGAUCAAGGUGAAAAAUGAUAAGGUGAUCAAGGUGAAUCUCUAAAAAAGGUGUAAAUGUGAAAAUAUUUCUUUCAUCUUUCUUUAAUGAACAUAAUGAGCAUAGAGGUGAAAAUGGAAUCAAGUGCAUUUAACUAGGAAUGGGGAAACAAACCCAUGAUAGGUAUAGAAUAUAAAAGGUAAGUGUGAUCAAUGAGCAUGUCUUAAAGCACCAAGCAAAGUGCAACAAUAAAUUGAUAAAGAAUGUGUUGACUUUAAAAAUAAAGAGUGAUAGAAGUCUUAAAGAAAACAUAAGCUAGACUUAGUGAACAAAAGUAAGAAGCCAACAUAAUGCAGCAAAGAGUGGGUUGACAAAUACCCAAACUUGCAUUGAUCUCUAAGCACACCAAAAAAGAUACCAAAAAAGGAGGAGUGUUGGAUCCAUGACAUGGCUAAAGUGGUACCACAAGCUUAAAUGCACCCACAUGUAGGAAGGAAUCCUAAUCAAAGGAUCUAAAGCUCAACCUACAAGGUUAAGGUGGCUUUAAAAUACGGUAGGCUAAAAAAAGAGUCCUUAGUAGAAGUAAUCAUACCCUCCCUUAGUGCUAACCUCCUACACACCUUCGAAAAGAUGGUGUGCGUCCAUGCAAGGUGGUCAUUAUCUCCACACAUGCACUACCUCACAUCCUAAGGGGCUUCCUAAUGGUUAAGACUCUACUAUUGGUUAGCACAUCUCACAACUUUCAACAAUCAACAAUGAUCUAAAGUGCACACUGGUCACACAAAUAUCCUAAAUCUAUCUCUAGGCUAUACAAGUCUUCAAAGAUCAGACUCCAAGCAACAUCAAUGUGACGACCUUUUUCAUAAUGCUCCCAAAUAUACAUAUAGCACAUCAUUAGACCCUACUAAUCACUAGCUUGAUUGGAAAACAAACAAACAUAAAAACCUCACAUAAAACAAUUGUGAGAGUAAUGAAAGAAGGAAUCAACCAAGACUAAGGAGUCAUAAAUAGGGGGAUAAAUGUGUGUUCCACUUGAAUAAGAAAAACAUAGAUCAUGCAAAAGCAAGACAGUCAUGUAACAAAUAGUCUUGUAAAGCAAAUAAAUCAUCCUUAUCUACACAUAAACUAAACAUGGAUAAGAUGAACAAGAUGAAUAUACAACAAGAAUAAUCAUGCCAAGAUGAGUGAGUUAGAACAAGGAUAAUCAAUAAUGUGAAGAUGACAAGAUAAGUGUACAACAAUGGUAAGAUGGGUAGGAUAACAAUGCAAUAAGAAUAAUGAACAUGCCAAGAUAAAUAAGACAUGUAUAUAAUAGAAAGAAACAAGUGAAAGCUCUUAAAUGAAUAAAAUACACAAGCAUGCAACAUAGAUAAUCACCAUGGAAAAGCUCUCAAUGUGCUAAUAACACAAGCAUACAAUACCAAAGCACAAAAAAAGGGUAUCCACUGAUCAACUAAUCAAACACCAUAUUUCUCUUAACUAGAGCUCUGACUUGACCCUCUUUAUUCCCUAGUGGAGUCGCCAUUUUAUGGACCCACAUUUUUCAUUUGCAUCCCCACUCAAUGGUGAAACUCGUUUUAUUAUUGUGAAAACUUGAUUUUUGAAAAAAAUUAGAGUUACAACAUUUUUUUAUUUUUUUUAUUUUUUAAAGGAAAAGAAAUAAAACCCUAACCGACUCCUUUUGAAAGGAAAAUCAUGUCUACAAAAAAUUGAAUUCAAGUAUGGGAGUCAAGUUACUUAUUGGGAAGGUACCAUAGGGUAGCACCUCUCUAAGCCUUAAAGAGGUAUUUACUAAACAAGUGGAGGGAGAUAAGGUAAUUGACAAAUAGACUAAUAGACUAAUAGAUAUUGAGAGACAACAAGAACAACAUACACCAAGGCAAUGACAAUAAUAGAUAAAAGGAUAGAACAACCAAAACAAGGCAUGAAUAUGAAACUAAUAAAUCAAGAAAGGAAGGAAACAUACUUCAAGAAGUGCGUAAAAUAGGGCAAUAUACUUACAUAGAAAAGAGGGUUCACUCACAAAAAAGAUAAGAGAUAUAAAAUCAAAAUAAGACUAUCAAUCAUGUACAAUAUAUAUAUAUAUAUACACAAUUAAAACUGAGAAGCAAGUGAUGCUUAAACAUAGAUCAAGGUGAACUAAAAUAUGCUAAACAUGUAUAGGUUUCAAAACUGGCAACCUCAAAAUAAAUGCCAAUAAAAUAGUAAAAGGGGAUAUAUCAUACAAAGGUGUGUUGAUCUAACAUGUACAAGAUGUCUAUUAUACAAAUUAAUGAUCAAAGAAGAUAAAAAACAUGCAGAAAGGAAUUGAAAUAAAACAAAUGUACAAAGUAUAGAACAAGAGGAUAGAACAUAGGUGCUUACAAAAUAAAUCAAAAAUAAAUAAUUAGAAAGAGGAUAAAAUCAUAAAAAAAAAUUGCACAACAUCCCUAGAGUGAAAACAAUAUAAUCCAAAAUUCCAUAGAGCCUAAUUAUACAACAAUUGUCUUAGAUUUAUAUGAAAAAAAAAUCAUAAUUGUAGAUUCAAAUAAGCACAACAAGCACAACAAGAUUAAAUUAAAUCUCAAGCUUGAGAAUUGAUUUUGGAGUGAAAACAAAGCUUAAUGGAUUAUUUAAGAAAUCUAGUAUAUUGGAAAAACAUAAAAGACAAUUUGAAAACCCAUGAGCUAAUUUAGAUUUACAAAAAUACUUCGGGUGUCAACAAUAGGGCAAAAUCUAGACCUUUUGAAAAACUAAUUUAAUAUAUAAGUUUGGAGAAGGAUUUUCGAUCAAAAAUAAAAAAUUGUUUGACACAUUUAAUAAUUUCAAAACAUCAUCCAGUCAUAGAAAAUAUUUUAGGGAAAACCAAAAUGGUCCAAAUUAAAUUAAACAUUUUAGGAGUCUAAAAUAGGGUAAUUGGUGGGUGGUUUUUAAGAAUCCAAAAGUAUAGGCCCUUUCCAAUACACAAAUUAAUUUUCAUGAAUUAAUCUACAUCUCUUACUCAUUGAUCAUCAUGAAGAGAAGCUUAUGAAUCCUAGAGGGUAUUAUAUUUAUUUUAGAAUUGUGAAAUUUAUCCAUGUUUACAAAAUUAAGAAAAUCUGAAAAUCAUUUGUUUAAAAAUGAGUGAUUUAGGUCAAAGAAAUGUGUCAUGGAUUAGUCCAUAGGGUGAACAUUCCUUCCUAACCCUUAAAUGAGUGUGAAAUCAGACCCAAAAAAGGCAUGGAGGGCCAAGGAACACUCAUGUAUGGAAAGGAAGGUUGGAUUUCACAAAGAAAUGGCCAUGGAUGUGGGUAUUCUUAUGUGAAAUCAUCCAUUAUGUGUGCUGAAAGAAUAAAAAUUAUUAACUAGAUGAAAAACAAUUUUCUUUGGCCUUAGACAACCAUGGGAAAGGUUUAUAGGUGUUGAGAAAGGCCUACGUAGAAAACCAUGUGAAAAUCCAUUUGAAAUUCAUGUAAAAAACACACAUUGCACACUUAAAAGGAGAGGAGUGUGUGUGUUGGAGAUCACAUAUUAAAACGAAAGGCUUUUUAGUAAGAAACAUAUGCAAUUUUCAAAUUUCACACUUAAAAGGUGUGCCCUUUAAGGAUUACAUAAAGAAAGAAUUACACUAGAAUUAGCACACUGAAAGGACACGCACAAUACUCAAAUUGCACAUUGAAGAGAAUACGUAAAACCAGAUUGUGCAUUGAAGGAAACACAUACUAGAAAUAACGCAUUGAAUGGUUACGUCCAAUACUCAAAUUGCGCAUUGAAGAGAAUGUGUAAAAUAAGAUUGUGUAUUGAUUACUACUCAAAAAGUGUUAUUUUGUAGCUUGUAAUUAACUCUUUUAAACACUUUUGAGUAGUAGUUAUUACCUUUUAACUCAAUUAACAUAUUAAGUACCUUUGCAAUCGUUUCUAAUCAAAUUGUGUUAAGUUUUGGUGUUUUUGAUAGUAAUUUGAUCACCAAAGCAAUCCAAGAUUGAGGAGAGUUCUAUGGAAUCCAUGGUAAAGCAAUUGGAAGCUCAUUUACAUGAAGAACCCAAGCUUUGAAGCUUUAUAGUCCUUUUCCAUAAGCAAAUCAUGAAUGCAAGGAGGGAAAGCAAAGAGAGAAAUCUAACAUGAAGAAUUCAAGAGGAAAGCAACUUUUGGAGCACUUCUUGGAGCUCAUUUCAUGCAUACUAAAUGUCAUUUCAAAGCUCGGGAAGUCAGCAAUCAAACGCUUCAAAUGGUACGCAAAUCAAAGUUGAAAUGAAGAAGUUAGAGCCAUUGGAAGCCAAUCACACCAAGCUAAAGGCCAAUUUCGCAGGCUGCGAAAUUACAAGGUGAUGGCUGCGAAAUCACAAGGUGAUGGCUGCGAAAUUAGCCUUUGGCUGCGAAAUGGAGACCUUCAGCUUGCGAAAUUUCGCAGCCAUCUUGCAUGCCUGCGAAAUCCUCUUGAGUGCUUCCAGAUAUUUGCGACCGACACUUUUAGAUUUUUUUCUUCAGAUAUUUGAUGUUUAAAUCCCCAUUUUCUCCUUGUAAUCAACCAAUCAUAGGAUUCCUUAGUUAUUAAGUAAGAACAAAGGGUGAAUAACCUCAUAUAUAUUUUUUGUAAUUUUCAUUACACACAUAUCUCGGGAGCUUGUUCUCAGAGACAAUUUUUUGUAUAGUUUUGAAGGAAGUAAAAUGUAGAGCUUUGCUCUACCUUACUUACUCAAUUUGAUUGUAUUUUUCUUACUAUCCAAACAAGCUCUGAGGAUGUUUCCUCAAAGAAUGAGUGGCUAGACUUUUUGUCUCUUGGAGCUAAGGUGGCUGGGUAAGGUCCCGAGUGCAAGAAUUGGUAGUUUUGUUGUUUCAGCUGUUAAUGAAGAGAAAGUGUGACCCGUUAAUGGUUUCUAUGUUUUUAGUUAACUUAAAACACCUUUAACUCACCUGGGCCAACACUUGGUAAGGCAAGUGAUCUUCGUUCAUUGAGAUGCACUAGUUUACCUCUUGCGAGCUUUUGGGAGGUGACUUGAAGGUAUGAUUUUCUAGAAUUGCCAACACUUGGUAAGAUUUUGGACUCUAAGGAGACAUCCAUUAGUUAUCUCUUGCGAGCUUGAGAAGGGAAGUCCAAGGUUAAUGAUCACCUUGAAUGGUAAAUGCUAGGUGAGAGGCACGAGCCAUUGCAAGUUACAUCAGUGAGAGAGAUUUAGCAUUUGAACUCAUUAAAGGGAAGUAUCUGUACCACACCGAUUAGAGAAUUAACUAUAUGUUAAUUCUCUAAUACGAGGAAAAGAUUCAAGUGACCGGAACUCUUUUUUUGCAUAAGGAGCCUGACCCCAGUGAUCCUAAAACUCUAAGAAACGCUUUUCUUUAUAAGUAAUUCCCAAUAUUUUAUUUUAUUUAGCUUAAAACCAAUCCUUUUUAAACCAAAGUUUAUGUUUUCUUUUGAAGCUAACCUUGAAAUGAAAAACCAUCAAUUCAACUUUGAAUUAGUAUCGGUUGUAAGUUAAAAACCCUUCCCAGUGAACGAUCCUGAGCCACUAUGCUAUAUUAGCUAAGGCUAUCCUAGUGCAUGGUGAAAUAGGUUAUAAAUUUUGUUGAUUACUCCUGUCUGAGGGCCAAACUCAAGGUACACCAGCUAGGCACGCAAUCAUGUAUAAAAGAGAAUGCAUAAAAGUAAGAUUGCACACUGAAAGGAACUAUGCAAAAUUAGAUUGUGCACUGAAGGGGGACUACACAUAAAGAGAGACUAGAAUUCACUAGUGUACAUUGAAAAAAUGGAAGAAAAUCAAAUUGUGUACUAAAGGGGUGCGCAAUUUGAAAUUGCAUACUUAAAGAGAACGUAAGAAGGCACUGAAUAAAGGAAUGCACAAUCUAAAACUACUCACUUAAAAGUGCACGGGAUACAAGUGCCAAAAAAAAAGGCACGCUUAAACAAUUGCUCAACUCAAACUAGCACACCUAAGAAGUGCACAAUUUGAAAUUGAAGGUUGGCCAUGAACAAGAAAACACGUGCACAAACUGAGUGACUCUUAGCACAUAAUGAAGGUGUGCAAUCUAGAUGAAAAACAUCAAAAAGCACACCAAAAUGCACAAUCUAAAGGCAAACACCAUAAUGUGCAUUGGAAGAUGCACAAACUAAGAAUAAGAACAUUAUAGCACACUAGCAAGUGUGCAAACUGAACGAAAAACACUCCAAUGCACAUUAAUUGGCAUGUAGACUGGAUAAAAGCCUUUGAAUGAUGCUUGAAAAACAAGUUUGAAGAAGAAUUUUAAAAUCAAAUUUGUAAAGAAAAUCAAAAUUAAAACCAUAUCGAAAUUUGUUAGGAACUCUGAAUUACUCCAUUCCCAUGCCCUAAAUCGUGUAGGGUGCAUGCAAAUCUAUCAUAGUCUCUCUAAAUGUAUUGUAAUAGAUAAAAAAAAUAUUCAAAAACAAUAUGGAUACCAUAGAAAACAUAGAUCUAGAGAAUAAAGUCAUAUACCUUUGAUUCGGAUGUUCCCGGAUCAAUUCCAAUCGAUGUAGAUAACACCAAAGUCAUAAUGGAUCUCAUAAACACCAUGAUCUUCUGCCCAAUGACUCUUCCUUGUGCCUAGGCACUAAGAUGGUGGAGACUAGGGUUCUCUCUCUAGACUGAUGGAGAGAAUGAAAAGACUUGGAAACCCUAACCCCUAAAAGGGUAUUUAUAGGCUUCUUAUUGGGCUUAAGAGACUUAAGCCCACCAUAGGCUUGGGUCACUUAAUCUAUCCUAAAAAUGUUGUUAAUUGAUUAAUUAACCAUACCAGGCCAUAAUUAAUCAAUUAGCCUAAUCUAGGCAUACCACUCACUUAUCCUCAUGCAACCUUGCAUAAUUACCAAAAUACCCUUAUGCACAAAAGUGAACUAAGAACCCAUCCAACCCUCAUAAACUGUGUCAUCAAGGAAUAUGAGCUCAAAUUGAGGACCACUAGGACCCAUAGGAGUAUUGGCUUCCUCGAAAUCAAAUUUUGAAAUGGACUCAACAUCCUACUACAAAAAGCCAAGUACACUCCAACACCCUAUGUAUAUUACAACGAGACACCAUGUGCUCAAGUCUAUGACCUACUAUCUACUACAUGCAGACUUCCCAUGAACCGGUGUUUGUAAUCUAAUAAGGUAGUGCUAUCACCUAUCAAGAUUACCUUUCCAAUCCUUAAGUUGGAUAUCUCACUUAUUAUGUGAUCAAUUGACAUACUCCAACUCCAAGGAGCAUAUGUCAAAUUCCACUAAAUGAAUUAUUAUGGCCAUAGAUUUCGUGAUCAUAUGUCCUUUGGAUCACUCAAGGGGACACACUGUCUCAAUCUUAUGAGAUAUCAUGCUGCCUCUAUUGAGAAUACCUGUUGCCACUAGCUUCCAUCAACAAGAACCCAGUCCAUAGGGAUAUAUGACCACUUUAGGGUCUCACCCAUAGGUUAAAGUCUUCUGUUGAUUUUGGCAUAAGCUCAAUAUCCUUUCAAGGUUAAGAGUCCAUGCACUAUAGUAGCAUGGUGAAUCAUGACAAUUGAUAACCUUGCAUCAUGAUUCACCGUAGGUCCUGUCUAGUGUGCAUCACAUACACUAGUGCACUCACCAUGGAAAGCAUAUCCCAAUGGCCAAGAUAAGCCAUCCCUCAAAUUAGGAGGUGGUGCACUACAGUCUUUACUGGAUUGCCCAAAUCCAUGGACCAACUAUGGACAGUUAUCUACUUACAAGGAACCCAUGACUUGUAUCUUUUGUGAAAUUCCUAAUGCACCCAAGUCAUUUACAAAGAAAAAGAUGUGGACUAAAUGCUCAAAUCAAUGUCAACACACCAACGGGAUAGUAAGGGGAUAGUUAAGUUUAACUUUGCUACAUGAUGUCUUAUUUUUAGGGGCUUAAUCGCAACAAAGUCACCAAAAUGAGAUUAAAGAAAAACAAAAUAGAAAACUAAAUCAAGCAAAGCCUUAUUUCAUAAAUCAUCAAUGGACUUGACAACAAGUGAAAAAUCCAAAAGAAUUUUAAACCAAGUCGAAAAAAACUUCUAGACCAUUACACAAUAAAGUGAAUCAUUAAUUAAAACAAUUUUUAAGUAAUCUCAUUGAAUCCAAAGAUGAACAACAAAAGAAAAAAACAUGUAUUACAAAUAAGAAUCAACAAUCUAAUGUGUGACCUCCAAUAUCCACACCCAACCAACAAACAAUCUCUAGAAUCAGCAUAAGGAAGGAGAAGAACAACAAAUGAUAAUGAAAACAUGAAAUCAAAGUGAUCUUACCAAGAAUUCUCUCCUUAAGCAAGUGUUGAUCAGCUUCUAGUAUUUUUUUUUUCUUAUCCUUUAAGCAAGAAGAUCUUCUAAAUUCAUUAAAGUUCUUUCUCCAUAUAAAAAGAAAAUGGUAGAGUAUUCCUCCCAAAUGUAAGAGAGUCCCCUUCCAUUUAUCCUUCCAUAAUCUUCUUUCUUGCCAAAUGAGUCUUCCAAGACUUCUUUUAUAGAGUAAGGGAUAGGGAAGGUUUGGCCACUUGUGCUCAUCUCCUUCUAUGGUCACACUCUUUUAAAACCCCUAAAAAAUACUUCCCUAAAUCAAUCUCAAACUCCUCUAAAAAGUAAAGCAAAAACUUGAGACUAAAGCCCACAAAAAAAAAAAAAAAAAAAAACACAUAAACCAAGCCUAGGGGCUACUAAAAUCUCAUUGCGAAUUUAGAAACUCCUUCUAAAAGGCCUUAAAAAGUCCCAAGAGUCAGUGACAAACUAAAUGGUGGGUGAACCACACCACAGGGCGCAAUGAAUGACUAAAUAAAAGAGAAUCCUAAGCGCAUACUAGAAGGGAGUGGAAGACGGGGGAAACAAGUAUGAAAUAACAUGUGCUAUGAGGACAAAAUUGAGGGUCUACAACCAAAAGUAGACUAGCAUUACAAAAAGAAUCAACUUAAUUGGUUGGGAAUAGGUUCAACUAGUCACCCUUUCCUAGUCGCGGUCCAAUCUAGUUUGCAUAAAACUUUAUUAUUAUUUUUUAGAUAUCAUGUGUUCUCGGUUAAGGCAAACCCAUACCUAGUCAAGGCCUAAUCGAACCUCAAAAAGAACAAAAGUCACUUGUUAUAAAUUUAUUACCUAACGACUAGUUAACCGAUAAAAAAGAAGCUCAACUAAGAAAGGUUAGCUUUCUGCUUUUUGGGUGUUUGAGGUUGAAAACCUAUAAAAAAAGAGCUUUCAUUCAUUUGUACCAAGAUAAUUAUUGCAUUGAAUUCCCUAUCUACCAUUUUCUUUCAUUCAAAGUUCUCAACUCCUUAUGCAUUAUUCUUUCACUUGCAAAUCAUCCUUAGUGCAGCUUCUAUGUUCAUCCUAACUUUUUGUGUAUUCAAGCAUUUAUUGUGCUAGAUGGAGUGUUAUUAAACCUUCAUAUAUUUGAGUAAGGUUGACCAUUGAAGUUUCAAGUUGGUGUUAAACUGAAGGAGAUUUGUGUACAUGCCCAUUAGAACCCUCACUUGGAAAGGGGUUGAGGAGAAGUGAAUUGAAGCGAAAAUUGCCUAAUAACUAUAAAAGCUGAGUUUGUAUCACUUUAACUCUAUCUUCUUCCAUUCAUUGAACUAUUAUUUGUGUAAUUAAAGGUUUUCUUUCUUUAAUGUUUUUUAAACCCAAUUUGCCUCACCCGCCCCCCCUUCUCUUGGGUAUUUUACUUAAUUGUUUCAUAGAAUGCCCUUGAAAAUGCCUAGAACAAGGGCAACAAGCUUACAUAAGAAAAAAUUAAUUAAUUUAUUAAUAAAAGAAGAUAUUUAUCAUGAAAUCAAGGAUCGCCCAACAUGUACAAGAAGUUUGUAACUUAAAUCAAAUGUCAAAAGUAGCUUAGCUAGCAUCAAAUGGGACUAAUUCAACAAGAUAUACAAAGUGUGAAAAACCAAGACAACAUGCUAAUGUGUGAAAGCUUGUAUUUAAGAAGAUUCAAGAUGAAAUAAAAAUCAAGGCAAAAAUUAUCUAACAUAUAAAAGAUUGUUAGGACAUUGAGUCUUGUUUAUAUGUUAGCAAUUUUGAAUAAAUUUAUGUUUAACCAUGGAAGUUUUUUUAAAUAGUGACUUACUUUCCAUUGAAAAUCAAGGGUUGUUAUUCGUUCAACUUGGAAGUCACAGGUAUGUCUAAAAAGGUUUGGCUUGUGGCAUAUAAAGGCUUAUUUGAGGUAUAAAAUGCUCAGUAUCAUUUUUUAGCUUAAAAUGUUUUAAAAUUGAUUUCUCAAAAAACAAGGGACACUCAAGCAGUUCAUCCCACUCAAGUGGUUAGAGCGUUGAAGCGGUCUAAGUUUGCUCAAACAGUCAUGAUAGUCCCACCAAGUUUAGAAACAUAUUUUGAAUGAAUUUCAAUCCAACUGUAAUUUGGAAACUUGUGAUAGUAAAAUCCUUAUGGCUUUUGCCUAUAAAUACCAGCCUUGUAACCCUUUGAGGGUUAGAGAAUCAGGUUAAGAGAUUAGAGAUUGUAGAGAUCUAAUUUUUAGAGACCUCUCAUUCUUUAGAGGUACUCUUUGAGAGGAAAGAAUAAUUAACCUAAUAUCUUGCAAGGCUAUUCUAAAAGGUUUAUAUUUAUAUUUGUUCCUGCAUAUAUUCUGGUUGAAGAUAGUGAAUAAAUUUGAUUGAUUGGUUAAUUGGUUAUUAAGUUUGUUGAUUUGGUAAUCUUGUGGUGGUUAUACCUAGAAUCAAUUAUUGAUUUGUUGGGAUUAUUUUUGAGUUUGUUAGGUUGGUUAUUCUUGUGGUUAUUAUCCCUAACAUUCUUCAACCAAUAUUGUUAAUAUUUGGAUAUCAAUUAACCAUAAAAAUCAUAUUUUUAUUUUUAAUAUCCAAGUUAUCCUUAUAAUAUCUUGGAUAAGAAAAGCGAUCAUAAUUUACAAAUAUUGAUUUAAAAAUUUAAAAUCACUCAUUCAUCUCUCCUUUAGGUGUUCCUUAUUGGACUUUUGAUUAUUCAAAGUGUAUUCAGAGCAAUACCCAUAUUUUUUCAAAGAUGUCUUAAAAAAUUUCAAAAGUCAAAGGAACCCAAAUAAACACUAACUAAUACAAAUUUCAAUAAACAUUUCAUAACUCAAAAAUAGGACAAUAUACAAACACAUAAAAGAUUGAUUUAUUCCAUAAGCAUAACAAAUAAUUUUUUAACAAGGCCAAAUGUCUAGAUAAAAUUACAAGUCUUAAAAAAAAAAAAAAAAUGAAUGAAUUGGGAUUGAUUCACAAAAGCAUUUAGUUGCUCCAAAAUAGGGCAACAAACAAGCAAUUGAGAGAAAUGAAUUAUUUAAAAAGCUUGGGAAAGAGUUUUCCAAUAAGGCAAAAAAUCUUUAACACAUUCAAGAUUUCAAAAUCCAUUUGAAGCUUCAAAAAUAAUUUAGAGCAUGUCAAAUGGCCUAGAUUUACAAAUAUAUUUUGGGACUAAAAAAUAGGGCAACAAGUAAUCGACACUUACAAACAAUAUAUGCAAGCUUAAACAUAAACCUAAAUUUUUAUGCAUAGACAAUCCAACAUUUCAACCCCUUAAUAAGCAUGACAAGAGCUUAUAAGGGCUAAUAAUAAUCUUAUUCAUCUUAGGUUUCAUGGAUAGUUCAUGUCUCCAAAAUAAAGAAAAAUUGAAAAUCAAAUGUUUAGAAAAUUGAGUGAUGUUGGCCAAGGGCAUAGGUCAUAGUUCAACUAUAAGGCUCUCUCACAUUCUCAGCCCCCAAAUGAACAUGAAAUUAAGUUCAUAAAAGGCAUGGAAUGCCAAAUUAUACUCAGAUUUGGAAAAAAAAAAAUUGUUGAAAUGCACAUAAAAGUAGAUUAUAAGGGUAUGUGUUUUCAUGUAAAUUCAAGUUAUUUAUGUCAAGGAACGUGGCUGUCAUUAAUAACCAUAAAUUAGCCACAAAUUCAAGUCCCUAAUGAUCAUAGAAGUAUAUUCACAAGGGUUGAAAAAUGACUUUCAGUGCUCCACAAUAGUUCCUUGGUGGCCCAUUGCUACUCACACUAUUUACCUUUUUUUUAGCCACCUUAGAGACUCUGGUUGAGGGAUUUAUCUAACCCCAUUGUGACUUUUAGCAACCCUAAUUUAGACUUAGGCUUUUCCUUCCUUUUUAGGAUAGCUUUUAGGUGCACUAUUAAGAUAGUACACUUAGGCAUGUUUAGGUCACUUAGACAAUGUCCUGAUCACUAUAGGUCACUUAGACACUAUCCUAAACCACCUAGGCCCAUUAAGACACAUUAGGCUUACCUAGGUCACUUAGGCUCACUUAGGCACACUUGGCCCAUUAGACAUUUUUAGCAUGACUUGUAUGAGUUGCAUGGUUGCAUGGCUUGUGUGGCUCAGUUAUUUAUUUAUUUAUUUUUAUUUUUAUUUUUAUUUUUAUUUUUAUUUUUAUCAUUAUCAAUCACUUGUUUAUUUUUAUUUGUUAACUUCCUUUUUAUAUUAUUUUUCUUAUUUUUUUAAUUAACUUAUUUAUUUAUUAUUGUUUUAUCGUUUUCUAACUUAUUUACUUAUUUAUUCAUUCAUUCAAUUAUUUAAUUUAAUAAAUUUCAUGCUUUUGCAAGGAAACUUACCAUUGGAGUUUAAGAAAUGUGGGACUCUCCUUGGAAGACGUUUUAGGGGAGUUUUAAAUUUUGAGGAUUUGUUUUGGUGCGGAAGAUAUGGAGAUGGCAUGGGAGUCUAAGGAAAGUGAGACUCUCCUUGGAAGGCAUUUUUGGAAAGUUUGAAAUUCUAAGGAUUUGUUUUGGUAAGGAAGAUAUGGAUAUCGGGAGUUUAAUUAGACUCCUUGAGAAUAAUUGAGAGUCCACAACUACAUGUAUUUUUUAAUAUAAAAAGGAGAAUUUGAACUGAAAUGGGAUUUUUGGAUGGGAAGAUUGGAAAAAAAAGAAAAGAAAAACGGGAGACUAUUAUUGGAGAAUGGAUUCACGGAUGAGAGGAAUUCUUUUAGACAUCAUGUCAUUAAUGGAAUUAUGUGCGCCGCCUUCAAAAGGGAGAACCACCCUUGGAAAGGAGAGGUUGCCACUUAAAAUCCACAAGACGUUUACAUUGAAGGAACACGUACAGCCCACAUAAAAGAACACGCACCAUAAGUUUACAAAAUCGACCACACUGCCAAAUUUUUGGAGCAAACAACCAGCAGGCAUUCUGGACAUGUUCCAUGGAGAUUGGGGAAGAAACAGCUGCACCAUCAAUAUAGAGAAGAGGGCUACCACUUUGAGUCUUCAUUACGCAUCAGAUUUUGAUCCAAAGAGAAUCAUUCACAACCCGGAAAGAAUAUACGGACACAUGAUAUGUGUGGGAUUUUCCAUAGGUUGCAGGCACCAUCUUGGGGAGAGCUUUUUUUCUGGAGAGAACAUGCCUACAUAGCCCAUGCACAGCCUGCACCUCUUCACAACUGUCAUCCAUGAUCAAAGUCACAGCCGGCUCCAAGCACCAUUGCUCCAUACAGACGCAGCCGUCAUGCUCCGUCCAUUGAGUGGCGAUCACUCCACCACGCACCAUGAGAGGCAUCAAUUGAUGGGGCAUCAAAGCUGAUCCCUUAGGAGUCACUAGAUUUUAUUAAGACUUUGUUGGCUGCGGUUUUGGAGAUCACAUAGCUGCAUAUUUAGAAGAUGCAACAGACUGCCGUGGCAAGACGCAUAGGAAGGAAAGGUGAUGUCCAGAGAAUGAGGAGAAUAAUCACACUACCAACAAUGCAUUACUGUCAUUUGGUGCAUUCCUCGAACCCAAAACCCUCUCUCAAUUCCAAACGCGUUUGGGAUUCACUGUUUCUGCAAGUCUCGAUGCAUUUCGGUUUAUUAAAGGUCAUCCUUCCGUCCAAUUGCACCCCGAGAUUGACCGACAGUGGAGUGCACGUUUUGGAGCCCUUGUAAUCAGAAGAUAGAUGGGACCCCUGCCACUUAAUGAUGACGCACUCCGGAUUGGACCCCAAGCCCACUCUCGCAUGGCUUGCAUGGCCACCCCUUUUGUACAUUAUUUUAAAGCCCGCAUGACUCAGUCCUUAAUUCUUCUUGCAUGUUUUCCAAAAUGGAUUUUCAAAGAUCCAUUCUUUUUCAAUUUUCUGGUGAAAUAUUAGACAGUUGUAGUGAGGACUAUCUCCCAAAUUUUUACCAAGUUAGUGAAAGAUCUCCUGGAAAUGAUUGUAUACCAGUCGGCCGGGUUGGAAUUUUUGAAUUCAUCUAGACAGUACAAACUGAUUCUGGCUAGCCCAUGCAGCCUUUUGAGUUUGUGGAAAUGGCAGCGUACAUGAAGAACAGAUGGCAACAUGCUUGCCUCUCGCAUUGAAGCUUUCACCAUCUAUUGCAGCGACGGAGCACAUAUCCUCAAAGCAUUCACUUGGGAAAAGCUAUUGGAUUCCAUAAUCCCUCUAGAUCGUUCUCUCUUCUAGCCGACUUUAGCCAGAACCAAAUGCAAUCUGGUUAUCUUUUCCAGAGCCAUCAUGAGGGAACUGGCUUCAGAGUUUCUGGAACUCUUCAUCCCUCACCGGAAAUCACCAAAACUUUGAACAACAGGGAGUCCCGGAAAGUGCCAAAAGAGAGCAGAAUGUAGUUAGGAAUUCAACACCAGCAAGACAGUCUCAGUCAGGUCUCCAGGCUCCACCCAUACAGUUGCCAACUUGGUGCACACCAUCCUCCUCUUAUUACUUCUUUUCUUUCCUGUGAACUUACACAUUUUUAAUCUGGAUUUCAAAAUCUUUCCCAUUAAAUAACUCCAGUUUUCUUUAAAAUUCCAUCCGUAGGAGUUCAUAGAUAUUGAAAUCCAGAUUUCAACAAAUCAUUGUUGCCACCUUCCUUCAAGCAUGCAUUUUCACUAUUUUCUUUGAUUUUUAAUUAUUUUCAUAAUUUUGUUGAUUUUUAACCAGCAUGAACAAACUUCAUGGUGCCAAAUAAUGGAAUUCAUUGAACCAACUCAUGCAAAAUUAAUUUGGGGAAUUGGUGGAACCCCUACAUAAAAUCAAUUUUUUCAAAACUCUUCCUUGCUGCAUGUUUUCACUCAACCACUGACCCUUUAUCUUUAAAAUUCGUUUUAGCAACUUCAGAAUAUUUUUAAAAAAUUUAUAAAACUUGUAUGAUUUUCUUCACUUCUUGAACUUGAAUUUAAAAUUUUGUUUGAGUUAGAAAGCAAUUUUGGAAUAGAAUAUAUAAAUGAGUUUUUAGGAGAGCUCUGUUUUCACCCAAUUCUGGACACAUGAAAUAUUUUUGUAACAAUAAAAUAAUAGAUGAAUUUUUAAAUUUGAUUCAAUAUUUUUUCUUAAUUCUAGAAUUCCUUAAAUUGAUCUCAGGCAUAUAAAAUAUUAAAAAAUAUGCAUUUUUGGGACAGAUAUGAUUUUUCAAAAUCAUACCUACUAUGCAUGAUGGAAUUUAGACAUCUGAUUAGUUAGAGUGUUUUAAAAAUAUUUUUAAGUACUCCCCGACCCUGGAUUUAUUUUUCCUAUGAUAUAGACACUUUGAACGAUGUGUGUGAUUUUUUGUACAACUUUAUGUCAUCUCUUAUUAUUUUUAAGAAUUUUUUUUAUGCAUGCUACCCUUUUUUUACCUAAUAUGGACUUUGUAGAAAUUUUGGGGUGUCUUUGCUGCAAUUUGUCCUUUGAAUGAGUGUUCGGUUUUUAGUAUGUUGAUUUAGAUUUGUAGGAUUUGUUUCCUGAAAUUUUUUGUAAUUAAAUUCCACUCCAAGAUAUUUUUUUAUAAAUUGUUUUGUGAUGCUCCCUUUUCUAAUUGCAUGAUGAUGACCUUGUACUUUGCUUGAAUUUGUUAUCUGUUUUUGGAGUUAUUUGACUUAUCUUGGCUCAAUUUUGACUUUGAUACUGUAUAUUAGACAUAAUGAAUAUGUUAUAGGAUUUAUACUUGUCCUAACCACUCUAGCAAUUUUGGGGAAUCUUAUAAAUUAUGCAUGCUAUCCAGGUACACUCUCUAUCACUUACUUUUCGGAAUUUUAUGAACAUGCAUGUUGUUGUGAGCCUUAUCCAUGUUUGAUUCCAUCUUUAGGUGCCUAGAUGUCUGUUCGAUUGGCUCUGAUUAAAUACAUGUCGUGUAUUAUAUUUUUGUGCUAACUUUAAUGUCUUAUGAUAGCGCUUGAGAGGCAGUCCAAGUACAUAUCCUAACAUUUCUUUGUGAUUGUGAUUUGAUCUCUUUUUUGGCAUGCUAGUUUUGAAAUCACCUUAGUCUACUAGGUACCUUCAAUCAAUUGAUUAAUUGCCACUUUUCCCUCAACUUAGUCAUUAUAGACCUCUUUAGGGCUUAGAGGGGUGCUACCUCUUAGAGGUACCUUCCCAAUAGGUAACCUGAUCCUCGGACCAAGACUCGGGUUUUUCAAGCCUUGUUUUCCAAAAACUAUUGAGUCACUUCUUUAGGGUUUUCUUUCUUGUUUUAUUUUCCAUUUUAAAAUAAAAUAAAAUAAGUGGCGACUCCAACUUUUCCAAAACUAAUUUUUCACCAAUAAAAAUAAGUCUCACUGAUUGAGUGAGAACACACAUGAAAAAUGCGGGUCCACAAAUUGGUUUUAAAAAUACUUGAAAAAUUAUAAAAUUGAGAGAAACUACUUAUAUUUUCAAGCAAAAUAGUAAGACUAAAGUCCAUGUCUAUGGACCUAAACUUUGGCCAUGAGAUUGACCAUCAAGGUGAGUUUGAAAUUCCAUUAAAAAAAUUAUUGAAAUAAGAGUUAAUAAUCAAUUUUGAGAAGAAAACAAAAAACCAAAAGCAACUUUAUAGAUUUUUUUCUAGGAAGAAAAUAUUUUGGCAAAACAUCAAACACAUGUGGUUCUCUAUUUUUCUUUUCAAAAUUAGUAAAAACUACUUCCAAAAGUAUUAAAACAAAGGAAAAUCAAAAUCCCCAAAGGAUGAACAAAAGAAAACCCAUAGGUUACAAAGUAAGACACCCAUAUCAUGUUCUGAAAAUCAAUAAGCUCCAAAAAGAAAAUAUGCCCAAGAAAUGAAUAAAUUAAAGCUAGUCAAGGUAUAAAGAAUAUCCAAACAUCAAUUAAAGUAAAUAAACAAGCAUCUAAUAAGCAUCUAGACUAAAAAAAAAAUGAAGAAAAUCAUAUUAGACACAAAAAAUGAAGAAAAAAAUACCCAAAAUCAUUCAUAUGAUCUUCCAAUAUUCACAACCCAUAUGACCAUCAUCUAAAGAAUCAAUAAAAAAAUAAAAUAAAAACUAAAACAAAAAAAAAAAUCAAAAUUAAGAACUUACGAAAGAAACUCCUCCUAAGUCUAAUACUUGGCUUCUAGUAUGGAUAAAUCUUCUUCCCCAAGCCAAUUUCACCUCCAAACUUCCAAUAUUAUUUUUUACCUUUUUUAUUUUUUAUUUUCUCAAAUUAGAUAGAGUUUUCCCUUAGAUAUCAAAGAUAUACCCUAAAAGUGUGCUCCAAGGCUCAUAUUUAUAAGUUAAGGGAGGGUAGAGAUUUUAACUCAUGUCAUCAUCUCCACUAAAACCAUGAAAGAUUUUUUUUUUUUUUUUGGAGAAACUUAUAUUUUAUUGCUCUAAUCUUUAGAACAUGGGCUACAUCUAUUUAAAUAACUAGCAAUUAGAUAAUUCCUAUGCUAAAAACAAGGACACAGAAAAAUAAAUUUGAUUAUAAUCUUAAUCUGAAUAAAAAUUUGACUAUGUACAAAAAAACUAGAAUUCAAAUAAUUCCUCAAAUCAAGGAAUCUAUCCAUUCUAAAAUUCUGAGUCCAAUUUGAACCGGUCUAAUCAAACUAACUUUCCAACACUCCCCCUCAAGUAAGGGCAUAAAUGUCUAUCAUACCCAACUUAUCCACAUUAUCUUUAAAGUCUUAUCUCAUAAUCCUUUUAGUUAAAACAAUUGCAAUUUGGCUUUUGGACGACAAAUAUGCAUAUUUCCCCUUGCUCAAAUUUUUCCCUAAUGAAAUGUCAGUCCACCUCCACAUGUUUUGUUCGAUCAUGGUGGACUAGAUUGUGGAAGAUGCUUAUAGCUGCCUUGUUGCCAGAAUACAUCAUAGUUUGAGGAUGAAUUGUAAUCUUUAGUUCUUCUAAUACUCUCUUGAUCCAUAAGACUUCACAAAUUCCAUGAGCUAUUGAUCUAAACUUAGCUUCAACACUACUUCUUGCCACCAUAUUUUGUUUUUUGCAUCUCCACUUGAUGAGAUUUCCAAACACAAAUGUACAAUAGCCAGAUGUUGACCUCUUAUCUUCUAUAGACCCUGCCCUAUCUACAUCCAUGAAGACUUCUUUCUUUAAUUGAUCAUGCUUUCCAAAGUGAAGUUCUUUUCCUAAGGUUCCUUUGAGAUAAUGUAGUAUUUUUAUAGACAACAUUCAUGUGUGUUUCAUAUGUAGAAUACAUGUACUAACUAAUUAUACUUACUUCAAAACCAAUAUUUGACUAAGUGUGAGGAAGGCAGAUGAGUUUACCAACUAGUCGUUGGUAUCUUCCUUUGUCAAUUGGAUCCUCUUUUUUUAACUGAAUCUAUCUUGUGUCUUGAAUCAAUCGGAAUGUCAUCAGGCUUGCAACCAAGCUUCCCUGUUUCAUUGAGUAACUCUAAAGUGUACUUUAUUAAUAAAUAGAGAUUCAAUUUUUAUUUAUGACAAUCUCCAUCCCUAGAAAAUACUUUAGUGUGCCAAGGUCUUUCACCUCAAUUCCUUAACUAGGAUCUUCUCAAAGCGUCAAUUUCUACAUGAUCAUUACUUGUUAAAAUCUUAUCAUCAACAUAAACUAUGAUAAAAAUUACUUUACCCUCAUUAGUAGAUUAGUAAAACAUGGUAUGAUAUGAAUGUCCAUGAAGAUAGCCAUAAUGUUUUACUACUCUAGAGAGUCUUUCAAACCAUAAACUUUAUUGGAACUUCUUUUUUCAAGUCCUGGUGGUACAUCCAUGUAAAACACCUCUUCUAAUUCCCAAUUAAAAAAAGAAUUUUUUAUGUCCAAGUGUUGAAUGGGCCAAUCAUAGUUUGUAGCUAGAGAGAAGAAUUCAGAUUAUGUUUGGUUUUUCCACCGGUGCAAAAGUCUCUUGGUAAUCUAUCUCGUAAGUCUGAGUAAAUCCUUUAGUAAACAAUCUUGCCUUAUAUCGUUCCAGCAGGCUAUUAGAUUUUUAUUUUAUUGAAAAUACCUAUUUACAUGCCACAAUUCUUUUAGCUUUUAGUUGGGUAACAAGUUCCCAUGUUCCAUUUUUUUUUUCAAAGCUUUGACUUCCUCCACAACUAGUGUUAUCCAUUUUGGAUCACCAAAUGCCUAUGCAUUUUUUGGAACUUCUAUGGAAGAAAUGUGAGAGACAAAAACAGAAAAAAUAUGAGGAUAAUCUAUGAUAAGAGACAAAAUUAGAUAUGAGAUGAAUGGUACAACAUCUAACACCUUUCCUAAGUGCUAUCUAGAUAUCUAAGCCACUAAGCACUAGGUCUACAAAAAGUGAAGAAUGUGAGGAGGAUGACGAAUUGUCCAAACCUGAUUCAAGAAUUAUCUCUCGUGUGGUUUCACGGCAAGGCGUGAGUAUAUUAGGUGCUAUACACUUCCUUGAGUAGACUUUGAACUAUGGUGUAGACUGGGUUGUUGGUGGCAAUGCUUUAUCUCCCCCUACAUUUGGCAAUUUGUCAUGUAUUGGAAAUAUUGUUGGGUUGAACUAAAUGGAAAAAAUGGAUGGAGAGAUUUAAGUGGACAUCUGAAUAGUUGAUAGGAGUCUGGAUUGGUUGCUAGUAGUGUAAGAACUAGAAAAGAAGAUUGUGGAAUUUCCCAUGACGAAGCUUCACUAGAAUUUUCCCUCUAAAGCGAAGUGUAAUAGGGUUGUUGUUCAAAGAAGGUUACAUCUUUAGAGAUGUACAUUUUUCAAUUAACAUGAUCAAAACAUCUAUAUCUUUUUUUAGUUGUUGCAUAUCCUAAAAAUAAUCAUUUUAUAACCCUAAGAUCAAGUUUACCACGAUUAUGUUAAUGAACAUGUAAAAAAGUAGUACAUUCAAAAAUUUUAAUUGGUAAAUCUUGGAAAAUUUGAGAAUAUGGGAAUGAAGCAAGCAAAACAACACUGCUAGUUUUAAAAUUAAGAACUUUCGAGGACAUCCUAUUGAUCAAAUAUGAUGUUGUAAGAAUGGUGUCCCCCUAGUGUAUUUUUCUAACAUUCAUUAAAAAUAAUAAGGAUCGAGCAACUUCUAAGAGGUGCUUAUUCUUCCUUUCGGAAACUCCAUUUUAUUGUAGAGUAUCUACACAUGAAUUUUGAUGAAUAAUCCCAAUAGUUGAUAAAAAAUCUUCAAGAACAACAUUUAUAUAUUCACUACCAUUGUCGGUUUUAAGAAUUUUAAUGAACGUUUGAAAUUGGUUUUAUAUCACUAAGUAGAAAUUUUUGAAGGUUUGAAAGACUUCGAAUUUUUCUUUAAGACGGUAAACCUAGCAAAUUCUUGAAUAAUCAUCGAUGAAGGUAAGGAACCAUUUUCUACUAGUUAGAUUUGUUGCUCAAGAUGGUCCCUAAAGAUCAUUAUGUAUGAGAAUAAAAGAUUUAAAGGGCCUAUAAGGUUUAGUAGGAAAUACUAAUACUGUAUGCUUUACCAUUUGAUACACUUCACAUUGAAAAUGGGACAACCUUUUAUUUUUAAAGAGUUUGGAAACAAGAACCAAAGAUACAGAAAGCUAGGGUGCCCUAAUCUAUAGUGCCAUGACAUUAUUUCAUGAUAUAAAAGAAAAUGUAAAACAUUUUUACCAACAAUAGCAUCUUAUCCUUUCACAACUUCACGGUCAUCAAAGUGGUAUAAACCUUCACACUCACAUGCAUUGCCAAUCGUCCUCCCCGAAGCUAAGUCCUGAAAAACAAUAACAAUAGAAGAAACUUUAGAUACACAAUUGAGAUCUUUAGUGAGUUUACUAAUGGACAAUAAAUUACAUGAUAAAUUUAGGAUAUGUAAGACUGAUUCAAGAAAAAUAGUUUUUGUUAGGGAGAUGGUUCCUUUUCUAGCAACUGGGGUAUACAACUCAUUCACAAUUUGGAAUUUCAUAUUAUCGACACGUGGUACAUAUGUUGUAAAGGAAGUGAAUGACCUUGUCAUGUGAUCUGUAGCUUUGGAAUCGAUGAUAUAAGGUUUAUAAGAAUUGGCUAACACACUAAAUGGGUAUUGAGUUCUACUUGAUAGUGUUAGAGAGCAAGAUGGCAAGGGAUUGACAUUUGGUGAACCUAAGAUAGAAGUGGAUGCGGUUUGUGGAUUAAUGAGAUGUUGCAAGACCUUUAACUACUCCUUGGUGAAUGGUGAAGUGGUUGUUUGGCUGUGAGGGUUCUCAUAUUCACUAUAGUAGGCUUUAGAAUUGUGGUUGGGUCUUAGGUUUCUCCUAGUAGGCAACUUCUUGUGGAUCUUCCAGGAUGUAUAUCUUAUGUGGCCUUGUUUUUUAUAGUAGUCACACUAAGAACAAUCACCAUUUUUUCCUGGUCAUUGGUCGUUUGGUUGAAAAGUCUCCCCACCAUGAAUAACCAGGGCAAAGUCUCAAAUUGGCUAGAUUGUUGUUUUCCCAACAUUACUUUGUACCUACUCUCUUCCCAUCGUACCUUAAAGAAAGAUCUCCCUUAUAGAUGGAAAUGACUAUUUUCCUAGGCUUCAACCUCAAACCUCAUCAAAUUCCUUGUUGCGUCUUACCAAAAAGUCAAAUGCCCUUUCUUUUAUGAGAAUCUUGCAAUAAUGGGCAUUGUCUUCACAAUAUUUCCAUUCCAUAUUAGAGAAUAAAUCAUGGUCUUGCCAUGCAUUUUAAAGGAUAUUAUAGUAUUGUGUAACAUUAUAACUACUUUAUUUGAUAUCUUCAACUUAGUUUAAAUUUCAAACAUUUGAGUAGCAUUACCUAAAUCUAAAUAAUUCUCUUGGACUGCAUCCUAAAGGUCCUUGGCGGGUAGAAAGAAAGAGGUAAGUAUGCCCAAUAGCUACCUCCAUGGAGUUGAUUAACCAGGCCAUUACCAUGUAGUUCUUAGAAUCCUAGGUUUGGUACGCAUGAUCUUCCAACUUAGGUGCUUUGUUGGCACUUGUGAGAUAGCCUAACUUUCCUUUUCCUCAUAUGAACAGUUUCACCAAUUGCGAUCAUUGGAGAAAAUUACAUUCAUUUAAUUUAUGUAUCGUAAUUUACAGGGUUGGAUUUUCUAUACCGCUUGGAUUUGUUGUUGGAAUUUGUAUUGUGAAGUCCCAGGUGAGGCAUUAGAUUCCUCCCUGUGAGUUGCACUAGUCAUAGCAGUCUUCACUAUCCUUCUACUUUUUUUUUUUCUUCUCUGGCUCUAAUACCAUGAAACCAUGAUAGGGUUUUUUUUUUUUUGGAUAAAGUUAUAUUUAUUGCUCUAAUCUUCAAAACAUGGGCUACAUCCUUUUAGAUAACAAGAAAAUAGAUAAUUCCUAUGCUAAAAAAAAAGAGAUGGAAAAAAAAAUCUGAUUCAAAUAAUUCCUCAAAUCAAGGAACCUAUCCAUUAUAAAAUUUUGAGUCCAAUUUGAACUAGUCUAACCAAACUAACUUUCCAACAUCCAACUAAGUUGAAAUUAUCUUUAAAACCCUUGAAAAUUAAAACCCAAAUAAAUAGACUCAAAACCUUAGGUUUUUAGGCCCACAAACCCCCUAAAACCAGCCUAAGAGCUAAAAAAAGGGUAAAAAAGUUUGACAAAGAAAUAAGAAUAAAAAAGGAUCAAAAUAAGGAACUUUUUAGCAAUUGGUUGAGCUGGUACCUCAAUCUACUAAAUUAGUUCCCUAGACUGGUUGAACUUACUAAACCAGUUUCCUAAACUAUUUGAAUCGAUGAAACUAAUUAAGGCAAAAAAGGGCUCGAUUCUUACUGAUGAAGCUCUAUUUGAACUCCAAACAUACUGAAACUUUAGAGACUCCUAGGGUGACACUAAAGUCAUAUUGUGGAUCCAAAACUAUAUCUAAAAAGUCUUUCAAAGUGGCUCAAAAGUCAAUGCUAAAGACGAGUAUUGAACAUCCCACCAAGGAGUAUAGGAACAAUCACACAAAGGGGGUCUAGAUGUGCUACACAAGGGCACAAAGUGAAGGACACCAAGUAUGAUCUACAACAUGUGCUAUAAAGACAAUAUGGAGAGUCUAGAUGCACUUUUUGAGAAGACCUGAUUAGCCUUCUUGUAUCCCAAACUCUUGAAAACAUUUUAUCUUCUCAUUUGUUAGGUUAGAAAAGAGAUUCCAUAAGGCACAAAAGUAAAAUACACUAGGAGUACACAUGGUGUUUCACCAUGGAUGUGAAGUUCAAUGGACGUGUUGGGGAGUAAGACUUAGGGAUAGCAUCGAUCAAGUAAAUCUAUCUAUUGUCCUUUCGAAUAGUUGAUUUGUGAUUAGAGGUCUCUAACCACAUGAUGUUUAUAUCUAAAUGGUCUCGAGAAUACUGUGUGGAUUUUCACGUAAAAAAAUAUUUGUCUUUCACAUUGACUUAUUUAUUCUUGCCCUUAUAACAAAUGGGAAAGUUAAAAAAUGAAAAAUAAUUAACUUUUGGAUUAAAAAAAUUAUCUAUGUGCCUUUUGUAAUAAUUUAUUUCUUUUUUCAAAGAAGUUAAAAAAAUAAAAAAUAAUUAAUUUUUGGACUAAAAAUUUUGUGAAGACUAUAUACCCAUGUUAAUGGCCUCAUGUGGCAUAAGAGAAUCACAAGAAUGACGAAUAAAAACAUGUGGUAUAUAUUAUUUGUCAUUGCCAUUAUUCAUUUGUUGGUGGUAAAAAGUAAGAAGUGUAGCUAUCAAAAAGAUUUUUCUUGUACCUUUUUUCUUUGUUAGAGGUGAAAAAACAUGAUUUUAACAUGACGAGCUAGGCUUAUUGAUUUAUGUUUUCGUUUUAUUUUUUUAUUUUUAUUUCUGAUUUUAUUUUCCUAGUUUGUGUUUCACAUGCCACCUUGAGGAGGGAUAUUGGAGAUAUAAAGAUAUUUGACUCUGCCUAAAUUGAAAUAAGGAGAUAUUUGACUUUUCCUAAACAAUAUAGAGGAUGGAGAUCUUUCUUGGUAGAAUCUGAUUUAUUACUUUUUAUUGUAUAUAAGAUUAUUUCUAUUUUUGUAUAUAAGGCUAAGUAUCUUUUAAAAAUAUAUAAAAAAAAGUAUUUUCUCAAUUCUUGUCAAAACUCAAAAAACAUGAUUUUAAGGUCACGGGCUAGGUUUAUUGAUCUAUAUUUUGGUUUUGUUUUAUAUUUUUAUUUCUGAUUUUUUUUUUUUUUCCAGUUUGUGGUUCAAAAUAGCCUUUGUGGCACAAUUGCUAAUAAGCAAUGACGUUAGCAAAGAUGGUGAUACUUUGAAAAAGUUUGGAAUAUUAUGAACUAUUGAGAAGUUGAAAAGCUAAUUACAUUAAUUGAUAGGAACGAUUGAAGAUUUUAAAAUGAUAAAACGUGAGUCUAACACUUGUUCUCAGUGAAAUAUUAUAAAUCACUGAGAAGUUGAAAAGCUAACAUCGAUAGGGACUUUAAAACGAUUGAAGACUUUAAAACGAUCACACUUGUUCUUAUCUUGAGGAAAAAAUAGUGUCUUAUAUACUUUAAUUCCUGGCCAAUGAAUCCGAUAGGAUAAGAAGUGAUAGGGGUAUUAAUCUAAAUUGAUUUUCUCAACUGUGAAGCAAUUCACAGAUCGCUCCUGGAAAUGAAGCUUAGCUCAGUUGCAGUUUCCUUUGCUUUUAUUACUCUCCUCAUAUUUGCAUGGAGGUUAUUGAAUUGGGUGUGGUUGAGACCAAAGAAGCUAGAGAGAUGCCUUAGGAAGCAAGGUCUGACUGGAAAUUCCUACAGGUUGUUGCAUGGGGAUUUUAGAGAGAUGUCGAGGAUGAAUAACGAAGCAAAUUCCGGACCCAUCAGCUUCUCUGAUGAUAUUGUGAAGCGAGUUCUACCAUUUUUUAAUCAUUCCAUCCAGAAAUAUGGUAUGAAAAUUAACUUCUCUUUAUCAUUGCACUAAAAUAUUUGUGGAAUUUUCCCCAAUGGAUGUUGGUUUUCUGGUCUUUUUUUUUUAUUAGUUGUUUUUCCUGUCCUUUCUUUUUCUUCUCUAAGAAGUUAUAGCCAAAUGGAAUUUCAAUGGUACUUCAAAUUUCCUUUUUCUACUUAGGAGUGUAACUUUUAAGGUUUAUUUGAUUAAAAAUAAUCAAGUAAUCCCAAAUUUAUAAAAAAAGUCCUCAUUUAAAAAAGACUCAUUUUAUAUAUAUAUAUAUAUAAAAUACUUACUAUUUUUCUUUUCAGUCUAAAAAAUGACUCAUUUUUUUAUAAAAAUAUACUCGGGAAAAACCUGUUUUUAUACACUCCUAAAAAAUUAUAAAAUACAAAUUUCAAACAGUUAUUUAAAAAUAAUUAACAUUUCAUGUACUUUUUUUUAUAUAUCAAAUUUACUACCUUUUAACGAUAUAAGUAUUAUCUUUUAUCAUUUUAGGUACUAUCUUUGACUAAUAUAAAAAAAAAUUAUUUUAUAAUUAUUUUUAUAUAGUGUGAAAACUCACUUUUUUAAAUAUACUUGUUGUUUUUCUUAUAAAAAUAACAUUCUUUUUUUUUUCUUUUAAAUUUACCAAAAAAAAUUAUAAAAAUAUUAAGAGAUGUUUAUAUAAAAAAAUAACUAAUUUUUUAGUUGAAAUAUGAAAGGGGCUAGAUUUACAAAUUUAGGAUUAUUUUAUUCUUUUUAAUUGUGCCAUUCAAUUUUUUUAUAAGCUAUAUGUAGGUAUAUAUUGGAUUAUUUACUUUGUAAGUUGUUUAAUCGUUGGGAAUUGUGAAUAGCUUUUAAAUUUUUAUGCUAAUUGUUUCUCAUCUUUUCAAAUUUUGCAUGAACUUUUGACUUUUGAUAAUUAAUCAAAUCAUUAUAAUUUUCUUUAGAUAUUUGAGCUUCUUCAAUUAGAUAGCCUUGCAUUUGCCUGCUUGACUACCCAGGUCCUUUAGAUCCUUUCUAACCAUUAUCCAACAAUGGGCAUUAAAAAUGCAGGUAAAAAUAGUUUUACAUGGUUGGGCCCAAAACCAGUAGUAAAUAUUAUGGAGCCUGAGCUGAUAAGGGAUGUUCUCUUAAAGCACAAUGUCUUUCAAAAACCACCGCCGCACCCUCUCGGCAAGCUGCUGGCUACUGGUGUUGUUGCAUUGGAAGGUGAACAAUGGACUAAACGUAGAAAGAUCAUAAACCCAGCUUUCCAUCUAGAGAAGUUGAAGGUAAUUUUAUCAUGCUUAUUUUCCCAUUCUUUCUUUAUGUUUAAUUUUAGAAAUUGUGAGAGCAGAAUAAAUACAUUAAAGGAUGGAUAUGGUUAACUUUUUGAGGCAAUAUUUAUUUGGUUAUGCAGCCAGACCCCAACUUGUUGCCUGGUUUCUCUGCAUAGCCCUCUUCUUAUAGGAAAGAAAAUAAAUUUCCGAAUGUUCCAUAAUUUAGUAGACAUAUUCACAAUUUUACUGCCUCUUGUAAUCUUUUUUCUUAUGCAUGAUAAAUUUUUUCUAAAUUUAUUAAUUGUGUUUGAAUUUGUAUAGCACAUGGUAUCGGCAUUCCAAUUGAGUUGUAGUGAUAUGGUCAAUAAAUGGGAGAAGAAGCUCUCCAUGGACGACUCAUGUGAAUUGGACAUUUGGCCCUAUCUUCAAAUUUUGACGGGAGAUGUUAUUUCAAGAACAGCAUUUGGUAGUAGCUACGAGGAAGGAAGAAGGAUAUUCCAACUCCAGAAAGAGCAAGCACAUCUUGUAGCCCAGGUUACUCAGUCAGUUUAUGUUCCAGGAUGGAGGUAGGCAAAAAAUAUUUCAAGGAAUUAAUCUGAACCUCAGUACUAAUACCCAUAUGCUAUAUCUUUCACAGUAUCACCAACAACAACAACAACAACAAUAAUAAUAAUAAUAAUAAAAAUAAAAAUGAAGAAGAAGAACAAGGGUUUGAUCCAGCAUGGGACAAAAGCAAGAAUAAAAUUAACAACUGUUAUAACAUUUAAGAACUAUAAAAUGUUUCAUUUAUUUUGUUAAUAUGGCUCUCAACUAAUAUUUGUUUAUCUUCUAAAAUGGAAGUUUUCCAAUUUUUGGCUUUCUAUUUUAAGAAAUUUCAUUUUGUUCAAAUUAAAGAAUGUAGCUGUCUUGAAAACAAAAAUCAACUUCAAGUAUCCCCUUUUCUUUUAUUGGCAGAACAUCUUAGCAAGAUGAAUGGUGAAAUACUACUAUAAAAUAUAUGUAGACCAAAUGGACAAUUAAUGUCUGGAUAGUCUCAUCUUUGGAACACCAUGGAUAUUCCGAGAAAUUGAUCAAGUACAAAGUCAUGGAUGAAAUUGCAUUAGUUGCUUCCUGUAUUUUAUUGAUCUUCAUUUACUUGGAUUACUUCCAAGCAGGUUUUUCCCAACAAAGAUAAACAGGAGAAUGAGGCAAAUUAGAAAUGAAGUCAAUGCAUUGUUGAAGGGUAUCAUUGAGAAAAGAGAGAAGGCAAUGAAAGUUGGCGAAACUGCUAAUCAUGAUUUAUUAGGUCUGCUAAUGGAAUCCAACUACAGAGAAAUGCAAGAAAAUGAUGAGAGGAAGAAUGUUGGAAUGAGCAUCAAAGAUGUCAUUGAGGAGUGUAAGCUAUUCUACUUUGCCGGCCAAGAGACUACCUCAGUUUUACUUCUGUGGACAAUGGUUCUAUUAAGCAAGCAUUCAAACUGGCAAGCUCGUGCAAGGGAAGAGGUUUUACAAGUUUUUGGUAAUAAAAAACCAGAUGGCGAUGGCUUAAAUCACCUCAAAAUUGUGAGUACCAAUCCAAUAUAUAUUCAAUAUAGUAACUAUCUCUUCUUGAAAAUAAUAUAUUACUCUUUUUCUUUUUUUCAAUCUUAAGACAAAAUAUGUUUUGUUUCUGUAUCCUUUUUUCUUUAAUUGAAAGCUAUAUGCAGAUACUUGGUAGCCCCAAUGGAAUUUUUCUUUCCUCAUCUACAUGCACAACGCAUCAGCAGUGGCCACUUGACUUUAAUGAAGAAGGGGGGACAGACUAUUCUUUUCUUUGUGUGAAUUUUUUAUUUGCUUGUUAGGUUGUUAUAAGUGUGGUGAAAACUUUAUGCAAAUACUUAGUAUCAAUCAUUUACAAGACCGAAGAUAAUCUUGAUAUUAAACUCAAGGCUACAAUAUAUAUUCAAGGGGUUCUUAGUUUGUAUUGACCAGUUACUGUAUGGUCCUAUGUACAUGAAAGUAUCUGUCAUGAAAAAAGUCAAACAAUCUCUUUCAUGACUAUAUUAAAAAAAUUCCUUCAUAGUUUGAUGUAUGCUUAUUAGUGAUCUAGUGUAUUUCAAUAAUGAAUUCUCAUGAUAAAAAUAUUUUCUAUAUUGCAGGUUACAAUGAUUUUUCAUGAGGUCCUUAGGUUAUAUCCACCAGCAUCCAUGCUCAUACGAACUGUUUUUGCCGACAGCCAAGUGGGAGGAUUGUAUUUAUCAGAUGGAGUGCUGAUCGCUUUGCCAAUCCUCCUAAUUCACCACAAUCAUGAAAUUUGGGGAGAGGAUGCAAAGGAAUUCAACCCGGGAAGAUUUUCAGAAGGAGUUUCUAAGGCAGCAAAGACCCAAGUUUCAUUUUUUCCAUUUGGUUAUGGUCCUCGGAUAUGCGUUGGACAAAAUUUUGCAAUGAUGGAAGCGAAAAUGGCUUUGGCAAUGAUCUUACAACGUUUCUCAUUUGACCUUUCCCCAUCCUAUGCUCAUGCACCUAGUAGCCUUUUAAUGCAACCCCAACAUGGUGCACACCUGAUUUUACAUGGACUUUAGCAUCAGAGUUCUUGUUAUCAGUAACAGUUAGCAAGAGCUUUAAACCUAGAUAAUGUUGAAUUUAAAAUGCCCACACUCCCUUUCACUUGAAAUAUGUGCUCUAUAAAGUCAAUAUAUUAAUAAGAUUCUCUUUUUGUAUAUAUGUCAUUGUGGGUUUGCUUUCUGAUAUUGAUGAAAGCUUUGUUUAUUAUGUUCUAUAUAUAAAUGAUCAUUUUAUAAGGAGAUGAAUUUGGAGAAUGGACAUGCUUUAAAAUUAGUUGUGAUGGGUUACUAUGCAUGUUGUGAUAUCUACAAAGAAACUACCAUUCCAAUAAUAAAAGAAAUAUUCUCAUUUGUUCUUAUCUUGAUAGAGUGGUGUCUCAUUCACUAAAAUUGAAUGGUAGAGUACUCUUACGGAAUUUUAUAGGUAUUUGUAAAGAAGUUCGUACUAAAUUGGGUCACAAGGUAAUACAAUUUUGGAGUUACUGCCACUAAGAAGUUAUCUGCUUAAACUUGAUUCAAAUCCAUGUCAUGACAAAUUAUAAAUGUCAGGGGCCCGGUCCACCCCCUAUUUUUAUUGGAUCUACAAUUUUAUCAUUCUCCUAGAGUUUUAGACAACUUCAGAAUGUUAAACACAACCUUAAAGAACCCUUUGGGUGAGCUUUCAUAUUCUUGGAGCAGCUUGAUGUGCUUGCAGUAGCUUGACAUGCUUGAGCAGUUUGACAUGAUUACUAUGAUCCCAUAUUGGAACCUUAUAAAGAGAGGAACCGCUCCUAGUACCUAUAAAAAGAGGGCCUUGUAAUUUAUUGUUGAUAAGUGAUUGUAUAGAGAAGUUUCUAUUGUUAUUUCACUUGAUUUCUUCAAGUGUUGUAUUCUUAUUAGCUUCUAGUUUCACUUCUGCAGCCAGCCAAACUCACUGGGAUGCUCAGAGUUUUGAGGUACCCAAGCACUACAUGGAUUUUUAUGAGACAUCUUGGUCUAUCAUAAGUGCUGGACGUGUUAGAAAAACUUGAAAAAAAAAAUCAUUGAUAAUAAAGUGUUCACUAUUGAUCUUGACGUGUGGAUAAAUGAUUUCAUAAUCAAGAAGUAUUCACAUUUGCAAAACUCUCCACAAGCUUACAUGCAUGCCCUUUUAGCUUUGUGCUACAGAUUUAGAAUUUUGAGAGAAGCAAAGAAAGAGAAAUGAAGAAUAUCUUUUAACAAUUGAAGUUAAAAUCAUGAUGCACUUUCAUCUAUUUAUAGGAAUAACAAUAAAUUAUAACAUUUUAUCAACUUUUGUAACUUUACAAAGGCUAUUGAUGACUUUACACAUAUUCUAACAUUACAAUUUGUUUGUGAAUUUAUAACCUUUAUAACUUCACAAUUUAUUUGUAACUUUACAACUUUUGUUUCUAUCUUCAUAAUUGAUUGUAAAUUUAAAACUUUUGUAAAUUCACAUGUUAUUGGUGUCCUUACAUCUAUCUUUGUUACCUUACAUUAAUUCAUAUUGUUGAUUUACUACCUUUUAUAAUGUUAUAAUUCAUUAUUCAUUACAAUAUUUUAAUUUCUAAAGUAAAUGUCUAUGAUUAAUUAACUUAUUUGUAUGUUAUGAACUCUUUAUAUUUCAAAGUUAAUUAUCUCUUCUCAAUAAGUUAAGGUGAGGACAUAUGAUAUGGGACCUUUGUGGGAUCUUUACACCCUUAGUAAGUUUGUUAUGUUUGUUUCAAAUAAAUUUAUUAAUUAUAAUUAUAUUUAAAACAUAUUAUAAUUUCACCCAAAUCAUAGGAGAUAUAUAAGUCAACUCCCUAGUUUUGAAUUUACAUCCUAAGGUUUUGAAUGUUAGGAUAGAGCCCUUAAAAACUUGACAUGAUAUAAUAAAUUUGGAAUUCAUUACUUAUUUAAUGAUGUUCCAAUUUCACUUUUAUCUAUCCUUAUUCCAUGUAUUAUACUUUUCUUACCUACAUAUUUUGCAUUGUAUGUGACUUAGGUGCAUUAGGAGUUACAUAGAAGAUCUAAGUCAUGGGUUCCCUGCAAAUAGAUGAAUUGUUCAGAGUCGAUUCAUGGGCUUAGGUAACCCAUUAGAGGUUAUAGUGCACCACCUCCUAAUUAGAGAGAUGACUGGUCUUGGCUAUUGGGAUGGGUUUCUCAUGGUGAGUGCACUAGUGUGUAUUGUUGCAUAUUGGACAGGACUUAUGGUGAGUUAUAACUUAAGGUUAUUGAGAAAAUAAAGGUUAAUCUUAAAUGAGAAAAACACCAAAGAGGGGGUUGAAUUGGGUUUUUUUUUUAAAUCUUUUUAAACACAACAAGUUUAAGCACAAGAGAGGCAAAUAUAAAGAGAUAGAGUUAGAUAAAUCAAACUCAUAUUUUAUAGUGGUUCAACACUCCCUUGUCCACAUCCACUCUCCUCAAGCUCCUAACCGAGUGAGGGUUCUACUAACUUGAAGUUCCAACCAAGCUUCUAAUCACCCUUACACUUAGAUUUCGGUUCCAAUGGGCUCUUACACAAUCUCUUCAAGUUUCAACUCACUUGAAGGCUUUAACACUCAAUCAACAAGAAUAAAUCUCUCAACCUAGGUCAACAAUAGCUCAAAUACAACUUAAGGCUAGGAUGAAUCACAAAGGUGCUCUAAAGGAUAUGCAAAUGGGAAUUUAAUGCACCAAGAAAAGAAAUGAGAACUUUUAGGCAAGAACAACUAGGUAGACAAAUAAAUGCAGGUGUACUCUUGCUCAUAAAUGAAGUGGAGCUCUCUAUUUAUAGGUUUCUAACCUCGGGAGCCAAGAAAACCAAAAAAUCAGCCUCAAUCGGUCGAGUUAGAGGUCGAUCGAUUCACUAGCCUUUAGAGCACUUAAUGCUUGGCAGGUGACCUUUACCUUCAACCAGACCUCGAUUGGAGGUCGACCAGGAAGGCAAUAUACCUCGACCAAGAAGGAAAGUCUAUUGGAAGGGAGAGAGUGCUUUUUGCACUCCUUGACUGGACCUUGAUCGGGAAGAGGUAACCGAUCAACCGGUACCCCUAGCCGGUUGGCCAAUGUCUUGACCGGUUCACAAUUUUUGGCCCGAAAACCUAUCUUUUGUUGGUUUUUUCUCUUCUAACACUUAGGCAAGGUCUUUAUGUAAAGUUAUAUGUCAAUUUUGAAGUAAUUUACCUAAGGUUCAUUUGAUAAAACUCGAUUUUGAUGAAACUGUAACCUUAAAGAAUAAACCAAGUUUUUAAAAGAUGCAUGAAAUUAUAUGUAAAACCUAAGUGCACCCAUGCAUUCAUUUUACAUAUGUUUUCUAUGAUUAAAAGUCUUCCAAAGGUCUUGAUUUUGCAUCCAUUUGGUUCUUUGAUGAAUUUCCAAAUUAAUACCUGAAAUUCUUUAUAAUUCAAAUCAAUUUGUAACUUAACCAUGAUUUGUUAUCAUCAAAACCUGGUUAGGAGAACCCUUGGGCUAACAAUCUCCCCCUUUUUUUUUAUGAUGAUAAACCUUGGUUAUCUAGGAGAAAAAGAAUCUCCCCAUCAAACCAAUCAUGGGUCAACAAUCAAAAUUUACGAAGUUAAAAACUAAGAUGAUCAAAACAUGCUAGAGAAAAUUUGCAAUAAGAAACAAUGUAAGUCAUGAAACAUAUAGGCAUAUCAUAUAUAAGUCAAAUGUAUCACAAUCCAAUACGUACGAUCCAAGUGAUGAUAUGACAAUGUAAGUACAAUGAUAUGCAUGUAAGUCUCCUAUAGUCUCCUAGAUCCUAAAAUAUCUCUCCCUUUUGGUAAUAUAAAAAAGGAACAAAGGGGGUCUCUACGAAAUCAAGGCUAAGGAGGUGGAAGUGGAAACACAGAGUGCAGGUAAACCAUCAUCUCCUCAUGCUGACUCUCCAGGCGAUCUUCAAUGCGCUCAAUCCUCUACUAGAGAUGCUCAAAUUGUGAGGUGAAGCCAGCCUGGUGUUGAUCCAUGCGAUCCUCAAACCUCUAUUGGAAAUGCUCAAACUGAGAAGUGAAGUCAGCUUGAUACUGAUCCAUGCGAUCCUCCAUGGAGUAGAACCGAGUAUCAUUGACUAUAGCAAACUCCUCCAUGCAAGUGUUUAGAGAGCUAAUAUAAGCAGAUAAAUCUAUCCAAGGAGCAUGGUCAGGACCGAGAGGUGCCUGAGGAGGUGGUAUCUCAAUGUGAGGAGGCUCAAUAAAUGACGGAUGAGUAGAUGGUCCCACUGUAUAAGUUGGCUCAAACAUCAUCAACUUAGAGAAGGCAGCCUCAAACCGAACACCCUCUGAUUGAAGUGCAGGAAUGUUAAGCUUGGGAUCCCUCUGCUAAAAGCCACUCUAAGGGUCUACUCCACCCUCCAUGUCUCAUAUCUCAACCUUCUCCUCAACUUUAGGAUGUGCUUGUCCUUGUCCCCGAGCUUGUGUAGGUGAUCUAUCUGCUUUCCUAACCCAAGAACCAUUGGGGGCCUUCUCCAACUUCAUCUAUCCCAUGGACUGAUCAUCAUAAGUAUCAAGCGUUGGGGGCCUCAAAGUCUAUCUCUUUACUUAAGUCAAUGCCAGCAUCCUUAAACACUUUGGUGAGGAAGUGGCCAUAGGGGAGUACGCGGGCCAUGCUCUUGCAACAUGAGAUCAUGUGCAUCAUCAUCAAGUACCCCAAGUGGAUCCGUCUACCAAUCAGAAUAGAGUCAGUGAGAAAUGCUUCAUAAUAAGAGACCUUAUCUUGGUGCCGCCCCAUGGUAGAAUGAUAGAAUAUAUCAUAUGGUGCAACACUCUACUGAUUACGGUCAAGCUGUGAGCCUAGGGUUUGCCCAUCCCUUAGGCAUUUGGAAGGCCACAAAUCCUCUUAAUGGCCUCUCUAGGCUCAAAUCCUGGUACAAUGGGCCAAAUCUUGGACUUGUACACUCUGAGUCCAAUCGGAGCAAUAUUGAAAAUGCGGUAGAUACUCUCCGGGUAUAGACGAAUAUUGACUCCUCUGACGGUAGAUAUGAUAGGGGGCACCCAAACCAUAAGUCGCCCUUGAAUAAAAUGCUCACACCAAAGUAGGAAAAAUUGGCUCCAAGACAAUCACCACGGGCAACCAACCCAUCCUAGUGAAAAUGGCCUCGAAUCCAAAAUGUUAAAGUUGGAGAAAAUUAAUAUUUCUUCCUGGAACUAUUUGUCUCUGAGCAAAGUGUUGCUUGUACCGUUGGUAGUCCUCCAUGGAACAGAACAAGGCGGUGUCAAACCUAGCCUUUUGGUGUGCCUUGGUUGAGACGACUCAACUGGGUGCUUGCCCUAUGCCUUAGAGGCAGCCAACUCUCGUCUCUCAGCCAUGAUAAAGAGUGAAACAAUGAAGAAGGGGCUGGUAGAGAGAGAAAUGCUCACAACUAAAACCUUAGGCAUGCAAAAAUGGAGAGGAAUUUGACUAUGAUGCACGGGAAGAAGAUAAGGUGGCCCAAAUCCGAAACCCUAACCUCCAAACUUCCCAAAAAUCCAAUCCAAAGCCUUCAAUAUGUUGCAAUGACCUCAAAAAUCACUCAUUGAAACGGUAGAGCUCUUAAAGAAUUAUAGGAAACUAGUGAGAAAAUGAACUGUGGGAGUCCCUUUAAAACCCUAAUCCCGACGAACCGGUCGAUCGUCUGGUCAACGCGGUCAACAUUUGACUUUUCAAUUUUUACGUAUUUUCUCAUUUUGUGAUCCUUCUCUUGCCCUUUUUAGUUGAAAUCCACAAAUUUUUAUGCCCAAUGCCAAAGGAAUUUUGAUUUUUGGUCGAAAUUUGACCAUUGUCUAAGUAUAUAUCUAUAUGAUGCAUAUGACAUGGAAUUCAUGCAAUCAAAAGGUAUAUUCAUCAAGAAUUCAGUAAUUCAUCAUUAGAUCAUAAAGAAAUCACCCCUAGCUAUCUUCUAAUAUCAACAAAUUGUUCUUCACUUAGAGGUUUUGUAAAGAUAUUGGCAAGUUGAUCUUUUGUACUUACAAAUUCAAGUGUUAUGUCACCCUUUUGUGUAUGAUCUCUAAGAAAAUGAUGUCUAAUAUCUAUACUCUUAGUCCUAGAGUGUUGCACGAGAUUUUUUUAUAUACUUAUGGCACUAGUAUUAUCACAUUUAAUAGGAACAUGUUCAAAAGAUAAAUCAAAAUCACUAAGUGUUUGUUUCAUCCAAAGGAUUUGUGUACAACAAAAAUCGGUUGCUUUGUAUUCGGCUUCCGCUGUUGAUAAAACUACCUAAUUUUGCUUCUUACUAUGCCAUGAGACAAGUGAGCGUCCUAAGAAAUGACAAGUGCCACUGGUGCUUUUUCUUUCAACCCUACAACCGACAAAAUUGACAUCCGAAAAUCCAAUUAAUUCAAAAUUAUCACUCUUAGGAUACCAUAAGCCUAUGUCCAUUAUCCCUUUCAAAUAUUUAAGGAUUCUUUUUACGACACUUAAGUGAGAUUCUUUAGGACAAGAUUGAAAUCUAGUACACAAGCAUACACUAUACAUAAUGUUGGGUCUACUAACGGUUAAAUAUAGAACAGAACCUAUCAGGCCUCUAUACAUAGUAGAGUCAAUGGAUUUACCUUUCUCAUCCUUAUCAAGCUUGAUGGAUGAGCUCAUUGGAGUCUUCAUUGUUUUGGCUUCUUCCAUGUUGAACCUUUUGAGAAGAUCUCUUAUAUAAUUUGCUUGAUUGAUGAAGUUUCCUUCCUUUAGUUGCUUGAUUUGAAGUCCAAGGAAGAAGUUGAGCUAUCCCAUCAUGCUCAUUUCAAACUCACUAUGCAUGCACUUAGAAAAUUCUCCACAAAGAGAGACAUUAAUAGCACCAAAAAUGAUAUCAUCAACAUAUAUUUGAACUAAGAGCAUAUCUUUUUUUUUUUUGGUUUUUAUGAAAAGAAUUGUGUCAAUUUUUCCCAUUUUAAAACCUUUUUUAAAAGAAAUUUACUCAAUCUUUCAUACCAUGCUCUAGGUGUUAUUUCAAACCAUAAAGUGCCUUUUUAAGUUUAAAAACAUGGUUAGGAAAGUUAAAACUUUGAAAAUCGGGCGGUUGUUCAUCAUUUACUUCUUUAUAUAUAAAACCAUUUAAAAAAACACUUGUUACAUUCAUUUGAUAUAAAACAAAGUCUUUAAAACAUGCAAAGGCAAGUAACAUCCUAAUGGCUUCCAACCUAGCUACAGGGGCAAAGGUUUCUUUAUAAUUUAUCCCUUCUUCUUGAUUAAAACCUUGGGCUACCAAUCUUUCUUUAUUUCUAACAAUUAUGCCAUUUUCAUCCAUUUUAUUUCUAAAGACCUAUCUAGUUCCAAUAACACUUUGAUUUGAAGGUCUUGGUACUAAUUCCCAUACUUCACUUCUUUCAAAUUGAUUUAACUCUUCUUGCAUAGCAAUCAUCCAAUUUUCAUCAUCUAAAGCAUCAUUUAUAUUUUUAGGCUCAAUUUGAGAGAUAAAAGCUAGAUUAUUGCAAAUGUUUCUAAGAGAGGAUCUAUUUCUUACCCCACUAGAUGGACUACCUAUAAUUUGAUCUUGUGGGUGAUUGAUGAAAAACUUCCAUUCUUUAGGAAGGUCUUGGCUUGAUUCACCUUUCACUUGUUGAGAAGGGGGUAGUGCCAAUGGUGAUUCUUCUUUCUUGGGAUCCUCUCCAUUUUCUUCUUGUUACCUUCUAUCUUCAAUUUGUAAUCUUCCCAUGAAGGUUUCCAAACCUAAAUCAUCAUCAAAACUCUCUCUUUCUUGGUGAGAAUUGUUAGAUUCAUAAAAAAUAACAUGGAUGGACUCCUCUACAACCAUGGUUCUUCUGUUAAAAACUCUAAAAGCUUUACUUGAAGUUGAGUAACCAAGGAAAAUUCUAACAUCCAAUUUUGCAUCAAAUUUUCCAAGAUUGUCUUUGGUGUUUAAUAUAAAACAUUUGCAUCCAAAGACUUUGAAAUAACUAAUGUUGGGUUUCUUGUUUUUACAAAGCUCAUAGGAGUUUUCUUAAGAAUGGGCCUCAAUAAUAUUCUAUUUAAAACAUAACAAGAAGUGUUAACCGCUUCAGCCCAAAAAUAUUUUGGUAAGUUGUUUUCAUUUAGCAUGGUUCUUGCCAUCUCUUAAAGAGUUCUAUUUUUCCUUUCAACUACCCCAUUUUGUUGAGGAGUUCUAGGAGCUGAAAAAUUGUGGUCAAUUCUAUGCUCAUUGUAAUAUUCUUUAAAAUUAAUCUUUUUGAAUUCUCUCCCAUGAUCACUUCCUAUACAAGUAAUUGCAAAACCUUUUUCAUUUUGAACCUUGUUGCAAAACUUUGAAAACUCAUAAAAGACUUCAUUCUUUUGAAUUAAAAACAUGACCCAUGUGUAUCUAGAGAAGUCAUCCACAAUAACAUAUGCAUAAGAUUUUCCUCUAAGACUUCGUGUCCUAGAGGGACCAAUAAAUCCAUAUGCAACAACUCAAGUGGCCUAGAUGUGGAAACGAAGUUUUUGUUUUUAAAAGAGUUUUUGAUUUUUUUUCCCACUUGACACACUUCACAAACUUUAUCGUUUUGAAAAUUUAUUUUGGGAAGGCCUCUAACAAGUUCAUCUUUGUUGAGUUGGAAAAUGAACUCCAUAUUAGCAUGUCCCAACCUCCUAUGCCACAACCAACUUUUAAUCAUGCAUGCUUGAAAAUCAUCUAUCAUGGCCAUCAUAUUUUGACAUAUUUAUAGCAUAAACAUUAUCACUAUGGACCCUCACCCGAUCCACCAACCGGCGCGACUCAUUAUUUUAAAGGUGAAAGGGAAAGUUGGUUUUCGAGUUUUGAAAAAUUUGUCCUAGUGAGGAACAGUUUUUUUUGGAGUCUCCACUUACUUUUUAUUUUUAUUUUUAAAUGGGGAAAAUUUAAGUAAGAACAAAAACCCCAGCAUGACUCCAGUAAGGAAAAAGUGGUCUGCGAAAACUAGAUUCUGGGUCCGGGGAUCAGGUUACCUAUCGAGAUGUACCUCAUGCGAGGUAGCACCCCUCUAGGCUCGGAACUCGGUCUCUACUAAUGAACUGGUAUAUGGGAGCAUAUGGGUCAAAGAUCAAACAAACCUUGGGCUAAACAAAUGACAUGAAUCACAUAGACCCGCCUAGUAUUUAGCAUGCACAUACACUCAAAAAGUCAAAGUCAGAGUGCAUACCUGAGGUCCCUAGCCAAGCGCUACAUAAGAGGUCAGUUAAUAAGCUCAAAUUCACAACAAAUAUACAUAGCAAUCAUGCACCAAGCAUUCAUGUGAAUUUCAUUAUCCAAAGCCAAAGUGCAUACCUGUGGUCCCCAGCCAUGCGUUGCAAGGAAAAGGUGAGGCAAGUAAUACAAGCAUACAACAUGAACUCUCGAUCAAACAUCAAAUAUCAUACCCACAAGGGAGGGAAGUAGGUUGAAAUGAAAUAAAUGGUUUGCUUUCUUUUGCACACAUCCCUCUAAAUUCCAUCAAACCAAACCAUGCUCGCUUAACCCACAUUCUUCCCAUCCACGAAUUGGGCUCACAUGACAUCUAGCCAAACUGAAAUCUGACCCUAAAGGUGGCCUACAAGUGCCUUGGAGCCUAAGGGCUCAAGCCACAACAAAAAUGGGAGUCAAAGCAUGCUAAAACUGGGGUUACCCAGUAGAACCUGUUGAACCGGUUCCCAAAUGGUUCAACUGAUUGAGAAAAAUUCUGAAACUUUACCAACAAAUUUCUCAGAGAAUAAGGAAUCCAAAAAAAAAAAAAACGGCGCUCAAUUCCGAGCCUAGAUGAGGGAGAAAUGGCCAAAACAAUGCAACGUGUUUAUUAAACAAGGCUGCCUAGCUGGACCUGUUGAACCGGUUCCCAGCUAGUUCAACUGAUUGAGAAAAAUUCUGAAACUUUAACAGCAGAUUCCUCAAAGAAUAAGGAAUCCAAAAAAAAAAAACAACGCUUAAUUCCGAGCCCAAAUGAGGGAGAAACGACCAAAACAAUGCAACGUGUUUAUUAAACGGGCCUGCCUAGGGGGACCUGUUGAACCGAUUCCCCUCUGGUCCAACCGAUUGAUAAAAAUUUUGAAACUUUAACAGCAGAUUCCUCAAAGAAUAAGGAAUAAAAAAAAAUGGCUCUCAAUUCUGAGCUUGGAUGAGGGAGAACUGGCCAAAACAAUGCAACGUGUUUAUUAAAUGGGGCUGUCUAGCUGGACCUGUUGAACCGGUUCCCAACUGGUUAAAAAUCUUUGUGCUAGCUCAGGGGUUGUGAACGUAGAUCGAUCAAAGGUGGACUUCUUACGAACCUCAGUACUUGCUUCGACGAUCGGUUGUUUCCCUUUGUUGUCGGUGCAUGGUGCUCCCUCCGAGGUCUUCUGUUUGUUGUCACUAGGUCGUUGUGGGUCGGAGCUCUUUCCUUUGGUCUCAUGCAUCUUUGCUACCUCCAUUCUCCUCCAUUUGCUAUUGGUGGAGGAUGGUUCGGCCUGUGCUCAUUUUGGAGCCAUGAAUAUUUGGAUUGGGCUUCAGGUAUUGUGUGAGGAUGAAGAAGAAGAAGGAAGUGGAAGACAGACGGGUUAAGGGUUAGAAGUUGGGUUUGAAUAUUGGUCGACCUUCCUAUUAUAUGGAAAAACAUCUAGUUUAUCAACUCAUAAAAUUUAAUUAAAUUAAUGUCUUACAUAGAUGAAACAUUAUAUUUGCUACAAUAUUAAUUUAAUAUUUUCCAUAUGAACUCAUUUAACUUAUAAUGGAUUAUAUGAAUAAAUCUUUUGAUAUACCUUAAUUAAAUUAAUUGAGGUUAUUUGUACAAAAUUUAUAUUAAAGACAAUAAAAUAUGAGAACUUAAUUUAAUUAAAUCGGAUUAAUUAACUAACCUUUCUGAUAUGUAGGAUAUAGUAUGAUGAUUUUAAUAAUAUAUAGUGAACUUAAUAUAUUAAAAUUUAAAUUAACUAACAUAUACUAUAAUAGGGGCUUUAAAAUUAAUUAUGGUUGUAUGACAAACAGUUUGAAUAAGUAGGAUAUAGCAUGAUAAGUGAAAUAAAUUAAUGAAACUGAAUUUAUUUAAAAUUGCCAUAAGUAGGAUAUCGUAACAUAGCUCAUUUAAGUAAUUAAAUUUAAUUAACUAACCUUUCUCAUAUCUACGAUAUAUUAUGAAGCCUUAAUUACAAAUAAAGCACGUUAAUUGAUGAAAAUCUAUACUAAGUAGGAAAUGGUAUGAAAACAUGCUUACAACAAAUAGGGUAAACAACAUUAAGAAAUGUCAAUAUUAUCAAUUAAGUCCAUAUCUCCACUUUAUAUUUUGUAAAGUUAUACAUAUAUCCAUUUGAAAUGGGUCUAAACAAUAUCCACAUUAGGUCGACUUUCCCUCUUGCUUAUAAAUGUUAUAUUUAAUGGCACCUAAAAAAUGAUGCAGAAAAGGUGACUUUCAACCACCAAGUGUACCAUUGUGGUGGUUGGUUUUCUACAUGUGGCAACCUAUUAAAAUAUGUAAUAAACUCCAUGAACCAACCACAUAGAUAUGUUAGUAUAUAUUUGGAAGGGAACAUAUUCUAAGGAGGUUGGAGAGUGAACGAGGUCUGCUAUAUGUUGGAGCAUAGGUUACAAAAAACAUUUAGAAGACAAAUCUUCAGGUCAAGCUGCAUCACACUUGCACUUUCCAUUUUCACGGUACGAUCCUUAACUCAAUAAAGAUUUGCUAAACAAAUCCAUAAUAUAUUUUUUAAGCUGAAUGCCCUCAACUUUCAAAUGGAUGGGGAAAAUAUUCCCAAAACCUAAUGCUGAUUUUUAAAUGGUAUCUAAUGAUGUUAAAAAGUUUGGAUUUUGAUUGUCUAUAGUAAUAUGCAUCAGUUAACUGUUUAAUAAGUGUAUAAUGGUUGAAUAAUUUCUCUACCGGUUGAUUUUUUUCUCAACCAGCCUAAUUGUUUCUUCAACCAAUAAACAUUGCAAAGUGGUCACAUGUUGAAAAUAAAGACCAAUAGGUCGACCAUAUUGAAAACGAUCGAAUUGUUGAUGGCAACCUGUACUAACAAAUUCGAGAAUGGAUGUCAUUAAGCCCAAAGAUAACCUUCGACAAAGUGUUUUCAUCAAUCGGGUUUAGUAGACAUAAUUUAACAAUUAGGAUUCUGAUCAACUAAGAAAAGGUACAACUAUAUAUUUGACAAUAUUGAGCUCCCAUACAGCUAAACAAGGUGAGAGAAACAAGCUGAAAAUCUACAAGGACGGGCAAGUUCAAUUUGAAAGGAUUGGAUGGAUUUUAAUGAGAUUGGAUUUAGGAAAUGCAUCUGGUUGACUUUAGAUGUAUAGAAAGUUAAUGUAGAGGCUUUUCAGAUGAAGGCAAGAAUACCAAAAGGGAGCUCUCAAUAAUGUUCCUAUGGGCUUUCCCCAAUCAAACAUGAUUCCAACACAAUGGCAUUAUUAUCUCAUAUUGAAUAAAAGUUGACAUUGAUUUUUUUAUAUAUAUAAAUGAUUGAUAUUGUCUUUAAAAAUCACACUAUCAUCAAAAUUAGAGUGUAAUACCUAUUCAACUGACUUAAAAGGAGAGAAUCUACCUUAAGAAAUGUGUGUGAUUGACUCCCAAAAUGGGGUAAUUUUUGAAUAAUUUUGGAAGCGUACCCAAAAUCCUCCAUGCUUUUAGAUAGUAUUAUAUAAAGAUGAUUUUUCAAGUUUUUAAAGAAUGUGCAUGACUGCUAUUAAUUAUUGUGCCUGCCAAACUCCUUGAAUAUGGCAACUAAGCUUAAUGAUGAAAAACUUUUUAACAUAGUAUGGCUAAGGUUACAGAUUUACUUGAUGGUUCCCAAACAAAAAAUGGUAGAGCUCACAUGUUGGCUAAACUAGGAAACACAAAUGUACCUUCAUCUUCAGACUUGUAACAUUCCCAAAUUACUUAUUAUGAAAAAUUAAUAGGAUAUAUAAUAAUAUAACAAAUGUCUUUAUAGAAACUCCACACCGGCAUCUCCACUAUAAAUUUUGAAUGAUCACUUAUCAGGCUUCUCUAAAAAUAUUCAACAAUGACAACAAUCACUAUUAAGUUUCCCUAAAAAUUAACAAGAAUCAAAACAGUGUACAAGCAUUAAAAGUAGGACAACAUUCUAACGUCCUGAUAAGGAAUGAAGGCCUUAAUUAAACGAACAACGAAAACAUAAAAUUAGCUUUAUCCAUGUUAAAUGGGACCGGUUGAUACAUUUUCUCAAUCGGUAGACAUUGCCAAUUUUUUUUAUGCAGCACCAAAAUCGCUAGUGUCUACCGGUAGGAAAAAAAGUGCAUUUAGUUAAUUUGUAGGUCGACCACUUUCUUCCACAUUAUACUAGCUUAGAGCAAGGCAAGAGAAUAUAUUCCUUUUACGAGGAACAAUACAAUUGAACCUCUUUUCUUUUUAGCUACUCAAGAGCAACAACACAGUCCCCUUCCACCAAAAAGUUGGACAAUCCCAAAUCUUGUUCUUUGCACAAGGACCUCCAAAAGCACUACAACCUUAGCCUCAACAUCAAAACCAUCACUUGCAAGUUUAAAAUAUGUUGUAAUAUGCUAUCAUUACUAAAUCUUGAUGAUCUUGAAUCACUCCAUCAAUCCUAAGUUACCCUAAAAAUAUCCAUCAAAGUUCAAUUUAACUAUUCCUUCACUUGGUCAUCAAAGUUCAAUUUAAAUUCUGUUGCAUUUGUCCAGAGAUGUCAAAUGUCGAUCAUUGGGUAACGCCAUCUUUUGAUGGUAUUGGUGUCACAUUUGCAUUUUCAGAAGUUCUUCCCCUUACAUAAUGAUUUUUAAUUGAUAUAUAAUGAUUUUAAAAAGUUUGGCUUUUGAUUGUCUAUAGCACAUUGUUACUAUUUUGCAAAAGAUGACUUUUUAAAUUUGAAAUCAUGGGGAAAUUAACACGUGUGCAGUGUACACCGAUUGAAUAAUUUCUCAUCGGGUUGAAUUUUUUCCAAAGUCAAGAAUGGAUGACGAAGUCGAAUUUGGUUUAUCUUCAAGUAUGCAAUCAAUUGAUAUGAAAGUGAUAGGAUAAUUUGUUAAGGCAUUAUUGGAACAAUUUUUUUUACGUUAUUUAUGAAAUGUAGCUAAUGCAAUCUGUGAAGGAGAAAACAAUCAAGCGGGAGUUUGAAGUGAAAGAGGAGGACGUUGUCAAUUACGAUGCAUAUACUAGUGGCACUUACCAGCUGGGUGGAAACGUUUUGAAAGAGAAGGUGUUGAAGGGUAUUUCAGUUGAAGAAGUAUACAAAUUGCAAUUCGAUUGCAUAGAUGAGGCUGAAACAUUUUACAACAUAUUAGCAAAAGUAACCGGAUUUAGUAUUCGAAAAGAUGAUUGAAGCGAGAUAAGAAUGGAGAUAUAAUAUCUCGAAAAUGGGUGUGUUCUAGAGAAGGACAUCGAGUGACAAAGUUUAUUGAAAAUGACAAGCGACGGCGUGAGCUAUGAUCAUUGACUAGAGUUAGAUGUGAAGCUGCAUUUCGAUAGGCUUGAAUAGAAAAGAUGGAAAGUGGAUUGUAAAGGAAUUUAUAGGAGAACAUAAUCAUAAUUUGGUCAAUGCUAUCAGCACACAAUUCCUUCGGUCUCAUCGAACAGAAAGUAAUCCAGAUAAGGCACAAGUUGAUGUUUUGCGUAAAGUAGGUGUUAAAACCACACAAAUUAUGGAAUAUAUGGUCAAACAAUCAGGGGAAAAUCAGCACGUUGGUUUCACACAAAAAGAUAUGUACAAUCACAUUGAUACAGAGCGUAGAAUUGAAAUUAAAGACGGUGAUGCGGAAGCCGUGUUAGCUUACUUGUGUGGAAAGGCAUUAAUCGAUUCUUCAUUUUUUUUUAUAAAUUCGACGUCGAUGAAGAAAGUCGACUAGCAAACUUGUUUAAGGCUAAUUCAACUACUCAAAUGGAUUGUGCGUGUUUUGGAGAUGUCCUAGCAUUUGAUACAAUGUAUAGGGAAAAUGCCUAUAAAAGGCCUCUAGUAGUGUUGGUUGGUGUUAAUCAUCACCACCAAUGUGGUAUUUUGUAGUGUGUUAUUGAUAGAUGAAAGUGUUGGUACAUAUUAAUGGGUGUUGGAGACAUUUCUUAUUGCAAUGAUGAAUAAGAAACCCAUAUCCGUAGUAACUGAAUGGAUAAAUCUAUGCGUAAGGCAAUUAAAAAAGUAUUACCCGAUGCGUGUCAUCGUCUGUGUUCAUGGCAUUUGCAACGAAAUGCAUUCACGAAUGUGCAUAUUAAGGACUUCACAAGCAUCUUUGCAAGGUGCAUGUUCAUGCGUGGGAAUGCGGAAGAAUUUGAAAAGGUUUGGCAUGAAAUGAUUGAAAAUUUGGGUCUUAAUGAGAAUCGUUGGGUCACCGAGAUUUAUGGGAAACGUAAAAGAUGGGCUGAGGCGUAUUUAUGUGGAAAUUUCUUUGCAGGGAUGAGAAACACAUAAAGGUGUGAGAUUUUGAAUGCAUAUUUAAAUAGAUUCUUAAAAAUUCGUUUGCGACUUUAUGAGUUUGUACAACAAUUUGAUAGGGCGAUAUUGAGAAUAUGGCAAAAUGAGGCAAAGACGGAGUUUGAGUUGAACAAUUCUUCACCCGUGCUUUCAACCAAGCUAUCCAUACUUGAAAAUCAUGCCACGAAAGAAUCCUUCCUUAAAUUUCGGGAGGAGAUGAAAAAUGUAGAGUUAUUCUUUGUGGUAGGCCUUGUAAGUGAUGAUUCAAUGCGGGCAUACACAUUAUCUAAGUUUAGACACCUGAACUUAAAAUGGGAAAUCCAAUUUUGCCCAAAUAUUGUAACAUUAAAAUGCUCAUGCAUGAUGUUUGAGUCAAUUGGCAUCCCUUGUUGCCACAUGGUUAUUGUUAUGAAGGUGGAGCAUUUGGAAGAGAUUCCUCAUUCAUGUAUUUUGAAGAGGUGGACAAAGUUAGCAAAGAUGUAUACAAGAUCAACACCAACGAAUGAGACGGAUAAAGACAUGGAUCGGUUUGUACGAUAUGGUUCAUUGAGUUUGAUGUGCAACAAGCUCUCCUACUAUGCAUCUGAUACGUCAUCUUCAUUUCUAGAAGCGAAAAAUGAAAUAGAAAAUUUGACGGUGAGAAUAGAGGAAUUGUAUAACAGUAAUUUGAAAGGGAAGAAAGUAGCGGCAGAUGGAGCCAUAAGUCCUAACCAAGUUCGUGAUCCAAAUAUUGUGAAGACUAAAGGAAAUCCAGGUAAACUUGCAACUAAUUUUCAGAAGGGAAGACAAUGUAGUCGUUGUAAAAGAGUGGGUCACACAAUUCAAACGUGUACAAAAGCUAGAAUCCCUCAAACUGGUCAUCAGCAUGAUAUGGUAUGUCAGAUUGAAUAAGGAAUUGCCACAAAGAUGAACUUGUUUAGCUAUACUUACAUAAAUAACUAACAUAAUUGUUUUCAUGGCAUUAUGAGUACAUAGUAGGAAAGUAAUUUGUUUUCCUAAUGUGACAUUCAAAUGGAAAUGAUGCCUUCAACAAAUUCAUCAGAUGACAUGUUUGCAACCUUACCUGUAUGUACAAUUGCCUUGUUAUAUAAGAACACAAGCAUUGAUAACAUCUAAUUCAACAAUAAUUGACAACACUUAUUAAUUGAAAAAUGCAGGGAAUACGAGGAGAGCAUUUGUCGAAUGACCGAUCUGACAUAUAAAUAGAUUAUGGUGAAUUUGGCAAUGUAAUCUUGGGAAUAAAAAAAGACUUUUGACAUGAAUUUGAACUUUGCAUUAUUUAAUGAUUUGGUUGAAGUGAUUACUACCAAAAAGUGCUAUUUUGUAGACCUAAUUAUAAUGGUUUUAAGCACCAUUGAGUAGUAAUCAUAUUCAUUUAACUCAAUUAAUUCAUUAAGGUCCUUAGUAAUUGGUUUUAACCAUUUUGUGGCAAGUUUACAUGUUUUUAUCAACUUAUGAAUCAAUUCAAGCAUGCCAAAUGAUGGAGGAGCUACAUGGACAAGUUAUGGCAAAGCUUUUGGAAGCUCAAAUUCAUGAAGAACCAAGCUUUGGAGCUCCAUAGCCCUUUGCCAAAGUCGUUCAAAGUAUGCAAGGAGAGAAGCAAAGUGAAGAGAAGCAAAGAGGACAGCAGCUGCAGUCUUAUUUCACACUUUUGGAGCACUUCCCGAAGUCUAUUUUUUACAUGCUAUAUACCAUUUCAAAUCUCUGGAAGUCAAGAAUCCAACGCUUUAAACCGUGUACGAUUUGGAGCUGAAAUGAGGAAGAUAUGGCCUUCGGAAGCCAACUGCUCCAGGUUAUGCGAAAAUUUCGCAUAACACCUUCAAAAUUCGCAUAACCCAUGCGUGUUGCGAAUUUUCCUCUGCUUUUGCCGACUCCACUUUAGAUAUUUUCCUUUGUAUUUUGUGAUGUAAUUUCCUUUCUUAUCCUUGUAACUAACCAAUCACAAGCUUUUGCUUUUGUAAAGACUAUAUAAGGGGUGGAAAUCACCUCUUGGAAUAUAUAGAAGAUACAUUACGUUUUACACUUAAAAUAUAUACGGAGCUCUCUCGUUUCUCUUUUCUCUUCCCCAUUUCUAUUUUCUUGGAAUCCAAACAGCCUCUAAGGGCUUUUCCUCAGAGGAUGAUUGGCUAAAACUUUUAGUUUCUCAAAGUAUGGAUGUUAUGUGAUGGCUUGGAUGCAAUCCCAUGGAAAUUUCUCGCACCCGGAAGGUAAGGUAGUCGUUUUUCAUUAAAGGUUCAUUAAUGCAAAGUUUGGUUUUUAUUUCCUUUGGACAACUUCCAACGGCCAAUACUUGAUAAGCUUUUGGAUUUCUAUCCAUUAGUUAUCUCCUACGAGCUAUUGGAAGGUGAGGUUUUCAAUUCCAAGUUUUGCAUUAAUCCGUUAGAACCAAUUUCAAUGGCCAUUGAAAGGUGAGUUUAUCACUUGGAAUGACUUUGAGUUGUCAAUAUUUGGUAAGCUUUUGGCUUUAGACCAUUAGUUAUCUCUUACGAGCCAUUCAAAGGAAGUCUAAGGUGAAUAACCAUUGAUGAAAUUCACUACCAUCUGUUUUGCCAUUUUAAAGGAUUAAAACUUGAUUUGCUAAAUCCAUACCGGUUCGGGAAGGAAGCAAGCAUCACCAUAGUUGCAACCCCAACGCGAGGAGCCUAUCCUGAGAUUUCCAAUUUGCAUAAGAGCCAGAGCAUAGCUAUCCUAUCUUUGACAUUUGAUUCGACUCAUGGUAGCUUAGCUUUAAAGGCGUAUCAACAAAAUUUAUACCUUAAAUACUAUUACUAAAGUAGCCAAGCUACUAUAGCAUAGUGGUUCUAGGAUCGUUCACUGGGAAGGGUUUUCACAAACACUAGUGAUAUUCAAAUUAGGAAAAUAGGUGAUUUUCUUAUGGAUGUUAGCUUUAAAAGAAGAUGUAAAUGUUUUAGAAAUAUUUAAACUAAUUUAAGCUAACACUAAAGACUAAAAUGAAAGGGUGUAAAAACAAGUUUCUCAAAGAUAGGAUAGCUAUGCUUUGGCUCUUAUGCAAAUUGGAAAUCUCAGGAUAGGCUCCUCGCGUUGGGGUUGCAACUAUGGUGAUGCUUGCUUCCCGAACCGGUAUGGAUUUAGCAAAUCAAGUUUUAAUCCUUUAAAAUGACAAAACAGAUGGCAGUGAAUUUCAUCAAUGGUUAUUCACCUUAGACUUCCUUUGAAUGGCUCGUAAGAGAUAACUAAUGGUCUAAAGCCAAAAGCUUACCAAAUAUUGACAACUCAAAGUCAUUCCAAGUGAUAAACUCACCUUUCAAUGGCCAUUGAAAUUGGUUCUAACGGAUUAAUGCAAAACUUGGAAUUGAAAACCUCACCUUCCAAUAGCUCGUAGGAGAUAACUAAUGGAUAGAAAUCCAAAAGCUUAUCAAGUAUUGGCCGUUGGAAGUUGUCCAAAGGAAAUAAAAACCAAACUUUGCAUUAAUGAACCUUUAAUGAAAAACGACUACCUUACCUUCCGGGUGCGAGAAAUUUCCAUGGGAUUGCAUCCAAGCCAUCACAUAACAUCCAUACUUUGAGAAACUAAAAGUUUUAGCCAAUCAUCCUCUGAGGAAAAGCCCUCAGAGGCUGUUUGGCUUCCAAGAAAAUAGAAAUGGGGAAGAGAAAAGAGAAACGAGAGAGCUCCGUAUAUAUUUUAAGUGUAAAACGUAAUAUAUCUUCUAUAUAUUCCAAGAGGUGAUUUCCACCCCUUAUAUAGUCUUUACAAAAGCAAAAGCUUGUGGUUGGUUAGUUACAAGGAUAAGAAAGGAAAUUACAUCACAAAAUACAAAGGAAAAUAUCUAAAGUCGAGUCGGCAAAAGCAAAGGAAAAUUCGCAACACGCAUGGGUUAUGCGAAUUUUGAAGGUGUUAUGCGAAUUUCGCAUAACACAAGGUGUUAUGCGAAAUUCGCAUAACCUGGAGCAGUUGGCUUCCGAAGGCCAUAUCUUCCUCAUUUCAGCUCCAAAUCGUACAUGGAUUGAAACGAUGGAUUAUUGANNNNNNNNNNNNNNNNNNNNNNNNNNNNNNNNNNNNNNNNNNNNNNNNNNNNNNNNNNNNNNNNNNNNNNNNNNNNNNNNNNNNNNNNNNNNNNNNNNNNAAAAACCAAAUUUUGCAAUAAUGAACCUUUAAUGAAAAACGACUACCUUACCUUCCGGGUGCGAGAAAUUUCCAUGGGAUUGCAUCCAAGCCAUCACAUAACAUCCAUACUUUGAGAAACUAAAAGUUUUAGCCAAUCAUCCUCUGAGGAAAAGCCCUUAGAGGCUGUUUGGAUUCCAAGAAAAUAGAAAUGGGGAAGAGAAAAGAGAAACGAGAGAGCUCCGUAUAUAUUUUAAGUGUAAAACGUAAUGUAUCUUCUAUAUAUUCCAAGAGGUGAUUUCCACCCCUUAUAUAGUCUUUACAAAAGCAAAAGCUUGUGAUUGGUUAGUUACAAGGAUAAGAAAGGAAAUUACAUCACAAAAUACAAAGGAAAAUAUCUAAAGUGGAGUCGGCAAAAGCAGAGGAAAAUUCGCAACACGCAUGGGUUAUGCGAAUUUUGAAGGUGUUAUGCGAAAUUUUCGCAUAACCUGGAGCAGUUGGCUUCCGAAGGCCAUAUCUUCCUCAUUUCAGCUCCAAAUCGUACACGGUUUGAAGCGUUGGAUUAUUGACUUCCAGAGCUUUGAAAUGGUAUAUAGCAUGUAAAAAAUAGACUUCUGGAAGUGCUCCAAAAGUGUGAAAUAAGACUGCAGCUGCUGUCCUCUUUGCUUCUCUUCACUUUGCUUCUCUCCUUGCAUACUUUGAACGACUUUGGCAAAGGGCUAUGGAGCUCCAAAGCUUGGUUCUUCAUGAAUUUGAGCUUCCAAAAGCUUUGCCAUAACUUGUCCAAGUAGCUCCUCCAUCAUUUGGCAUGCUUGAAUUGAUUCAUAAGCUGAUAAAAACAUGUAAACUUGCCACAAAAUGGUUAAAACCAAUUACUAAGGACCUUAAUGAAUUAAUUGGGUUAAAUGAAUAUGAUUACUACUCAAAGGUGCUUAAAACCAUUAUAAUUAGGUCUACAAAAUAGCACUUUUUGGUAGUAAUCACACCCCCCAACCGACUCAUUGCUAGUCCCUUAGCAAUGGAGGAGAUAAAAACUAAGUAAACUAUAAUAAUAUACAUAAAAGGGAUCAUGAAAAUCACUCCAAAAAAUGAUAUGAGUGGCAUGAUGGACAUCCAUGGAUCAAUAAAGAUGUGAAACUCAACCUAUAAUAAAAGUUGUCAAAGCAUUCACUUGAUCAUAGAGUACAAAGAAUGGAUAUUAUGCAAGUUUAAGCAUCAAAAGAAUUUCCACUCUCAAAAGAUCCAAAUCAAAUUCUUCCACUAAAAGCUAAGUGUUAAUGUGAUUAGCUUCCGAGUAUAGUAUGGAUAACUAUCAUCUCCCCCCAACCUAAGUCUUUCUUUAAGCUUAGCAAAAUUAACCAUCUCUUGAUAGGCUAGGAACGCACCUUUUAUUCACAAUUCUUUUCACUUACUAAACUUAACCAAUUCACCCAUGUAACAAGCAGAGGAUCGGUGACUCCUAACCAAUAAAGGCUUAGGGCACCAGGCUUUAAAGGCUUUCGCCACCCCUUCGGACCAUGCUCAGGUUUCAAGGCAAGCAAAGAAGUUUAUUCUAUAUAUAUUCUUUUUCUUUUUCUUUUUCUUUGUUCUAUUUUUUCAAAGACUCAUUGGUCUUUAUGAGGUGUCCCAACACUAUUAAAGAGAGGUUAAAGGUGUCAAAUUAUAAUUUCUCAAGCUUAGAGGGUGAGAUAGUUUCACAUCUUAUAACCGGAAUCUAAUGUAUGUGUGUGCGAAUAGCUUAAGGUGGAAGAGAUAAGUUUGCAUGCAAUGGGAGUUUCAACAAUUCAUCAACUUUUACAAGAGCAUAAUACAAACUCUAAGACUCAUGUAAUCAAGUUGAAACUCGACUUCUCUCAUUUAAUUUUGAGAGUUAAUCCUUAAUAUCCAUGGAGUUUAAAGCAAAAAUUUUAAAAUUUAAACAAAAAGUAGCUAAUUUAACUAAGUAUGAUAAAAAUUUAAACUAAUACUUACUUCCUCAUCUUGAAGUAAUUGGAAUAUCAUUGGACAACUGAAUUUUAAUAGUGGAAUGUGCAUGUACAGAUAAUAGGAUUUCAGCAAUAUGAACAAACUAUGACAAUAACAUGUAAAGGUGGGGAUCCAAACAAAUAUCCAAAUGAAAAGGAUAUGCAAUCUUUUUUUUAUUCGUUAACGAAGUAAGGGAUGACAGGUAUUAAAUCAGUAUCUAUAUUAGUUUAUGUUAUCACUUUGGCUAAUAUGUACUUUUAACUUAUGUAAUGGAAAGUCUGAAUUUCGAUGCGGAUGGAAUGUUGUGGAUCCUACAUAUAAUCUUUACUUGGGGAAUUUUAUGUUUCUCGUAGUGUAUAAUUGGAUUUCCAUAAUACGGUAGCUACGAAAAAAUUUAAAGAAAAAUAAAACAAUUAAAAUCAUUAUAAAUAAUUUGGGCCCAUUGAUUUGAAAGGUGAGUUACGAAAAGCUUGACAUGAAUGUUUAAUAUCUUGUACAUCAUAUCCAUUGGACAAAUUUGCAAAGAAGCUCCAACCACUUGGCCAUAUAGUCGUCUUCAUCAUCAUGGGCAUCACCAACAUUAUCAUCAAUAUUAUUUGUUAUUGUACCGAUGGAAGAAUCCUGGAAACAUGUAGAUAAUGCAUUGUCACAACCUCUUUAUGCAUUAACAUUAGCAUCUUCAAGUACUGAUUUGUUGUCACAGCUUCUAUGCACAUCAAAUUACUGUGUCAUUGCUGAAUAAUUGGGCUUGACGCCUACUAUAGUUGUAUAUUGUGAGAUGGUUUUGUUGACAAUCCUGGCCAUAUAUAAAAGAUGGAACCCACACCCAAACAUUUUCAUUGGUUUACCACCAAAGAAACCUUCAAAUGCUUCCAUUCAUUUGACCAGUACUCAUUCUUAAUAGCAACCUUUGGAUAAUAUGCCACCUACACUCCAUUUGAUUCACCCCCAUUAUGUGGGAACAAAUAACUACGUUCAAAUAAAAAUUAAUCCACAGGCCAUCAAUCAGAUGAUAUACUAGGCAAGGACCACAAGUGAGAUGGGAAAUCAUACAGAAAUUCUAAUUGUUGAGCAUGGAAAUUCAAUUCACAUUGUAAACUACAAGGAUCUUCCUCUAAUUCAAUAUGAAAUGGAACAUAAACCUAGCAUAAGGCAACUCCCAAUAAGUUGUUAUUCAGGUACAAAUUCAUAUGAACCUCUAUUGUUAUUUGAGAUCCUUUGUUAAGGAAUUCCAUUAUUUCAUGGAACAAGACUUUGGAAUUCCUUCAUCAAUUACCCGCAUUCAAACUCCUACAACAAAGAUUACUAUAGAUCUUGUGUUUUCAUUAUAAAAAAUGGGGUUAAAUGUUUUCAAAAUCAUACCUCAAUUGCUGACAUGAAACAUAUAAACAAAGAAAAUUGAGAUCUUCUUCCAAAAUCCAAAAUCAUCCUAAAUAAUAGUAGUAAUAAUAAAAACAAUAGACAAAAUAUGUUGUUUGGUUGCUGAAAAAAAAAACAAAAAAGCUAUAGGUAGUGGAACCAACCAGUGGGUUCAUGAAAUAAUAAUGACAAGAUCGAUAACCCAAUUGAAAUAAAUUUGUCUUGCCACUCUUGAUACACAGGGCUUGAGGUUCUCAUCAAAGGCAUGUAAUUUUCAAUGAAAUAUACUUGUUUUCAUAUUCCAGUGAAUAGUGUGGUUAUGCAGGUUAAAAUAAGUGCCUACAGAUAUAUAGUUUAUACUUUGACUUCAAUUGGAAGUGCUAUCUAACCUUACAAAUUAGCUGGUUACAAGAUUGAAAAACUUUUCAUUUUAGAGAAAUUUAUAGAUGGAGUUUGCAAGUCUCCAUAUUUACUUGCAAAUUUUAUUUGUUUCUACUUUUCUGUUGGUAAUAAUUUCAAAAUCAGUUAUGAGAGGAUUAAGGGGAUUAACCUUUUUCUUGAAAUAUCCUAGAUCAUAGCUUUUUCAGGAGUUAGGACAAAUUUAACAUACCAAUAAAAUUGUUCAUCUCUCAUCUCAUGUAUUGCUUGAUCCAUUGCCAUGCAUUUCAUUUAUUUACUAAUGCAAGGGUUUAGAUCUGGCUCCAUGAAGCUUGCUCUCAAAGUCCUUUUUCCAUGCCUUUGUAAGGACUUUUUCAAGUUAUUCCCCCCAAUCUUCCUUAAUGUGGAAAUAUCAAAGAGUACCUAAAAUCAAGGGUUUUGCCUGGUUUAACUGCUAUUAGAAGGCCAUUUAUUGCCCUUUGCCUGAAGCAGGGUGUUAUGCUAUAACAAUGGUGAGAAAGUGAGUCACUCAUUUCUUCAGAACCUAUUUCUUUGGGAUUAUGGCAUAGAUUAAUUCAAUUGAUAGGUAUUCCUAGGGUUCCUCCAACAGUAGUAAUGAUUUGAUCACCAUUGGUUAUAAUGGUCUACAUAAGAAUUCUAGAAGAAGAGUAGCACAGCUGGGAGAGAAGUUUGUUAUCCUCUAAAUGAUUUGGCUAGGGAGAAAGGGGAUUUCUAGGAUAGACAAAGAUCCCCUUGGUAGGUGCAGUACCUUAUUGGUUACAAAGGAUUCUUUGGACUUUAAGGGCAUUUCCUUGAACUGAACCAUGCAAAACCCUAAAAGGGCAUGCCAUUGGAAUCCCCUUCAUGUAGCUGUUGUAAGCCUAAUUUUGAUGAGUUUUGCUGAUCUAUCUUGGGAAUAUGUAAUCUAGAGCAUUUUGAAGGAUCUUUGUAGCAAUGUGUUGAGAGGUUUUCCCAAAGUAAUUGGUUAUGGUUUAGCCAAAAUGACAAAAACCUCAUCCUUAAUAGAAAGUGUAAUGGAGGACAAAACUUUGAGCUCUUCAACAAAUUUGCUAUGUGAAAAGACACAGCCACUAUUUAAGGUGGCGGUCUGAAAAGGUAAGAGAGAGACUUGAAGUCCACAAAGUUACUGAUCUUUCAAGAAGCUCAAAUGGUUGUUUAAAUCAGAUUAAUAGGAAGACCGUUCAUGAAACUAAUAGGUUGACAAAGAAUUAGUCGUUUUGUGCAAGAUGUUUUACCUUCCAAGCAGGUGGACCAAUCAUUUUAGCAUAACUUUUGUUUCACUUGGAAGACAACAUAUCAUUAUUGUACCUUUAUGUAACAAAAUGUUGUUUCCCGUAAAUAAAUAAUAUAUACCAAAAUUUGAGCUGGGGGUUAAAUUAUUAGAAUUUAGGAUCAGUUUAUUGAUACUUUAUAGAUGUGGUUGCUAUGUUUAUUCUUCUACCUGUCCUCUUCUUGUCCUUAAUCUCUAAUUCUUGGCAAUCUUAGAAUCAAUCUCAAGGCCCAACCAAUCACUUUUUCUUUAUUUUUGCUAAUCUCAAACCCUAACUCCCUAAACCUUAAACCUCCUUUCACCUUAAAGUCUUCAAAUGAAAACCCUAAAGCUUUUGCCUCAAUCGAUUGAGAGAAUUCCUCUACUAGUAGCCUUCAUUCCUCAACCGGUUGACACUGGUUAAAAAAUUCCUCAACCGGUUGAGAAACUUCCUCUACCGGUAGCCUUCAUUCCUUAACCAGUUGACAUUGAUUAAAAAAUUCCUCAACCGGUUGACACUACAUCAAAAGGGUCAUUAUCCGAUUGAGGAUAGUUCUCAACCGGUUGCCAUAAUUCCAUUGUUGGUAGACACUAGACUAAGCUGAACCGGUCGACCGGAUCUUAUCGGCUAAACGUCAUUCCUCAACCGGGCUCCACUGCCUUCACAAGUCGUACCUAUAAUUCACACCGACUAAAAAUAUUAGUCACCUAACCUAUACUCCUACAUGUACUAGCUAUAUAAUUUUGAGCAUAGAUAAAUGAAUAUAUAUAUAUAUAUAUAUAUAUAUUUGAAAAGCAACCCAAACUAUAUAGGGACAAAAAAAUCUAAUUACCUAAAAGAUCGUAGAAAAUCAAACACGUCGAACAUGAAUGAUGCCUAUAUAUUACAAUUUCAUUUUGCCUACCAUAUUGAAAGAAGAGUAUAGCAUAUUCAAAUAAAACGGACUUAAUCAUGAACAAUGUAUGGUCAUCCAAGGUCACAACUUCCCAAUAAACAUGACGAUAUGUGGAGAUGGAAAUGAUAAAUAUUAGAAAAACAACAUAUAUCAUAAUAAUAAUUUUUUCAUUGCUCGUGUCGACGUCUUUAUACAAACAAUAGCCACAAUGGUUUGUUUUUCUCUAUUUCCCUCGUGUAAAACUAAAUCACUUGCUAUUUCCCGACAUAGUUUAACAGAAUUACAUAAGUCGGAGCCCAUCAUCGAAUCACCAUUUUUGAAUGUCUGCAUAUGUUUAAUGACAUGCACAGUCCCACUUAAGAAAAAAAAAAGAAAAAAAAAACAACUUAUUGAAUGGUGUAUAAUUAUAGCUCAGAUAAACAAUAUUAAUGUGAGUUAUGUAUUCAUACUAACCCAUUAUCUUGGGUCGGAAUCAAAGGAUCCCAAUCAAUGGAGAAUUAGAAGACAUCUUUCCCCAUGUCAUACAGUUUGAAGAACGUUUGACAAAAUUCAACCUAAUUUAUUAUGAAAGUGUUAAUAAAUAUGGAAGAGAAAAAAAAAAUUAAAAGGAAAACAAAAAAAUGAAAGCAUACCACUGUUUUAACACUCUUAAACCAAAACUCAUCCCGACUCUUCAAUCGCAAUGAAUUCAAAAUUUGGAUAUGAGAGUUUUUGAAGUCAAUGACGCACAGAUACCAAUGACCGAGGCAAUCGUCACACAUUGGAAUAAAUAGCUGUAAAGUUAGAAAAACAAUAUAUAUGAGUUGGGGCACAAAAUAUCUACUAUAUUAUAGGUGAAAACAAUAUCUACUCUAAAUUUCAUAUAUGCAAUUAAGCAUUACAAAUAAUUACUAACCUUCUCACAAUCAUCCAAUUCGCUAAUGUACUUACUCACGAUGGAUGUUUUUCUAUCAAAAAAAGGAUGAGGACUCCCACACAAAAUCAUUUGCUAAUAAUAAAACAUAAUACAAACAUUAGUAUAUUGUACUUAAUAUGUAAGUAAACAACAAGAGAAAUAUGAGCUUAUUGAAAAUGUCGUGGGAAGAUAGCAUCUUAUACUUGUAAUGCCUAUAAAUUGCCUUUGGAAAUAAUUUAGCUUUGAGGCUUCUAGAUUUAUUACCUAUUGUUAAACAAUAACUCCAAUAAAUUAAUUUAAUUAAUUUAGCACGCAUUUGAUAUAAAUGAAGUAGGUACUUACAACAUCCAUCAAGUUUUGUCUAGGACAUAAGCACUCAAAAUCUCCACGAACUCCAUGUUCAUGAUCAAAGUCAAUAAGAAGCUCACUAAAAUAAUAAUAUGCUAAAACAUUCUUCACUAAAUUGGAAGCAUAUGAAGGCUAAAAUUGUAACAACACAUCUAUGAAUGUUCUAAACACUACAAACCUUUUUGACAAUGCUUUAUUGAAAACAUAAUCAGCAACAAGAGAUUGAAGUACAUUGAAUGAUUAAGCAUCCACCACGUCUUCAAGAAUGGACAUGGGGAUUGACUAAAUUAAAAACAUGACAUAAUUAUUAGCUAUAUAUGUUGAGUAUCAAAAAUAAGAACAUGAUAUUAAACUAUUUGUAUUAUACCUCUAAUGCCUGACGUUUUCCCAUCUUCCUUAAAUUGUGUACAAACAGGGAGACCUUGAAUUUACUUGGUUUCCUCUCCCUUGAUGUACGUGUUUUCAUGACAUGAUCGGGAUAACCACAUAGUGCUCGUAAUGGUUCCUAAUAUGGAAAAUGCCAUUAAUAUACAUCUAUUUACUAUGUAAUGGUUAAGUAGUUGUAAAGAAAAUAAUUUUUUCUUUUAUAUGAUACAUACCUUUCCAUAAUCUCUUCUACUCCUUUUGAUUGGAAGUGGUAAAAUAUCUACAUUUUCGUAUGGAAUGAUAUGCACUUCAAUUGAUGUAGCACAUGCAUCUUCAUUCUUUCCAUUCAAGUCCUCAGUGCAUAACUUCUCAAUUGAGAAAGUGUGAACAUAAUGUUCAUUUCCUUUCUUAUUGUCAUUAUCUUCCAAACUUCUCUCGCAUGAGAGAAUGUCAUUCUUCGUUCCCUCCUCGUGCAUUCUCAAAGGUCUUCCGCUUGACCAAGGAAGAGACCUUUCAGUGUAGUAUAUUUCUCCUCAAAUUCAGUCAAAACUUUUUCACAACUACUACUACUUGCACCAUGACACAAAUCAAUCAGAUGUGUCUUUAAUUGUUGAAAGGUUUUAUCCAUCUCCAUUAAGCUCCCACUGUGUUCCUAGUGAUAUAUAGGAACUUCAUUAAUAACAUCAUAAUACAAGGGUUCACUACUAAUAUUGAUACUCAUGAUGAAUAUUGUAAAACUUACUCGUUUAAUAACAUCUUUCUUUGGAUUGAUUUCAAAUUUCUCAUCCUCCUCAUUCUCCCUCUCCAUUGUCAACGCAUUUCUAUCAACGCAAUCCCUUAUCUCAUUUUGUAUCACCCAUAUUUUGACCUACAAUAUAUUCAUCAAAAUAUAACACAUAUCAUAUUUAAAAUCAAUAAAAACUUAAACCAAUAUUAAACGACUUUUGAAACUAUAACUUACAUUGUCAUUUGCAUAUCCACCGAGUUUUUUCAAUCUUCGUUUCAUGUCUAGUACUUCAUCAUCUCCCCAAGCAGUAAUCCGAGGACAAGGUCGAGUAUAUAAUGGUAGAAAUUUCUCUUCGAACGAUAUAUGCUCGUGGUAGAAUAACUGCGAUUAUAUUUGACAUAGAUAUAUAGUUAGUUGACAAAUUUUAUUAUAACAAAUUAGAAAUUCACUAUGAUGUAGAUUAAUUACAAGGACAUUACCAUUAAAAACAAUAAGCAACCACAAACCCCACUUUGUUGUUUCAUCUUAAACUCUUCAAUCCUGUGCACAAGAUAAGACAACACAAAUUUAACCCAAUUCAUCUUCUUUAUUGAAUUGAUGUCUUCCACAAGAUGUAAGAAAAAACGUUUCACAAAAAGCUUCAUUGUUAGGCACAAUAAUGCACCCAACAUAAAUAAUACAAAACAAACUUUGAAAUUAUUUCCACCUUCUUUAUCCUCCCUAAUUUGAUAUUCUAACAUCACUAAUGGAAAUCGCCCCUUUUUAUCAUAAUAUUUUUUACAUAAAUCAUUCCUAUGGCUAACAUCUUUGUUCAUGCCAAUCUUCAACCCUCUUACCCUCAAUCACAUAAUAAAUUCAACAUCGAUGGAGGAUAAUUUGAUACAAGUAUUAUACAACUCUAACAUAUAAGUGUUCGGGUUGAAACUAUUUAUCAACCAAAGACAUAACCCAUGAUCAAUUUUCCUACAUUGAAGUUGCAAGAGGCUACCAAAUCCUAUUUCUUCUAUGACUGCUCUUUGCUUUGGUUCUAAUUCUUCAAUAACUCUAAUCACUCGCUCAGGUGAGCAUCGACUCUGAAGAUAUAACUGAAAAGAUACACAAACAUCAAACAUGUUUACAUUAAUAUAAUUUCCAACAAAUACAUAAGUAAUGAAAUUAAAUAUUCAUUACAAAAAAAUUACCUUUGGAACCACACCCUUUUGAAGUGAAUAUUGUUUUGAACUUUCUUUGGACUUCGCCAUGAAAUCUUCUUUUUCUACUUUUGAAAGUUCAUGUCACUUCUUGCCCAAUUUUUUCCUCAACUACAUUAAUUGGUCACAUACUUUAAAUUCUAAUAUUAAAAUCUAAUUAUAUUAGACACAACAAUAUUAUUCCUUACAUAAUCAUUUAUCUUAACUCCUUUAUCCUUCUCUUUGAUCAUGGCCAAUUGAUCAUUGCUACAAAACAAUUUCAAACAAAAUUAACUAUAACAACCACAAAAAAAUACAUUAAAAAAUAUAUUCUUUUACAUAUUUCUAUUUUUCCUUACUAGUAAUGUAUCCAAGCUCUGAUAGGCCUCUUUGGAUUUCUAAAAACUUCAACAACAUUGCGUUCGCUCCUAAAAAUUAAAUCAAAUCAUUUAAGUCAAUUUUUAUAAUAUGAUUUCAAAUAUAAUAAAUCAAACAUACUUUCACCACCGCUACAAAAUCCUCCCUAAAUCUUUAUACAUUUUAAAUGGUCACAAAAUUAGCAUAUCAAUUUUUUUCAAUCUCCAAUUAUGGAUCUAAUCACAUUAUUUUUCAUUAAUGUGAUCAAUCCAUAAAUCUAACAAAAAACAUGAAAUAUAAUGGAUACAAUAUUGUAAAACACAUUAUCAAUACUCAUAUUUUUUUCCUUAAUAUAGAACUCGACAAAUAAUUACGACACAACCGCCUUUUGAUUAACAAAAAAUUGUGUCCUUUUUAGCUUUCUUUCUCUUAGUACUACACGUCUUCUUCUUCUUCUUCUUCUUCCAACUAUGUCUUCAAUUUGGGUCUUCAAACCAUAAAAUUUAGAAGUCGAAAACACCCCUUAAACAAAAUAUAAAAUAUGAAGAAAAUACAAGGGUUAUGGAGAGGAGAGGGGAGAACGGGAAUAUCGCACUCUUUACUUCAAAACCCGAAAAAACCCCAAAUAUGAAAAUUAAAUAUGGACAUAAACAGAGGGGAUAUGAAGAAAAGACAGAACUCAAAAAGAUGCCACUCGAAAUGGUUACAAUAUUUCACCCAAAAACAACCAACAAUACACAAAGACAACUGAAAGCACCUGAAAAUAACAGUCGAUGGAGAUGAGCAAAAAACACAAGUACCCGAAGAAGAGCCGAGUAUGGAGAAGAGAGGAAAAUAUCGAGAAACUCGGCAAAAGAGGAAGAAAAUAGAAACCCGACCUGGCUAUCGAGGAUGAGUGGAGAAGAUACCAAAUUAGGGAGGAAAAAAUGGGAAAUGGGUGAGAGAAUAGGAUGGGGAACAGCAGCUACACGACCGACUAUGGAGGAUGAUGAGUGGAGAUGAGAGCAUGGGGACACAAGUGGGGGGAAAAUGGGAAAUGGGUGAGAGAAUAGGAUGGGGAACAUAAGCUACACUAGCCGACUAUAGAGGAUGAUGAGUGGAGAUGAGAGCACGGGGACACAACCGACUAUGGAGGAGAAGACGGUCGGCUAUGGAAGAGAAGACGGUCGGCUAUGGAGGAGAAGACGAUCGGCUAUGGAGGAGAAGAGAGGGGAAAAGGGGCUGAGAGGGGGAGAGAACAGGUACCCUAUUUUUAUUUUUAUUUUUUCAUUUUUUCUUUUUCUUUUGGAUGGCUGAGAUUUAAUCUCUUUCAUCCAAUGGCUCAAAAAAAGAAAAAAAAAACGAGGCAUGCUACCUUCCCAGCACCAUAGAAUUUUCCAUAUAUAUAUAUAGAUUACUAAAUAAUAUAUAAUAAAUAAAUUUAAAUUUAUUUAUUUAUGAUAUUAAAAUUAUUUAGUUUUUACCAUGUUGAAUUUAAAUUUAUAAAUAUAAAAAUUAUUCAUUUUUUACCAUAUUGAAUUUAAAAUUAUGAAAUAUAAAUUCAUUAAAAAAUAUAUGUGUAGACCCCCAUUUAGGUCAUUCUUUGCUGCAGCUGAUUUUGCCACGUGGAAGAGCCUUGGCUAGCCACGUGUCGACUCCUGAGGGGCUGCUAGGGAAUCAUGGUAGUGACUUGAGAGAACCUAUGAGAGUGCGACACCUAUUAAGAAGGUUCUAGAAGGAGAAUCUGCUGGCCGUUAGAGGAGCAGAGGCUGCCAGCUGCAUGGCAGAGAGAGUGGAGGCAGGGUUUCUAUUACAGAGGGUAGUAGUGCUUUUCAGAGUUGGUUAAGAGAUUCCGGGGGGAACGGCAGAGAAGGGGAGUUUAGCUUAGAGGAGGUGAGGUGCUUUUGAGAGGAAGGGAAAAACACUAGAGAGAAAAGAGUUUUGGAGAGAUUCUUGAGGAGCAAGCUGGAUAUUCAGAUCCGGAAGAGCUACAGAGGAGGUUUUUCUGGAGAGUAUUCCUGGAGCUUAGGCUACUUUGGAUAGAAGGCUGAGGGAGGUAAUAUAAAAAGAAAAACAGAGUUUGAAACCAGGCGAGUUCUCAUUUGUGAGGAGGUUUUUCAGUUUCAAUUCACUCUUCCAUGAGCCUAUUGACUGAUGCGGGAAAUGAAGUUCAUGGGGUUCAUUCAGUGUCCAUUAUGAGUACUCUGUUUGCGGUUUCCCUCUGCCCUUGAUGCUUGGUUGUUGACUGUAUCGGUUUUCCCAUCUCCACCUGAAAAGUUUGAAUCAGGGUGGUUUUUCCUGAAGGCUAUAUGCAAGCCCCUUAUGAGGCAUCCUGAGUUCAUUCAAUCUCAGGGUGUCUUUACUGUUGAGACCCUUUAGUUUCUGGUUCAUUUGAUGGCAUCUGGAUAAUCAGUUGGAUUGAAGGGACUAUUGUGGUAUAUUAUAAUAAUUCAAAGGUGGCUGAAAAUUCCUUUUGGACACAAGAAUCAUGAUCGGUUUUAAGAUCGGGGGGAUGAAAUGAUUGAAAGAUGAAAGUCAUAGAAAAGAUGCACUGAGGAAGCGAAUGAGCGAAUUGAGAAAGAUAAGAAUACAAGGUUUUGGAUAAUGUCAUCAGAAGAUGUAAUGAACAUUCUUCGUAUGUUAAUACAGAAGGCUCUGAGGAAAACAUCAGAGGAGAUGAUAAAAAAGGGUUAUUCUUCUGCUAAUCUCUGGAAGAGAUCCUGGCAUCAUUUUCCACAAUGACCGUCCUCCAAAGCCUGAGGGUUAUGAUGGUUUGCCAGUGACCUAUCUGCAUUCCAUUUAUAUCUGAUCAGUGCCAAUCAGAUUACUGAUGAGAAUUUCAGAUACUGAUGUGAUCGACGAGCCAGCUUGCACAACAGUUGAUCAAAGAGAAAAUCCAUGGCAGCCUCAGUGGGAUACAUUAUUAUGCAAUCAUCUAUGCCGCAAUGUAACCUUCAUACCCAUGCUCAUACUCACCAUCAUUGAAAUAAACCACCUUAUUCAUUUCACCAACUCAUAUCCNNNNNNNNNNNNNNNNNNNNNNNNNNNNNNNNNNNNNNNNNNNNNNNNNNNNNNNNNNNNNNNNNNNNNNNNNNNNNNNNNNNNNNNNNNNNNNNNNNNNNNNNNNNNNNNNNNNNNNNNNNNNNNNNNNNNNNNNNNNNNNNNNNNNNNNNNNNNNNNNNNNNNNNNNNNNNNNNNNNNNNNNNNNNNNNNNNNNNNNNNNNNNNNNNNNNNNNNNNNNNNNNNNNNNNNNNNNNNNNNNNNNNNNNNNNNNNNNNNNNNNNNNNNNNNNNNNNNNNNNNNNNNNNNNNNNNNNNNNNNNNNNNNNNNNNNNNNNNNNNNNNNNNNNNNNNNNNNNNNNNNNNNNNNNNNNNNNNNNNNNNNNNNNNNNNNNNNNNNNNNNNNNNNNNNNNNNNNNNNNNNNNNNNNNNNNNNNNNNNNNNNNNNNNNNNNNNNNNNNNNNNNNNNNNNNNNNNNNNNNNNNNNNNNNNNNNNNNNNNNNNNNNNNNNNNNNNNNNNNNNNNNNNNNNNNNNNNNNNNNNNNNNNNNNNNNNNNNNNNNNNNNNNNNNNNNNNNNNNNNNNNNNNNNNNNNNNNNNNNNNNNNNNNNNNNNNNNNNNNNNNNNNNNNNNNNNNNNNNNNNNNNNNNNNNNNNNNNNNNNNNNNNNNNNNNNNNNNNNNNNNNNNNNNNNNNNNNNNNNNNNNNNNNNNNNNNNNNNNNNNNNNNNNNNNNNNNNNNNNNNNNNNNNNNNNNNNNNNNNNNNNNNNNNNNNNNNNNNNNNNNNNNNNNNNNNNNNNNNNNNNNNNNNNNNNNNNNNNNNNNNNNNNNNNNNNNNNNNNNNNNNNNNNNNNNNNNNNNNNNNNNNNNNNNNNNNNNNNNNNNNNNNNNNNNNNNNNNNNNNNNNNNNNNNNNNNNNNNNNNNNNNNNNNNNNNNNNNNNNNNNNNNNNNNNNNNNNNNNNNNNNNNNNNNNNNNNNNNNNNNNNNNNNNNNNNNNNNNNNNNNNNNNNNNNNNNNNNNNNNNNNNNNNNNNNNNNNNNNNNNNNNNNNNNNNNNNNNNNNNNNNNNNNNNNNNNNNNNNNNNNNNNNNNNNNNNNNNNNNNNNNNNNNNNNNNNNNNNNNNNNNNNNNNNNNNNNNNNNNNNNNNNNNNNNNNNNNNNNNNNNNNNNNNNNNNNNNNNNNNNNNNNNNNNNNNNNNNNNNNNNNNNNNNNNNNNNNNNNNNNNNNNNNNNNNNNNNNNNNNNNNNNNNNNNNNNNNNNNNNNNNNNNNNNNNNNNNNNNNNNNNNNNNNNNNNNNNNNNNNNNNNNNNNNNNNNNNNNNNNNNNNNNNNNNNNNNNNNNNNNNNNNNNNNNNNNNNNNNNNNNNNNNNNNNNNNNNNNNNNNNNNNNNNNNNNNNNNNNNNNNNNNNNNNNNNNNNNNNNNNNNNNNGUCUGUGGCUGUUGUUUCCGAUUUUGAUGCGAAGGUGUUUCGGCACAACUUGAUGAGGAGUAAGGAUUAUAAUCAGAAAGGAUUUGGACACAAAGAUGAGACUCUAGAGCUCAUGAAUCGCGAGUAUACUAGUGACAUCAUAAAGACGAUUCCACUGCUGAUCAUUCUGAUUGUGAGAACAAGGCUGGAAGUUGUGAUAACCAGAAGGAAAAGUUUGACUCGAGGCAACCUAUCAAUUUCAGAUUCAGCAGAGUUGCAUUCUUCAUUAGCCAUGAAGUGCCUUGCCUCAUUGUAACAGCAAAAUGUGAUAUGGACCCUUGUCCGCAUGGCAAUUCUCACUUGCAUGCUGGUCCCACACACACCCGUAUCCAAUCGCGUGGUCCCCCUUAGCAUGGCCAUCCUUAUGCCACACAUCACUUCCUUUCAAAUCCCUUCCCUGUGAUUUCAAAAUAAAGAUUUCCUAACCCCGUUUUCAAAUGAUUUUUCAAUUCUCGGUUUUUGAAUGAUUUCAAGUCAUUAAAAUUUUCCUCCUUAGAGUUUAGGUACCAAAAUCAUCUUUUCAAUAAAAUUUGGUUGUCAUUUUCAUUCCGGCAAGCCACUUUCAAAUCUUUUUUUUUAUUUUCUAAAAUGUUUUAAAAAUAAGCAAAACAUUAAUUCCGUAAUUCCGAAUAAUGGAAUUUAUGGAAUUAAUUCAUGCAAAAAUAAAAUGGGCUUUGGUGGGGGCCCCACAUAUGAGAUUUCAUGAUCGUUUAAUUGAUUGAUUGAUUGAUUGAUUUGCCAUACAUGAUUGAUUUACUCUAUUCCUUGGUAUGCACUUAAUUAUACCUGUUCAUUGUUCACUAACCAUGUUUCAUGAUAGCGCAUUCGUGAUUGCCGCCCAGGUACGCAUCUAUUCAUAUUUUGCUCAUUCUUUAUACAUGUUUUGUUUCUCAUAUUGUGCAUGAUCGAUUUGAGUAUCCAUUGAUUUUCCCAUAGAUACCAUGAUUGCUUCAUUUUAUUAGUAGAGACCCGUUUUUAGGGACUUAGAGGGGUGCUACGGUCUUUACCGUACCUUCCUGAUAAGUAACCUGACCCCCGAACCCGAUCCGGUUUUUCACAGACCACCUUUUCCAAAACAAGGAGUCACACUUAGGGUUUUUCUUUCUUAUUUUGUUUACCCUUUAAAAAUAAAACAAAAAUAAGUGGCGACUCCAAGUCAUUUCCAAAUAAUCAAUAAAAAUCAAUUUUUCAAAUAAAAAUCGAGCUCACCAUCGAGUGGGAAACGCAUGAGCACGAAAUGUGGGGUCCACAAUAUGUUAAAUAUUUAUCUAGGAAAAAUCAUUUGCCAUAAAUUGAUAUUGUAAUUAAAUUUGGUUUUUAUUAUGAAUAUAAGAUUUGUACUAAAAUAUUAUCAAUUUUUUUUUGUCACAAAUACAUUAGACGGUUAAACAUGAUUUUUUACUAUAAAUAAAAAUUUUAUCCCUAAAAAACCUUUUUUAUCAUACAAAAACUAUUACAAAAAUCUAUUUAUUUUAUUUUAUUUUAUUUUAUGUCAUAAAAUACAAUUCAUGCCAAAAAAUAAUAAUAAUAAUAACAAAACGAGAAUUUUUGUAGUUAAUAAUUGAGAAAUUAAAGACUAUCGAAGACUUUAAAAGGAUGACACUUGUCCUUAUCUUGAGGAAAUAAAAGUCUUAUAGAUUUGUCGGCCUCUAAUUCCUGGCCAAUGAAUCCGAUAGGAUAAAGAAGUCGUGGGGCUACUCAUCUAAAUUGAUUUUCUCAAUGUGAAGCAAUUCACAGAGCACUCCUGGAAGUCUUUUCCAAACUGGAAAUGGAGCUUAUCUCAGUUGCAAUUUCCUUUGCUUUUAUUACUCUCCUAAUAUAUGCAUGGAGACUAUUGAAUUGGGUGUGGUUGAGACCAAAGAAGCUAGAAAGGUGUCUUCGGCAGCAAGGUAUAACGGGAAAUUCCUACAGAUUGUUACAUGGGGAUGUUAGAGAGAUGUUAAGGAUGAUUAGCGAAGCAAAUUCAAGACCCAUCAGCUUAUCCGAUGAGAUCGUACAGCGAGUUCUCCCCUUCCAUUAUCAUUCCCUCAAGAAAUAUGGUAUAGCCGGUUUUCUGAUUUCAUUUUUUUUUAUCCCUAAUUGUCUUUCCUGAACCCUAAUGAUCUUUCCUGCCGUUUCUUCUUCUUCUUCUUCUUCUUCUUCUUCUUCUUUUUAAUUAAUUUUCUGAAAGAAUUUACAGCUCAAUGAAAUUUCAAUGGUACCUCUAAAAUUUUUUCCUUUAUUAUCUUUUCACAUCUUUUCAAAUUUUGCAUGAAUUGCUAAAUUAUAUACAUAUAGAUAGCAAUUGGAGCUCUUUCUUGAUGCAUAUGAAAGAGUGGCGUAAAUGGCAUAUCCACAAGCUCAAACUUAUGGCAGCUUAAACCAUUCAAAUAUUAGAAACUUUCUUGUGAGCUCCUAAUCUUCUCUCCUCAAAGUUGAAUGGUAUAUAAAAGAUCAUUACCAGCAUAUUUAUCAUUAUACAUUUACUCUCAUAUUUACUAUAUAAAAUUUUAAUAUUUGAAUCACAAAUUUGUUGAAGCGAUGUGAUGCAAGUGUGACUGAGAAAAGAUAGUAAUUGAGAACAUAUUUAAAUGUUAAUUUCAUUUCCUUCCCUUCAGUUUCGGUAAAAUACAACUAUUCAAUAUUAGUCUUAAAUCUUACCCUUCUUCAUUGUUAUUUUCUUUCACCUCCAUUUGGUAUACCAAACAUUCCCUUAACUAACUUGGUUUAGUUAUUUCACAUCAAGGCUGCAACCAAAGAAUCUAGGGGAUUUUGGGAAGUAAAAAUUGAAUUUGGGCUAGCUUUGAACAUAGUAACUACUUAGUUGUUUGAGCAUGCCAUAUGGUAUUGGCCGGAAGUGAUUUGAACAUGUUAUAUGGUAAUGGUAUUCUCUAGGCCUCUUAUUGAGAACCAUUAAGAAACUUUACUUUAGCUUUACGAGUCUAUGAACUGUUGGUUCCUGCUCAACACGUACCCUCUGGGCAGCUACUCCAGCCCCUCUGCUCUCCUAUAUUCUGUUAAAAAAAGGCAUUUCUGGAUGUGUUUCGGACAGACCUCUCUAAUGGCCAAGUUAGCUUAAAGGAUUUUUACUGAAUGAAUUCUUUAAUUGGCAGAACAUCUUAGCAAGAUGCAUGGUGAAAUACUACCGUACGUGUGGAUCUAAUGGUCAAUUAAUGUCUGGAUAAUUUCAUCUUUGAAACACCAUAGAUAUUCCGAGAAAUUGAACAAAUAAAAAGUCAUUGAUGAAAAUGCAUUAGUUUCUUCCUGUAUUUCAUUGAUCUUCAUUUCCUACGAUUACUUCCAAGCAGGUUUGUUCCAACAAAGACAAACAAGAGAAUGAGGCAAAUUAGCAAUGAAGUCAAUGCAUUGUUAAAAGGCAGCAUUGAGAGAAGAGAGAAGGCAAUGAAGGUUGGCGAAAUGCGAGAACAUGAUGAAAGGAAGAAUGUUGGAAUGAGUAACAAGGAUGUCAUCAAGGAGUGUAAGCUUUUCUACUUCGCUGGCCAAGAGACUACCUCGGUUUUACUUCUGUGGACAAUGGUUCCAUUAAGCAAGCAUUCAAACUGGCAAGGUCGUGCAAGAGAAGAGGUUUUACAAGUUUUUGGCAAUAAAAAACCAGAUGGUGAUGGUUUAAAUCACCUUAAAAUUGUAUCAACCCAGUAUUCAGCUUAGCUCUACUUGGUAAUAAUAUGUUACUUGUAUUUUUUUCUUGCAAUCUUAAGGAUCGAAAAAUAUGUUUUGUCUCUGUAUCUUGUUUCAAACAUUUGUUUUAAUUAAAACCCAUUUGAAAAUACUUCGUAUAAGAGCAACAAAUAUUAUUUUCUUUGAGUUAGUUUUUUUAAUUGCUUGUUGCAAAGAUUGUUUUUUAAAUGUAGUGAAACCUUUAUGGAAAUACUUAAUUAGUGUCAUAUCAUUUACAAGACCCUGAGGACAAUUGCAGUAUUUCCUCUUACAAAGCACAUUUUCUAGAAAUUUAAACUCUAGGCUAUAAUUAAUUUUCAUGGGGUUCUUAGUUUGUAAGCGGAGUUACUGUAUGGUUCCAUAUGUACAUGAAAGUAUAUUUGGUGUACAAAUUUAAACAAUCUCUUACAUAGCUACAUUCUAAGAAUUCCUUCAUAGUUUGAUGCAUGCUUCUGAAUGAUUUAGUGUAUUUCAAUAAUGAAUUCUCAUGAUAAAACUAUUUUCUAUAUUGCAGGUUACAAUGAUUUUUCAUGAGGUCCUUAGGUUAUAUCCACCAGCAUCCAUGAUCUGUUUAUGCUGACACCGAAGUGGGAGGAAUGUAUUUACCAGACGGAGUGCAGGUCUCAUUGCCAAUCCUCCUAGUUCAUCAUGACCAUGAAAUUUGGGGAGACGACGCAAAAGAUUUCAACCCGGAGAGAUUUUCUGAAGGAGUUUCUAAGGCAACAAAGGGCCAAUUUGCCUUCUUUCCAUUUGGUUAUGGUCCUCGGGUGUGCAUUGGACAAAAUUUUGCAAUGAUGGAAGCAAAAUGGCUUUGGCAAUGAUCGUACAACGUUUCUCAUUUGAACUUUCCCCAUCUUAUGCUCAUGCACCUUUUAGUGUUAUAACUAUACAACCCCAAUAUGGUGCACACCUGAUUUUGCAUGGACUUUAGUCUCAGUGUUCCUGGUAUCAAUAGUUGUUAAUUAGCAAGACCUUUGAACCUAGCUAGUGUCGAAUUUAAAUUGUCCACACUCACU